UAAUAAGUGAACAGAUAGACGGAAGAGCAGACAGCCAUUUCAUGAUGUAAACGUUCAGCAGUUGGGAGUCGUACCUGGUCAAGCUACUGUACCCGCCGCUAAUGUGGGGUUCCUAAUUGUACAGAUUUCCUAAAUCUAUGUCUGAUUUUAUUUUAUUUUCUUUUUAUUUUGAAACAAGGCAAAAGACUUCCAUUUUUAUUGAUUAAUAAGAGGAAUUUGCAAGAAAACAACCGCAAAAGUAGCACAAGAUACUCAAGUGCUUAGCCCCCGCGCAAGAGCAACUCUAGCAGAUCAUGUAAAAUGUUGUACAGCAAAUUUUGUUCAAGGGAUCCUGUAAAACGAAUUUGCGGUACCGUGGAAGGCAUGGCAGAAUAGAUCUGCUAAACCAUACUGCAUAGUUUUUUUGUGAACACAACUAUACUGCAUAUUUGAAAUUUAAAGUUCGUGCCACGAUAGUUCAUCACCGGAGUUCAUACAUUCAAACAUACAAACUUAAACACAUAGUAGAUAAAAUCUAAUCUAAACUAGUUUAGGGCUUUAUGUUGAGGUAGAACUCGGCCGCCGAUCGGUAGAGAACGUACGUGAGCUCGUACACCACCUUCGUCGCCACGAGCCGCUCGGUGGUACUGUCUUCACCAGCCGACAUGGCAUUGUCCGUGGCGGCGAGCUCAAUCUCCGCCCCGCGGAGCCCCUUGGUGGUGGGCCAAAGCGUCCCCGCGGAGCCCCUUGGUGGUGGGCCAAAGCGUGUCCCCGACCUCGUGGAAGUUGCUCCACGCUCUCCGGACGCCACUACGGGGAGGGCGUUGCACUCUUUGGCCUGCUUUGAGCGCCACGACUCGACGGCGGGCCAGCUGGAGUUGUCGGCCUUAGCGUCGUGUUGGGCACGCUUGUGCGGUGGUGACCCGCCAUGGGCCCCGCGCCCCCACGCCAGCAACCUCCAUCGGCCAUUGAUUUGCUCCGAACGGGUGCGUGCACGCGUGGAUCGGUCGCCGGAGUAGGGGGGAUUGCGUUGGAGGCGGGCGUGGGAAAUGCCAGAUAGGAACCCUAAAUCGCCGGGAAUUCGGCAAAUAUAGCGGUGGAGUCGGGAAUAUACAGACCGCUUGUACAUUUUUUAGGGCCCAGGCCUUCUUUAACCGGAUCUGCUCGGGCCGAAAAAAUAGCAGAUCUUGUAACACGUCCAAAAUUAUAAGGGCCCGCGAGGUUUUACAGGAUUUGCUCUAACAAUGACCGCCACCGCGCUGCUUUGUUUUGGAAGAGGUGCACAUUCCUUUCCUUCAAAAUUGCUCAUCCAACAAAGCCAAGCAACGCAAGAUAGUUUUUUUUUUCCUGAGGGAGCAAGAUAACUUUUCUUGGUCGUGCAUUGUGCAUUGUUCAGGAGGACCUCUUCCCACAAAGAUUUCACCAUUUCAGUGUGAUGCCAAAGUAUCGUACUAACUUGAAGACCUAGCCAAGAGAUCAUACAUAACUUUCCUUGGUUGUGCAUUAAAAAAAAUCAUACCGUUCCAAAUUCGAACUAAAAACCGACACUGGAAGAGUAGGUGAGCUGUCGUUUCUUGCACUUGGAUGCAAAGGGGGCAUCAGUCGCAGUUUGGUCACCCUCUCCGUUGGAGCCUAUCCGCCGUCCAAAUUUUAUUAUGGAUGACUAACCAAGCGACCAAGCGUAGAACAUACAUUUGGAAGGUGCCUAAACCUUUCAAAUCGUGGUGACCAAUUGGACCUUGUAGGUCGAUGAAGCAGUGUAGUUCCACAUGAUGGUAUCUUGGAUGCCUAGUUGGGUCAUGACAUUGGCAAACUUCUCCCAUAGGAUGGUGAACUGAUUAAUGUGCUCAAGUGUUAGACCUCUUUGAGCGGCAGUCUUCUCAACCCAGUCAUAAUCUCUCAAAGACUUAUCCGCAGUGGCACUUUUUCUUGCGGUAUAGCUCAAUUUUGUGGUGCAAUGUUUUCAGGCCUUAGCCCUUCCAACCAAGAUGAUUCCUGAAUUUCUGCGUUUAUUCCAAUAUCAAGCAUAACUGAUGCAGAGCAUCCUAUGGACAUCAUCAUGUCAAGAGCUUCAUUUUCAAGAGACACAUGCAAUAUCUACUUCAUAUAUAUAAAGGUGAAUCUUCUUCUUUACACUUGUCUUCUUGCCCCCCUUCAAGGAUGUUGUUUCUUCAUUACCAGAUCCUCCAUAAUCUGACAAGAUUUCACCUGAAGGUGCAGAAAACUGUCAGAUCCCUCCGUAGGGGUCCUAGCGUAGCUGAAAGUCUCAAAGCGGAGGUCGCACAAAGGGUUUAUCCAUGUUUGGGCCUUCAGAGAGUAAUACCCUCCACCCUGCUCAUGUUUGUUAUUCAUGAUGGAGGGAUAACUCGUGUGAUGAGGGAUGACUACCGAGAGUUGUUUCUACGGGAGUAGAUGGAAAUGAGGGCUCCCUAGCCUCCCCUCAUAUACUCAAGGAGGCUAGGGUUUUACAUAAAGGCGAAAUCAAUCUAGGGUUGCCGUCGUAUCAACUUGGAAGUAAAGUUGGCCGCAUGGUGGUUAUCCUUUCCUUGGGGCUACCUCUUCUCGCUGGGCCUUGUGGGCUCUCCAGUAGGCCUGCUGCCGGGAUCCCUUCAGUGAGCCACCCUGGUGCGCCACACCGUCAAUAGCCCUUGAGCAUGGCAGAGGUUGCAGGAGUGGGUCUUCAGACCUCCGGUGGUCUUCACUACCGAUGGUGCUUUAGCCCUCGUGCUUCUUUAGAGAGCUCAUCUCCCGGGCCUCCAUGAGUGGCAACCCGUGCUAGGAGAUGAUAGAGGCAAAGGUGUCCCGUCUUUCGAUGAGAUGAUGAAUUUCGCUUUGGUGGAAGUCAACUUUGACGAUCCGACUACGAACGUGUGAGGACGUCGCGCCUUAGCAAUCGCUAAACCAACUCCGAGAGGUUAUUAACCACGCCGGAGCACGAUCAACUUGACCACGAGGGUCUGUUUCCUGCGAGCAAACGAAGAACAAGCAAGAAAAUGAGAUUGCAAUCUGGAUAUUGCGAAUAUAAGAUGAAAGCUUUAUUGAUCAAGGUGGGGUUCUGUGACGCCUUUGUCUGGUCGUUGAACACAAACGAAGUACGUGAAGUUGCAGCUAUGGCAAACUUUAAUCUAAACAAAACCCAAAGUCUAAACGGUGCCCUAAGGGCUGUAUAUAUGGAGGAAGAGGGGGGAAUUUCGUGACCCUUGGUGGAGGGGUCCGAAAUCAACCCUAUCUCUUGUUUCCCCGCACAUACGGACUCUAAAAAUAACCUAUACUUAUGUAUUUCGAAAUUACAUGGGCCUAGCCCAAUAAUAAGGUGACGCAGCACCUAGAAUAGCCUCUAGACGAAAUUUAUGAAGUGGCAUCUUGUAUAUUUCGUCCAAGGCUUCAUGCACCCAUUAUGGUGGCUUCAAAGUCCUGAAAUCAUCACUUGUAACUCCGUUCUUGUUCCCCUUGCGCAUGCCAUCAUCUCCAUGCUUGCUCUUGCUCCAAUGUUCAUCCUUCUCCAAGCUAGGCCCUUCAUUUGUAAGCAAAACAAAUGUAUCCAAUUUAGGCAGCAUCAUAUUCUCAUGAACAUUAGAAUCAUUACCAAGAAACGAAAGUACCUGGUAAUUUAGUUGGCGUGCGCGAGCUCUAGUAAUUGGUCCAAUAUGUAUAGCAGCAGGGGCUGUGGGUGUAACAAUGGUAUUGAUGUCCUCAUCAUCCUCCCCUUCUUGAAAUGAAGUCGUCCUCGACGGAAGUUCAUCUUCCUCACCCAAAUAAGGCUUCAAAUCUGCAAUGUUAAAAGUGGGACUAACCCCAAAAUCUGCAGGCAGCUCAAAUUUGUAUGCAUUAUCAUUUAUUUUCUCUAGCACCUUAAAGGGACCAUCAGCACGUGGCAUUAGCUUUGAUUUGCGCAAAUCAGCAAAUCUAUCUUUACGCAAAUGUAACCAAACAAGAUCUCCAGUUGCAAAUACAACAUGUUUUCUACCCUUAUCUCCAGCAAGUUUAUAUUUAGCAUUCAUACGCUCAAUGUUUUCCUUAGUUAACUCAUGCAUUUUUAAAAUCAAUUCAACACGUUGUUUAGCAUCAAAAUUAACCUUCUCCGAAGAUGGAAGAGGCAACAAAUCAAUAGGUGCACGAGGUAGGAAACCAUACACAACUUCAAAAGGGCACAUCUUAGUAGUAGAAUGCAAUGAACGAUUAUAAGCAAAUUCAAUAUGAGGCAAGCAUUCCUCCCACAUUUUCUUAUUAUUCUUCAAAACAGCCCUAAGCAUAGUAGACAAUGUUCUAUUGACUACUUCAGUUUGUCCAUCAGUUUGGGGGUGACAAGUAGUACUAAAAAGCAGUUUAGUCCCUAACUUAGCCCAUAAACAUCUCCAAAAAUGGCUAAGAAAUUUAGUAUCACGAUCUGAAACAAUAGUAUUUGGGACACCAUGCAAGCGAAUAAUUUCACAAAAGAACAAAUCAGCAACAUUAACAGCAUCAUCGCUUUUAUGACAUGGUAUAAAGUGUGCCAUUUUCGAGAAUCUAUCCACGACAACAAAUAUGCUAUCCCUCCCCUUCUUUGUUCUAGGUAAAUCUAAAACAAAGUCCAUAGAUAUAUCCUCCCAAGGAACACUAGGUACAGGCAAAGGCAUAUAUAAACCAUGAGGAUUGAGUCGUGACUUAGCUUUUUGACAUGUAGUGCAGCGAGCAAUAAAAUGCUCAACAUCCCGUCUCAUCUUUGGCCAAAAGAAAUGUGUAGCAAGUACGUCCUCCAUCUUAUUCACGCCAAAGUGUCCCAUUAGUCCUCCUCCAUGCACCUCCUGCAACAACAAAAGACGAACGGAGCUAGCUGGAAUGCAUAGCUUGUUAGCACGGAACACAAAUCCAUCAUUAACGACAAACUUGUUCCAUGUUCUUCCUUCUUUACAAUUCUGCAAUACAUCUUUAAAAUUAGCAUCAUGCACAUAUUGAUCUUUGAUGGUCUCCAAACCAAAUAUUUUGAAGUCAAGUUGUGAAAGCAUAGUAUAGCGACGAGACAAUGCAUCAGCAAUAACAUUUUCUUUACCCUUCUUGUGUUUAAUGACAUAAGGGAAAGUCUCAAUGAAUUCAACCCAUUUAGCAUGUCUACAAUUCAGUUUAGCUUGACUUUUAAUAUGUUUCAAAGAUUCAUGAUGAGAAUGUAUAACAAAUUCUUUGGGCCAUAAAUAAUGUUGCCAUGUUUCUAAAGUCCGAACAAGAGCAUAUAAUUCUUUAUCAUAAGUAGAAUAAUUUAGACUAGGCCCACUCAAUUUUUCAGAAAAGUAUGCAACAGGUUUGCCAUCUUGUAAUAACACACCUCCUAGUCCAAUUCCACUAGCAUCACAUUCAAGCUCAAAAGUCCUAUUAAAAUCAGGAAGUUGGAGUAAAGGAGGCUGUGUCAACUUAUCUUUCAAUACCGUGAAGGCUUCUUGUGCGGUACCCCAAACAAAAGGCACAUCCUUCUUUGUAAGCUCAUUGAGAGGUGCAAUAAUGGUGCUGAAAUCUCUCACAAAACGCCUAUAGAAUCCAGCGAGGCCAAGAAAACUCCUCACUUGUGUGACCGUUUUGGGCUGCGGCCAACUCUCAAUAGCUUCAAUCUUGGCUUUAUCAACUUCAAUUCCCUGUGGAGUAACAACAUAACCAAGAAAAGGCACUCGAUCGGUGCAAAAGGUGCACUUCCCAAGGUUACCAAACAAACGUGCAUCACGUAGAGCAAUAAAAACAACACGUAAAUGUUCCAAAUGUUCCUCCAAAGAUCUGCUAUAAAUCAAUAUGUCAUCAAAGUAAACUACCACAAAUCGUCCAAUGAAAGCACGUAAAACUUCGUUCAUUAAUCUCAUGAAAGUACUAGGUGCAUUAGUUAACCCAAAAGGCAUGACUAACCACUCAUAUAAUCCAAACUUAGUUUUAAAUGCUGUUUUCCAUUCAUCCCCCAAUUUCAUACGAAUUUGAUGGUAUCCACUACGCAAAUCAACCUUGGAGAAUAUUAUAGAGCCACUCAAUUCAUCAAGCAUAUCAUCUAGCCUAGGAAUAGGAUGACGAUAACGAAUAGUAAUAUUAUUAAUGCCUCUACAAUCAACACACAUACGUGAUGUACCAUCCUUUUUCGGCACUAGAAUAAUAGGAAUAGCACAAGGACUAAGGGAUUCGCGUAUAUAACCUUUGUCGAGCAGCUCUUGUACUUGACGCAUAAUCUCCUUCGUCUCCUCUGGAUUGGUACGGUAUGGCGCACGGUUUGGCAGUGAAGCACCGGGAAUUAAGUCAAUCUGAUGCUCAAUCCCUCGAAUAGGCGGUAAUCCCGGUGGCACGUCUUGUGGAAAGACGUCAGUGAACUCCUGCAAAAUGUUAGUGACAGCAGGAGGCAAAGAGGAAGGCACGUCCUCGAAUGAAAAUAAUGCCUCUUUGCACACAAAAGCAUAACAAACAGAUUUGCUGAAAUCUAGCUCAUCAAUAUCAGAUUUGGUGGCAAAUAAACAUGCACUUUUCAAUUUUAUUUCAGAAGCAACACUAGAUGGUUUAUUAUUAGGCUUCAUUUGUUGCUCAAAUUCUUUUGCCACAAUCUGAUUUUCGCUCUUAUUCUUCUCCUGUUUUGCUUUAUUAGCUCUAUUAAUAUCAUCUUUCAAAAUAGAAUCAGGAGUCAUAGGAAGCAAAGUAAUAUUUUUAUCCUUAUGAACAAGAGUAUACUGAUUGUUUCUACCAUGGUGUACAGAAUUUUUAUCAAAUUGCCAUGGUCUACCAAGUAAUAAGGAACAUGCUUGCAUAGGUACCACAUCACAAUCAACAUAAUCAACAUAUGUAGAGAUACUAAAAUGCACACGAACAGUACGUGUUACCUUAACCUUGCCGCUGUUGUUGAACCAUUGGAUGUAGUAAGGAUGUGGAUGUGGUCUUGUGGUGAGAGAAAGCUUCUCCACCAUCUCCAUGCUAGCCAAGUUGUUGCAGCUCCCUCCGUCUAUGAUGACGCGCACAGAACAUUCCUUCACAACUCCCUUGGUAUGGAACAAAUUGUGCCUCUGAUUUUGCUCAGCUUGUGUGACCUGCACACUCAAAACACGUUGAGCAACUAAACAUUCAUACCUGUCAGCGUCUUCAGGAGCCAUGUAUUGCGUCUCAUGAUCAGAAUCAUCUCCACCAUGUUCUUCACGUGUAAUAAGAGCCAGCGUCUCCUCAUCAUAGUCACUAGCGGACUUAUACCCACCAUCCUCAGUAGCAAUCAUCACACGCUGAGAUUUGCAUUCUCUCGCAUAAUGACCUCUUCCCUUACAACGACGACAAAUAAUAUCACUUGUGUGCCCAGUUGAUGCCAUGGAAGAAGAAGAGCUCUGUGUAGGCCCGACAGGUGCGCUCUUGGCAGAUAGUGGUGGUUGUGCCUGCUUUCUUGUAUCACGACUGGAGGUAGCAGCUGAUGGAGGUGCUGGUGUAGUGGAAGUAGAGGAUGCACGCGGUGUCCAUGAUGAAAGUCGAUCUGCAGAAAAGUUAGUUCGUGCCAAUGCUUGUCGAUCCUGCACUUCACGUUCAGCUUUACAAGCAAGAUGGAAUAAACGAGUGAUAUUAGUAUACUCCUUAUACUCUAGAAUGGUCUGAAUCUCUCUAUUUAAUCCACCUAUAAAACGUGCAAGCAUAGCUUCAUUCUCCUCAACAAUACCACAUCUAAUCAUGCCAUUUUGUAAUUCCCGAUAAUAUUCUUCUACAGAAUUUUUCCCUUGUCUUAAACGCUGCAAUUUUUGAAGCAAUUCACGUUGAUAAUAUGGUGGAACCCAACGAGUAUGCAUAGCAGUUUUCAAAGCAGCCCAAGUAGUUGGAAUAGGAUAUAAUCUACAAUGUUCAGACCACCAUACACAUGCAAAACUAGUGAAAGCACAAACAGCAGCAGCAACCCGUCUCUCCUCGGGAUAUUGUAAACAUGUAAAACGUUGUUCAGUUUCUAACUCCCACGUAAGAUAUAUAUCAGGAACAUAUCUACCCUCAAAUGGUGGAAUAUUCAAUAUCAGUUUCGGAAUAUGGUCAUUAUCUCGUACCUGAGGUGGUAGUGCAGGCCUACCGUUGCGAAUAUAUACCCGAGGUCGACCUGCUGGUGGUGGUGCUGGUGGCUGCACGUAGUUCUGAUUUUGAUCAACCUCAUCCUCAUAAUAUUCCUCCACCUCUGUAGUAACAGCAGGAGCUACAGAAGCACCAACAGCAGUAGCAGCGGCACCAGAAUUUUGUCCUGGCUCAAUAGGAACACACUGUGCUCGUCCAUACUGAUUCGGAAGGGGGCGUUGUUGUAGUUGUUGUUGUUGCAGAGGUGCGAUAGGUGCAGCCGGAGGUGGUUGUGGAAAACGCGCGAGCAAUUCAUUAAACUUGCUAUCAAGCUUUGUUUCGAAUGUCUUCUCAAUGCCAUCUAUCUUCUCCAUGGCCUCGUCAAAUCUGUUUAGCACAUCUUGCACCUGUCCACUCAUCAUUUGCUGAAAUUUAUCAUGUAGCUGUUUGUUCGUCAGGUUCUCCCAAUCAGUCUCAUCGGCUUGUGAUCCUACCAUGGUUAGCAGCAAAUAGAAACACACAAGAAUAUGAUCCUAUAGACUACUAAGAAGUGGUGGUGGUGUAUCACAAACCCGUGAAGCAAAUCUCAAAUUCUUACUAGUUCUUACCCAGCAGCAGGCGGUGAUCGGCAACCGUUGUAGUCAAAACUCUCAAAGCUUGGAUAGAGCGAUUACCAGGGAGAGUCAAACGCACGACUUAGAUGUAUGUGGAGCUGGGAAGGCUUAUAAUAUCGUAGCAAAAAAGGUCAGCAAUAAUCAAUUCAGAGAUGCAAAGUUGAAUAAACGCUCAACGACGAUACUGUGCUGGUCCUAGGCUAGACUGUGCUAGAGACGCGAGCCUAGAACACCAACAAAAUCACGGCGCGGCACGUAAACAAGGGAGGAGCACACUCUGAAUUUUUUUUCUUUUUUUUUUCUUUUUUUCCUCUUUUUUUUUGCUCCGCAACAAUUUUUUUUUGAAAAAGUCUACAAAUGGUCUAAAAACUGCCUAGCCAGAAUUUUCCAUACUUAGUUUUUUUUGAAACUGGAACUAUUUUUCUUCUGCGGAUGGCUCGGAAGUUGGGGAGUCCUUCUCUGUCACGACUCGGAGUAUCGCAUGAUCUGGAAAUCGAGAACAAUGCAACAAUUACUGGACCCGGACUAGGACUGGUGGCGGAGAUGAAACUGGUGGAACUUGGACUGGUGGCGAAGAUGAAUCUGGUGGAACUCGGACUGGUGGCGGAGAUGAAUCUGGUGGAACUCGGACAGGUGGCGGAUAUAUGUUGCAGGUGAACUCGGAUUGGCGUGAUGGCGGCAGAUAUGUGGUGGCGUAUAUGGAUUCGGAUUGGCGGUGAAUAUGUGGUGGUGGUAUAUGGCAGCAGCGACGAUGAUAACCUGUGAACAGAACUCGAAACUCUAAAAGACUAGACGCUAAGACCAGCAACUUGACACGACGAUGCAACCGCAAAUUCAACAAAGCAAAUACAGAAAAGAUUAUGCAAAGGCUCAGAUUGGUUCGGAUGGGAUGAACUAACCCUAAAUUUUUUUUGGCUUUUUCGUGGACUAUAGGUAUGAAGAAUAGACUCGAUCUAAACUACGAAAAACUGUAAAAUCUCACCGAGCAACCUGGAAAUCUGAUACCACUUGAUAGAGGCAAAGGUGUCCCGUCUUUCGAUGAGAUGAUGGAUUUCGCUUUGGUGGAAGUCGACUUUGACGAUCCGACUGUGAACGUGUGAGGACGUCGCGCCUUAGCAAUCGCUAAACCAACUCCAGAGGUUAUUGACCACGCCGGAGCACGAUCAAGCUGACCACGAGGGUCUGUUUCCUGCGAGCAAACGAAGAACAAGCAAGAAAAUGAGAUUGCAAUCUGGAUAUUGCGAAUAUAAGAUGAAAGCUUUAUUGAUCAAGGUGGGGUUCUGUGACGCCUUUGUCUGGUCGUUGAACACAAACGAAGUACGUGAAGUUGCAGCUAUGGCGAACUUUAAUCUAAACAAAACCCAAAAUCUAAACGGUGCCCUAAGGGCUGUAUAUAUGGAGGAAGAGGGGGGAAUUUCGUGACCCUUGGUGGAGGGGUCCGAAAUCAACCCUAUCUCUUGUUUCCCCGCACAUACGGACUCUAAAAAUAACCUAUACUUAUGUAUUUCGAAAUUACAUGGGCCUGGCCCAAUAAUAAGGUGACGCAGCACCUAGAAUAGCCUCUAGACGAAAUUUAUGAAGUGGCAUCUUGUAUAUUUCGUCCAAGGCUUCAUGCACCCAUUAUGGUGGCUUCAAAGUCCUGAAAUCAUCACUUGUAACUCCGUUCUUGUUCCCCUUGCGCAUGCCAUCAUCUCCAUGCUUGCUCUUGCUCCAAUGUUCAUCCUUCUCCAAGCUAGGCCCUUCAUUUGUAAGCAAAACAAAUGUAUCCAAUUUAGGCAGCAUCAUAUUCUCAUGAACAUUAGAAUCAUUACCAAGAAACAAAAGUACCUGGUAAUUUAGUUGGCGUGCGCGAGCUCUAGUAAUUGGUCCAGUAUGUAUAGCAGUAGGGGCUGUGGGUGUAACAAUGGUAUUGAUGUCCUCAUCAGGAGAGCUCUGACUGGCUUUCGGGAGCCCCGAACAGUCAUCAUUCUGACCUACCUGGCUGACUCAGAGUCCUUUAAAGGGAUGUUUGUACAAACCCUAUUGAUUAAGGGAUGUGAUGACGUUGGUUCCUGGAUCCAGGCACCUUACCUUGCAAAAUGGGGAGUCGCAGAGGAUACAGAUCAAGUGUCAUGUCGUCAGGGCAAACGCUUCCGUUUCAAGCCCGCUAUAAGUAAGGAAAAAGUACGAAGGAUUUUCUUAUUCCUCCACCCUCAUGCAUUUCCGUUUCCUGCCUCCUGCUAUCGAAGGCAUGCCACCAUCGCUAGAUCUUCACCGAUUGCGUUUGUAACUCUGGUCCACCCCUUUCCGCCACCGAGAUGGCUAGCACUAGGAGCGAGAGGGUUCCUCGGGAUUCCAGCCAGGAUCUGCCCCCGUUGGGGUGGGGAUGACGCAAAAGAGGGUCAUCUUCAAGGCGGUGAGAGACCGCAGUCGGAAAUCCCCAAGAUCAUGGGAAAGUGGUUCCCUUCCUCGACCAUCGACGAAGAACUUUAGGGCCUCGUGGAGAUACGGCUGAUUCCGGCGCAUCUGGAGUGCCGCCUCCGAGCGGAUGAGGCUCAACCAACUCCUCGUGACGGCCCAUAAUACCGUUAGAUCCCUUGUUAGGGUUCAUGACGAGGUAGAAAGUACCAGGACGGAGCCCGCACGCACAGGUUACCCAGGUUCGGGCCUCCUAAGAGUAAUACCCUACAUCUUGCUUAUUGUUAUUUAUGGUGGAGGGAUAACUCGUGCAAGGGAUUACAACGGUGUCUGAGAUUGCUACCAGAGUCUUCCUAUAUAAGAUUGGAUGACCUAGAGGGCUGCCUAACCUCCCUUUAUAUAGACAAGGAGGCCUAGGGUUUACAUGGUGGUAGAUGCAAUCUAGGCCGCCGCUUCCCUUCUCUUGAGUAACAGGUCAUAGCAAGGUCGGUUUCGCCCAUUGUUGGGCCUUGAUAACCAGCCCAACACUUCACUUGGUGUGGCUUGGUUAUCCACCCCCGGGUCAUGGCUCCGUUGUGUGGUAGAGGUCGUUGGCGGCUUUAGACCUCCGUCGAGCUCCUUUGUCAUGUAGACGCGACCUCCAUCGCUUCAAGCGACUCCCUUGUUUCGGAGCUCUUGCCUUUUGUAGGGGAGACCCGCGUGCAUGCCUUGCGCCCUCUUCCCGUAUCAACCAUCCUGGUGGGGUUGUUUAUCAGGCCACUUGAGCUAUUACGUCGCCUUUUGCACGACUCAAAACCACCGCGGGCCAGCUCGUCACCUAUGGGCAGUUGAUGUCACUAGAAAGAUUCAGAUGCUUUUUCUGUUAUAAAUACAAUGGUAGGAGGCGGUGCUUCGUCCGCUAGUUCUUCUUCCUCCAAAUACCCUUCGCCCGCCAUUACCAGGCUUAAAUAACUGAACAUCGAGAGGGAGAUGGCUUCUUCUUCUGCGCCUCCUAGGGAGAUCCCAGGUUAGGAGGGUUAGCUAGGCAUGCAAUUGUCGUCCUUACCAUGUUUGCCUAGUCCGCCCGAGUGGGUGAGAAAUUGGAAACACUCCUCCGUCUCUAAAUCCGUUUUGGAGCAGUUGGUGAAGAUGGGCCGGCUGUUGGAGUUCAUCGUAAUGGCCUGGAUGGCACCCCGACAGAGGGAUGUGGUUCCGCGGCCACUUUGUUGGAACCAAGUAGUACACGUGGCUUUUAUCCAUCGUGGGCUGCGACUUCCACCGUGAGUCCUUUCGCCAGAGGUGUGUUGACCCUCUACAGACAACAGCUGCAUCACCUUAUUCCAAGCGGUGUGUUGCAUAUGUCUUGCUUCGUGACUCUUUGUGAAUGCUUCUUUGGGGUUCACACACAUUUUGAUCUCUUCAGGUAUUUCUUUGAAGCAGCUCCUUGUCGUGGUUUUGUCACGGCAGAUGUCCUAGUGUGAGGACUUAGUCGUGAGGCCAUCGCAACUAGGUAGUAUCUUGAACGGGGUUGGUCGGAAUCGAGAGACAUGAGAUUUUACCCAGGUUCGGCCCCUCGUGGUGGAGGUACAAGCCUACAUCCUGCUUGCUUGAUAUUGAUGAUGAUGAUCUCGGUUAUAAGGGCGGUGCUUCGCUACCUCUAUCUCGAGAGCAUCUACUUUGAUCUUGUCUAAGACUUGUUUGUCUGUCUAAAAGCUCGUUCCCCUUGGGGUGCCCUGCCCCUCCUUAUAUAAGUUGAAGGGUCGGGUUACAUGUAGAGUUGUAGUAGGAUUAGGACUUAGCCUAGUUAUGACUUCUUAUCACGGGCUUCUUAACCCUGGGCUUCCCACCGUGGUCUUCUUAACGCCCAGGCUUCUUAUCUCCAGGCAGCUCAUCUUCAGGGCUCAUCUUUGAGAUCAUCUCUCCAGGAUUCUAAGUAGAUGCUGGGUUAGGAUCUGGGUUACACAAUCUGCCAGGUUAGGAUCUGGGGUACACAAUUGACCGGGCUACACAAUCUACCAGGCUAGGAUCUGCCAGGCUAGGAUCUGCUAGGCUAGGAUCUACUGGAUUAGCACCUACCGGGUUAAGUCUAGAGAUGACUUAACAUCAUGAGUCGGGUUUAACCGCGGGUAAUUCCCCCGACAACCCUCGUCUAGGCUCCAAUUAUUUUGAGGUGGCGACCGCCCUGGAGCCUGAUUCAUGGAAGUGGGGGUGAUUUUAUGGCCUGAAUAACUCCUUCGACCUUGACGACCCUGGGCUGUCUGAGUUAGCCGACGAGCCUUGCUGGCAGAGGCUAGAGUGGAGAUCGAAGACCGUUUUCUCCUUGGAGAUCGACCUUUUGAUAGAUGCGGUUUUCGUCUGCAGGAGAAAGGGCUCUCCGGGCUGCAGAUCCUGAAGACCUAGGUGGAGCAGAAUGUUCAGCCCUUGUGGUGGAUUGAGUCCCCCAUGUAUGAGUAUUGAGGGUUGGGUGACCCCAGCCGCCUGCUUUGGUUGGAGCUUUCGGAAAGCGAGGUCAAAGAUCGUGUACACCUGCUGACUGGCCUCCCUCUCGGGGAGAUCCACAUGGAGGUCUCCAUGAAGCCCUACAACCAAGUGAAUCUGUGGCCUCCGAUAAGUUGCAGGUGUCCACUUUUUUCUGUUUUAUUGGGGACGACACACUAUGCUUUGUCCUAACACUCCAGCGCCAUUUUUCCUUCUUCGGCCAGUCUUUCAAGCAUUUGCGGAGCAGUGCCUGCCCCCCGCGGCCUCAUGGCUACGUUGUGGCCCAGUACUACAGGGGUCAUGAGGCCAUUAAUAAAAGCAGUUACAAUGAUUCUGCGGUUAAAGCCACCGCUAAGGCAAGGGAAUCUGUCAAGAGGUUGGCGUCUUCUCCAGGAAAAACUUUUGUGGUGAAGGUCGCAUGGUUGCAGGCGGGGUCUGCUGGAGGGUCAUCGAUGGAAACAGGGUUGACAUGGGAGGACACUACAAGAUCUGACUCCUUGGAUCCCCCGCUGGACACGUCCAAUUCUCCAGCCAGAGAGCUCAUGCUCCUGACGAACCACCCGGAGGAGUCGUCCAAAGCGCGGGCCUCCGCACCUUUGGUAAGUCCUCCUCAGAAGCCGAACGGUGGCAGCCAAGAAGAAACUCGCAAGCCGCCGCCCACCUCUAUCAUCCAUGAUCCAACUUCCCAUGGCGGAAUUGCCUUGUGGUCAUUCAGGCUCUGGAGGUCUUGAGCAUUCCAAUCGCCCUACAACGCAGUUUGGGGCCUCGGUGGAGGCCGCGGUGUUACCUCGCGGGCUCUUCUCUAGGGCCGAUGUAGUGGGCAGUGGUAUGCGGCGUUUGACCUUGCUACCCUUACACGAGGGUCAUCCGAACACCCCCCUGUGUUAGACCGCUUGAGGGCUGUUGUUCGCAGAAGUGGAGCCCUAGGAUAGGCACUGCAGGUUGCGUUAGGGGAGCCUUGAUAGAGGCAAAGGUGUCCCUGAAAAAGCACGGAGGCUGGAACUGAGGUAGCGCGUUGGUUCUCUCAUAGUAUGUCAGCAGCCUGACAACAGACACCAGCGUUGUAGCUGUUCUGGCAUGCAACGAGGGCGCUAAAGAUUCAAAGGUGGAAGAUGGUCCAACGACGAGCCGACCCAUGAGGCAAAAGAGAACACCUGCGCGAUUUGCUGAUCCAGCUUGGGCCCAUUAACUAUGUUAACGACCGCUGGGUUCGGCGCUAGGCAUAGAAUCUCCGGAGUCUGGCCACGUUCCAUGGGUUCGGCUCGAGUCUGUUAUCAGAUGCAUUACGUAAGCGGUAUGCUCCUCCGGUGAGAACUUUAUCAAUGACGAAGGGACCUUCCCACUUAGGUUUGAGCUUGUCCUUCUUCUUCUCCGGUAGGCGUAGAACGAGUUCGCCAAUAUUAUAAGUUUUGGCCCGCACUUCUCUGCUUUGGUACCGUCGAGCCUGCUGCUGAUAGAAUGCAGAGCGGGCUUUUGCAACGUCGCACUCCUCCUGCAGAGCAUCCAAGUUAUCCUGCCGAUCUAACUCGGCUUCCUUCUCUUCGUACAUGCGUACGUGAGGCGAAUCAUGUAUUAUGUCGCAGGGUAGUACUGCUUCCGCGUCGUACACCAUAAAAAAUGUUGUAUAUCCGGUGGUGCGAUUCGGUGUGGUCUGCAGCCCCCAGAGUACGGAGUCGAGCUCCUCGACCCAGUGCGUGUCCGACUCUGUCAAGGAUCGCACUAGUCUGGGUUUGAUGCCGCUCAUGAUGAGACCGUUCGCACGUUCGACCUGGUUGUUUGUUUGGGGAUGGUAGACGGAAGCGUGGUCGAGCUUAAUGCCCAUUUUGUCGCACCAAGUUUUCACUUCAUCGGUUGUGAAAUUUGAGACAUUAUCAGUGAUGAUGCUGUGGGGGACGCCGUAUUGGUGUACAACCCCGGCUAUGAAGUCUAUCACUGGUCCGGAUUCGGCCAUUUUGACUGGUUUAGCUUCUAUCCAUUUGGUGAACUUGUCCACCAUGACCAAUAAGUAUUUUUUCUUAUGGCUUCCCCCUUUAAGUGGUCCGACCAUAUCCAGCCCCAAGACCGCGAAGGGCCAAGUUAUGGGGAUUGUUUGGAGAGCGGUAGGGGGCAUAUGACUCUGAUUGGCAAAGAGCCGGCAAUCGACGCAGUGUUGGACAAGGUCCUGUGCGUCUGCUCGGGCUGUCGGCCAAUAAAAGCCUGUACGGAAGGCCUUGCUGACUAGUGCUCGAGCCGCGGCGUGGUGCCCGCCCAGUCCGGCAUGGAUUUCAGCCAAGAGCUGCCACCCUUCCUCUUCGAAGAUGCACCUUUGGAGCACUCCGGUCGCACUUUUCUUAUAGAGUUCCCCUUCAUGGACUUUGUAAGCUUUAGAACGCCGCACGAUGCAACGUGCUUCAUUUUGGUCUUCGGGGAGCUCCUGCCUGUUUAGCUAGGCCAAGAAAGGUUCAGUCCACGAGGCGAUUACAACCAUGAUUUCGUGGGCCGAAGAUGUUAUUUCGGUGGUGGAGACUCCGAUUAUGUCUGAUGGUUCAGAAUCUGGGGGUGUAUUCGGAUCCGUGCUAGUGCUGCCGGACUCCCCUUCCCAUACCACAGAUGGCUUGAACAACCUUUCUAGGAAUAUGGUAGGUGAGACAGGGUCGCGUUUAGUGCCGAUGCGGGCAAGGAUAUCCGCCGCUUGAUUAUUUUCUCGAGCCACAUGGUGGAAUUUGAGCCCCUCAAACCGAGCUGACAUUUUGUGGAUGGCAUUACGGUAGGCCGCCAUUUUCGUAUCCUUGACGUCAAAGUCUCCGUUUAUUUGUGAUAUUGCGAGGUUUGAAUCCCCGCGCACCUCCAGGCAUUGAAUGCCCAUAGAGACUGCCAUCCGAAGACCGUGCAACAGAGCCUCGUAUUCGGCUGCAUUGUUGGAGUCUGUGUAUAAUAUUUGGAGUACGUACUGGACCGUGUCUCAUGUGGGAGACGUCAAGACUACACCUGCUCCCAAUCCGGCCAGCAUUUUACAGCCGUCGAAGUGCAUGAUCCAGUUAGAGUACGCGCCGUACUCUUUAGGGAGUUCGGCUUCCAUCCAUUCGGCGACAAAGUCAGCCAGCACUUGCGACUUGAUGGCCCGCCGUGGCUUGUAUGUUAUGUCGAACGGAAGGAGCUCGAUGGCCCAUUUAGCAAUCCGGCCCGUAGCUCCGCGGUUAUUUAUUAUGUCGUUGAGUGUUACUUCGGAGGCCACCGUAAUCGAACACUCUUGAAAGUAGUGUCAUAGCUUCUGGGAUGCCAUGAAGACCGCGUAUGCUAUUUUUUGAUAGUGUGGGUAUCGGGAUUUGCAUGGGGUGAGGACUGUGGAUACAUAAUAAACCGGCUUCUGGAGCGGGAAUUUGUAUCCGUUAACCUCUCGUUCAACGACGAGCACUGCGCUUACAACUUGAUGUGUUACAGCUAUGGACAACAGCAUAGGUUCGCAAAUAUUUGGCGCUAUUAGGACCGGAUUACUGGCCAAUAAGGUCUUUAUUCCGUCUAGUCCGGCCGCGGCUGCAUCCAUCCACACGAAGUGUUCGGUGCGCGAAGAAGGCGGUAAAGAGGUAAUGCCUUUUCUCCUAACCUGGAGAUAAAUCGGCUUAAGGCAGCCACACAUCCAGCUAGUUUCUGGAUGUGCUUGAGGUCUGUUGGUAUAGCCAACUGCGACAGAGCUCAGAUUUUUGCCGGAUUCGCUUCAAUUCCUCUAUUGGAAGCAAUGAAGCCGAGCAGUUUCCCAGAGGGGACGCCGAAAACACAUUUUUUCCGGGUUUAGCUUGAUGUCGUAUGUUCGGAGGUUAUCGAACGUAAGCCUCAAGUCGUCUAUUAGGGUUUCAACAUGUCUUAUUUUUAUGACCACGUCGUCCAUAUAUGCCUCCACUGUUUUGCCGAUUUGCUUUUCUAGGCAUGUUUGAAUCAUGCAUUGAUAUGUUCCGCCGGCAUUUUUAAGCCCGAAAGGCAUAGUGUUGAAGCAGAAAGGACCGUAUGGCAUUAUGAAAGCUGUUGCAGCUUGGUCGGACUUUGCCAUCUUUAUUUGAUGUUAUCCAGAGUAUCCGUCGAGGAAACAUAGCGAGUCGUGUCCUGCUGUAGCGUCGAUGAUUUGGUCGAUGCGAGGGAGGGGGAAGGGAUCCUUGGGGCAAGCCUUUUUGAGGUCUUUGAAGUCGACACAUAGGCGCCAGGAUUUGUCCUUCUUUGGUACCAUUACCAGAUUUGCCAGCCAAUCCGGAUGCUUGAUAUCUCUGAUGAAUCCGGCCUCGAGUAGUUUGGCUAGCUCUUCCCCCAUGGCUUGACGUUUGGGCUCUGAAAAGCGCCUUAGAGUCUGCUUGACAGGCUUGUAUCCUUUUAGUAUAUUGAGGUUGUGUUUGGCCAGUCUGCGUGGGAUGCCCGGGAUGUCCGAAGGGUGCUAGGCGAAAAUGUCCCAAUUCUCGCGCAGGAAGUCUCGCAGUGCGGCGUCCAUUGUGGGGCUCAACUGUGUCCCGAUGGAAGCUGUCUUCGUGUGGUCCGUUGGAUGGACCUGGAAUUUGACUAUUUCGUCUGCGGGUUUGAAUGAGGUGGACUUGGGUCGCUUGUAAAGUAUCAUGUCGUCCCUGUCCACGGUGGCGCGCAUCGUUGUUAGUUCUUCGGCUGCUAGGGCUUCGGACAAUGCUUCCAGGGCUAGUGCUGCGGUUUUGUUUUUGGCGCAAAGUGCGACGUCCGGAUCACUGGCUAAAGUGAUGAUUCCAUUGGGUCCGGGCAUUUUAAGCUUCAUGUACCCAUAAUGGGGUAUAGCUUGAAAGCUUGUAAAUGCCUCCCGCCCUAGAAGGGCGUGGUAUCCGCUACUGAAAGGAGCCACUUGGAAUGUGAUUUCUUCGGACCUGUAGUUCUCCAGAGUGCCAAAUACCACAUCAAGUGUGAUUUUUCCCGCGCACCAUGCUUCUCGACUGGGGAUGAUUCCCCUGAAGGUUGUGCCACUUUGCUCAAUGCAGCUUUUAUCAAUUUCCAUCUUGCUGAGUGUUUCUUCAUAGAUCAAGUUUAAUCUGCUUCCGCCAUCCAUGAGUACUUUAGUGAGCCGAAAGCCAUCUACGAUUGGGCUACGGACCAAAGCGGCUGGUGCCCGGACGGUCUAGAAUUGAGGUUCAUCACUGGCAUUGAAAGUUAUAGCAGUGUCAUUCCACGGAUUUAUUUUUGCCACAUGGCAGAUUUCAGCGGAGCUUCGAUGAGCUCGCUUGCACCUACUGUUUGAGGAAAAAGUCUCGAAGACUGUUAGUACCGUAUUGUUUUCUUUGGCGGGACAUUGUUCUGCUUUAUGGCUUACAAGAAGAUCCUCGCCACUUUUUGCUACCUACCGGAGUAUCCAACAUGCUCUAAGGCUAUGUGUUGGUGUAGUGUCCGGCGUGCUGUGGAGUUUACAUGGCCCGUUGAUCCAUUCUUCCAAUACGGUUCCACGCGCUGGGGUGGGCUUUGGUUUCUUGGGAGUUGGAUCGGCCGACUUUCUAGAGUUCGUCCAUUUAGCUCCGACAAAGGUUUUACUGAGAGCCGGACUAUCCCAAAAUUCUGUUUGGGUUUUCCAAGCGCUUUCCAUCGCACAGUACUUUUGUACUAUGGUUGCCAAGUCUGCGAAGUUUGCUAUGUCACGGCGACUUAUAGCAUUAAGGAUUCCUUUGUUCGUGCAGUUUUUGCAAAAAAGUGAGACUGCGUCCUCCUCACGACAGUCCUUGACCUUGUUUAACACAAGGAGGAAUCUGGCCAGUAGCGAUGUACUGUCUCUUGGGGCUCUUGUCUGAUAUGGGAGAGAGGGUUUAAGUACGGGUGGGUGGGUGUAGCUGAAUCUUGAUUCUGAUCCGAUCUAACGCCCUGGGGCAGGGAAGCUUCCGGGCUUGACAGCUCGGGAUCCAGCAUGCUACCCAGUUUCUCCGACCCAAUAGCCGAUUCUAAGUCCGGGGUCUGGGUCAUGUCUUCCCUUGAGCGGGUGUCCGGCUCAGGGAGCUCGGUGAUCCGGACAUAACUUGUCCUCAAGAUAGAGGGGUAAUCCGUAUGUGGCUCCUCCACUACCGCUAUCUCGUGGGUGACCAGCGGGGAUUUAAUGUCCCUUUGGUCGGGUUUAAGCCCAACCCGGUCAUAGUCUGUGGCAACUCCCAGAGUGGCGAUGCGAUCCAAGAGCUCAUUAAGAGAGGAGAGCUCCAUCGGAUCCAUCUGUUCGGCGAGUUCCGAAUCGACGUGGAGGUUAUGCGUGAUGACCCAAGAGGUCAUCAUCGGCGCGACAGCCGACGGGACAGCCAUGAUGAAGCCGCCUAGUCGGAGAGUUUGGCCUACAGCCAGCGCUCCCCCAGAGGUGAUGCUGUCCUUGACAACGAGACGGGCCAUCGAGCCUUGCAGCGACGACACAGAGGGACUCUCAAUGAAAGCACCAAUGUCGGUGUCAAAACCAGCGGAUCUUGGGUAGGUGGUCCUGAUGUGUGCGUCUUAGGCUGAUGGUAACAGGAGACAAGGGACACAAUGUUUACCCACGUUCGGGCCCUCUCGAUGGAGGUAAAACCCUACUUCAUGCUUGAUUGAUAUUGAAGAUAUGAGUAGUACAAGUGUAGAUCUACCACGAGAUCGUAGAGGCUAAACUCUAGAAGCUAGCCUAUGAUGAUUAUGAUUGUGAUCAUUCCUCUAAGGACCAACCUCUCCGGUUUAUAUAGACACCGAAGAGGGCUAGGGUUUACACGGAGUUAGUUACAAGGAAGGAAAUACAAUAUCUGGAUCGCCAAGCUUGUCUUCCACGGAAAGGAGAGUCCCAUCCGGACACGGGACAGAGUCUUGAGUCUUGUAUCUUCACGCUCCAACAGUCCGGACAAAGUAUUUAGUCUGGCUGUCCGGAUACCCCCUAAUCUAGGACUCCCUCAACUACCGUCAGUCACAGUUUCUUUGCAAGUACCAGUUCAGAUACUCCAGUAGCGCGUUCACCAGGUUGGCCAUAAACUCGUGGCCCAGGGAUUGAUUUUAUGGAGUGGUUGUUCUACUGACGAAGCCACUUGGGAAGAUCUGGACUCACUCAAAUAACAAUCCCCGAGAGUUCCGCCUUGGGGUCAAGUCGUUUCUAAAGGAAGGGGGGAUGUCAGCACCCCGACAACAGACAGCAGCACUGUAGCUGUUCCGGCACGCAACGAGGGCGCUGAAGAUUCGAAGGCGGAAGAUGGGCCAACAACAAGCUGGCCCAUGAGGCAAAAGAGAACUCCGGCGCGAUUCGCUGAUCCAGCUUGGUCCCGUUAACUGUGUUAACGACCGCCUCCUUUAAAUAGCUAGCUUACCAUUGUAAGAGGAUAGAAAGGAAUUGGACGGCGGCUUUGGCCAAUGCUUGUAAUCUCUAUGUAGCUGUGUGGGUGGUUGGCGGGUUAGCUAUGCAAACACUUUCCCCUCUCGAUUUGGAAAUGAAACCCUAGUCCGAUUCCAAUAGAUCGAGAGAGAUCCUUACAUAGUAGCCCCCGAGCCUGAAGUAGAUUGUGACACAAUGUGCUUGAGGCUUCAUUUAUUUUGUUGUAGGCCUUCGUUGUGCAUAGAGCGGAGCUGACUGCGUGGUCCCGCUAACCAAGCCAGCUGGUGGUGGCGAAAUAGGAGCGUGAUUCUCGGUUUGAGAGAACUCUCACAGACGUCUUGUGUAAGUCCUAUGUGUCCUGCCUUCAAGUUACUAUGUUGUGAAUUUGUUCCGAGUAUUCUUCACCUAAAAUAGUGAAGGAUCGUGUGCUGGAGAUGCAAGGGCGCCUCGACGCCAAUCGAAAGGUGGCGAGUCGUGCUCGUGAUGUCGUGGAGGCCAAGCUCAUGGAGGCGCGGUCCUACCAGGACGUUCUUCGUGCUGAGGGUGAUGUGCUGGACAGGAACCGGGACAUUACCGAAGACCACCAUGAUGAGAUGCAGGAAGGUCGGGUGAAGGAGGCUGAGCUCCAGAGGAGAAUGGAAAGUGCUUGAGGUCAUAUCGCGGCCACCCAUGUCCAAUUGGAGGGUUUCAGGGUGCAUGAGGCCUCGUUGUUGGAGGCCGGGCAACAAGUUGUGCUACUUGUAAGUUGCUUUGGGAUUUUCCUCGAAGAGGAAGGGUGAAGCAGUAUAUUAUCGAUAAGUUUCCUUAGUUGAGAACCAAGGUUUAUCAAACCAGAAGGAGCACCAACCAGAUCUUAGUGAACAACACCUGCAUACACAAAAGUAAACACCUGCACCCAACACGGGCAAGAGGGUUGUCAAUCCCCUUGAACUCGUUACUUCCAAGAAUCAAAUCUUGUAUAGGUAGAUGGAUAAAUUGCAAAACAAAAUAAAAGAUAAAAAAUUGCAGCAAUGUAUUUUUGGUGUUUAUAAUAUGAUUAAAGUAGACCCAGGCACUACUAGCUAAUACCUUGUAGGUAGAGGAUUAACAGUAGCGAUGGCUUAAUGGGAAGCGCUAUUGUUAUUUAGCAGCAGCACGGGCAUGCUAUCCGCACUGCAGGUGGGAUUUAGCAGUAGGCUAGCCUGCCAGACCAGCGCAACUACUAUGCGGGCCUCGCCGUGUCCCCAUGGGCUGGCCAUAUUGGCAACACGGGUCACAGACCAACGGUUCUGCUAAACCCAUUAGCAAUAGUGCUGGCUGAUGGCCCGCGCUGCUAUCAUGGCCAGCCCGGGCCCACAGGCUUGUCCCCACUUAGCAGCAGUGCUAGCCGAAGACCCGUGCUAUAACUAAUGGGUUUAGCAGUAGCGUUGGGCUCUGACCCCGCACUGCUGCUAAGUGGGCCUUACCCUGUCUAUAUUGGCGCCCGUUGUGCACUCUCCCUCUCCACUCUCUCUACCUUCAUCACCUCCCGUGCUGUCACCGUCGUUGCCGCACCGACAUCCUGCUCGGUAAGCCUCCUUCCUCCUCCAACCGGUUGCCCCUCCUCCCUCCUCCAACCGUUGCUGCCCCUCCUCCCUCCUUAUCCUCCACCCCCCGCCCCUCCUGCCCCUCCUCCCUAGGUUUUUGGGAUUUUCUUCAAGUUCUAGCAUUUCUUCAAGUUCUAGGUCUAAAUGGAAAUUAAUUGCUAAUGUCCUGCUAUAUGCAUGUUUUUAUAGGUUUUCAUAGAUGUAGUAGUAGUAGAUGAGUAGUUGUGAAAAUGUGAAGUCAUUAUUUUUUUGAAAUAAAAAUGUGAAGCUAGUAUUCUUUUGACAUGAAAAUGUGAAGCUAGUAUUUUCUUUUGAUGAAAAACUGAAGCUAGUAUUGUUUUUCAAAUGAAAAACUGAAGCUAGUAUUUUUCUGAAAUGGAAACAUGAGGACUUAGGGCAUCGACGAAAAAGGUUAGUGUCUCACACAAUUUGACUUUAGAAAGGAGCAACAAUAGUUGACUAUAGUAGUCCUUUGAAUGAUUUUAAAACAUGGGAGAAUGGGCAUUACAAUUUCUUUGCUCUCUUGUGGUACGAUAUAGAACUUGGAAAAUUGGUGGGAAGGAAAUUGAAACAAAAUCACAAUUUUGAGUUGGAAUUUCAUUUUUGCAUUUGUUAGUUCUACAUGGAGAGGACUGUUGAAUGCUCAUGUGGUGCAGGGUAGAUCACCGACGAGCCACUCGACAAUGCCCAGAAAAUCACUGAUGACACCUGCAUCCUCGACAACCGUCUAGUGAGUAAAGAUGGUCUAUUUGGACAUGUGAUAUGUGGAGUAGUGUUGUGUAGUACUAGUGUUGUCACAGAAUGAUAUUUUGGAAAAUUAUAUGAUGGAUAUGUCUACUACAAGUGUAUGUGUUUUCCCAAGUGCUAUCUUCGCUUUUAUUGUUUGCAGGGAACACCUUCGAGUGGCCUAUGUUUUGCCAGAGUGUUGAUUCAUUUCCGUUCAAGCAAAUUUCAGGCGCUCGAUAUGUCCUAUUUUAGCAAAGGUCAUGCCGGAAUUUUCCAUGAAUUUUAGAUUGACUUGUGCUAUAAUAUAGGAAAUAUCAAGUGCCUUGGAUUUGUCAGAAAGAUAAUUAAACGACCUUUCAGGUUAACUUCAAGUCUGUCGGGGCUCCAUACAUGACGGUAAAAAAAUCAGUGAGGGAGAGUGUCCGCCAUAUAUGAGACAAGAACAAUGCCGACUAUUGUCAUGGGGGUCGCUCUUCCUCUUCUUUCUCGUGAUAUACCUUUUGGUAGUGCACGGGAAGGAAGAGAAGAGUGACCAUCACCAACGGCCAAAAAAUCAGUGAGGGAGUGUCCACCAUAUAUAGUUGAAAUAUCAGUGAGGAAGAAUCCCGACUGUUGUCCUGGGGGUCGCUUCUUCUUCAUUCGCAGGUGCUAGACAUUUUUGUGUAAUGCACUUUCGAAUGAAAGGAGGAGCGAUCAUCACCGAUGGUCGAAUAUAUCAGAGAGGAAGAAGCCCAACUAUUGUCGUGGGGGUCGGUUCUCCAUGUUCCUGUGUGCUAGAAAUUUUGGUGUAAUGCACUCGGGAACGAAGGGAUGAGCGACCAUCACCGAUGGUCGAAUAUACUAGAGAGGAAGUGCCCACCAUAUACCCCACAUGAGAUGAGAGUUUUCAAGGAAGACUCGACAGACCAAAAGUCAACCCAUGCUGAAUAGUGAUAUGUGUGUUGAGUUUUUGGUAAUAUCCGUUAAUUUAUAAGCUUUGAAUUAUGAACACAGGAAAUGUCUGACGAUGAUAGGAUUUUCGAGUGCGAAUACUACAACAACGACUAGGAUAUGUGCGACAUGCAUCACCUGGAAAACAGUAGAUUCUUUACCAUCAAGCUGGAUGAGACCUUUGACGAUUUUAUGGUACGCAACAACGACAAGUAUUUUUUUCGUAAUUAAGCAUGGCUUGCACUUAUUUGCUUCAACAUGUAAUUUCUUUUUUACAAUUCUACUAGUGCAUCCCCUGCCAUGCAAGGCUGUUUGUCUUGGAUAAGCUUGAUUUCCAAGAUAGUGACAAUAUGGAGAUGAAGAUAGCCCAUCUAAGGACUCAACAUGGUUACGCUUUUGCGGUUAAGGUCCACAAUGCAGUUAAUCACACACAUUUUGGUUGCUCAAAUUAGAGAGCUCUAUGCAAGGCCUAUCGAUUUCAGGAGGAUAUGCAAAUAACCUUCGAUAUUCGUCCUGAAGAUGAUGUUCAAGAUAGUAUCGAACUUUGGGUGAAUCUGGAUAUGCUUCCAGUUCUACCUCUAUGUGAGUUUGUCAAACAAAUUUGUCAAGUAAUUUAUAUUGCUUAUUUAAAAAUAGUUGACAACUUAUUUCCAUUGACAGCUUAUUUCCAUUCUUUAAGAACUGUACGGAAGGUAUAGACAACACAUACUGCAGUUAUGGCUCUGAACUACUUGCGAGGAGAAAAAUCAUCUUGUCUCAUUUAUUGAUGAUAUUGAGACUCACAACAACAAUUAUGAAAAUAGCCCACAUUAUGGUCAAUACCUGCCACUAGUCCACGUGAUGAACUACGAUAAUAUCAAUGGAAAUAGCAUGGUAAGAAUUUUACUAUUAUGUCACUAGUGCAUCUUUUGCAUACAUUCUUAUUAAGCUAAACUACAUUGCUAACUAUGUUAUUAUUAUGUUCUUCAAAAGAAACUACCGAAGAAUUGUGUGCCUCAUCUGUUGCAUAUGCAAGGUGACCCGAAUAUUAUUAUCUUACAACCAAGUUUGCCUAUUGUUCACCACUGUGCAUACUUGAUUUCUCGAAGAGAUGAAGACCUCACAAUCAAACAAUGGAUAAAAGUAACGAAUGAUCACAGGGAGCUACUUGGAGGCGACAUGGUGUGAAGCCCACAAAUUGGAGACAGGUGCAUCUCCAUUCUCCAUAAUGGAGAAUCAGGGGCUAUCCUAUUUUAUGCUAUUUUACCUUAGAGAGAGUAGCACACCCUAGCUAGCACUCAUCAUGUGCUCAGAACAAUUAACUAGUGUUGGUUAUGACUAUGAUGAUGUGUUGUUAUUAUGAUGAUGAAGAUGAGUUAUGUGCUAGAAUGAUUAGUUGUUAUAUGAGUGUGAUGAUGAUGAGUAGGACUUGUUAUUAUGAUGAUGAUGUUGAGUUGUUAUUAUGUGCUAGAAUGAUGAGUUGCUAUAUGACUAUGAUGAUGAUGAGUAGGACUUGUUAUGAUGAUGAUGAUAAUGAGUAGGAUUUUUGAUUACUUUGUAUACAUCCACUUGAAUCAGAUCCUUGUUUGUUUCACCGACUGAUAUAAUAACUCAUCAUGAUCAUAAUGAUAUAACAAUCUCUAAAUUGCUACUAUAUCAAAUCUUGUAUAAUGGUGUAUAAAAAUAGUAUAAAACAAAUGAAUCGAAAUACAGAUGAAUAGUUGUAGUGCGGGGCUAGGGCGCAUGCUGCUAGUACAUAGCAGUAGCACGGGUGAGAACACACAUUAUUGCUAAAAGUUAGCUGUAGCACCAUAGCAGUAGCAUGGGUACCCACGCUACUGAUAGCCUCUAGACCCGCGCCACUACUAGUAUUUUCCCUAGUUGUUUUUUUUGGGGGGGGGGCAUAGUUUUCACUAGAGACCUCUCUCUUGAAACAAUAACAUACGAUGGGUAUACAAAUUACUGUUGGGCAACUGAUAGAAAAGUGCACAGUUACGACGUAUUCAUGGCAAUGAUCAUGUAUACAGGUAUCACAUCCGUGACAAGUAGACCGACUCCUGCCUGCAUCUACUACUACUCCCUCCAUUCCUUUAUAUUAGGUGUACUUUUUGGUUAAAUUCCACAAAUGUAAAGUGCAUUUGUUCUAAUUCAUCAUAAUUUCAUUCUUGGCCCUUGAAAGAAGGAAAGUAUCUUUCACCUGAUUGCAUGCAUCUCUCCUUGUAGAGGAAAAAUAAAACUAUCUCUCCCCUGAUUGCGUGUAUCUCUUCCUUUUCUAGCCUAAAUGAUUUACUUGCCACUAAUCAACAAAUUAGACAAGGGUAAUUUCGUCCUAAAUUGUUUACAAUUAUGUGCCUUGGUCACAGUGCCGAAAAUAAUACACCUUACAUAAAGGAAUGGAGAGAGUAUUACUCAACCAAUCGACCGUUGUCCAGCAUUCAUCUAUGGUAUGUUCAUGACAAACAGAGUAAUGCAGUAAGCAAGAUGACAUGAUGUAUACAAAGUAAACUCAAGCAAUAUGAUUAAAUCCCGUGGUUUUACCCUUAAUAGCAAAAUACAAUACAUGCCUUGCUACCCCUUCUAUCACUGGGUGAGGACACCACAAGAUUGAACCCAUUAAAGAACACCCCUCCCACUCAAGAUAAAUCAAUCUAGUUGGCCAAACCAAACUGAUAGAUCAUAGAGAAAUACAAAGUUAUAACAAUUAUGCAUAAUAAAUCUUAGAAAAGACUCAAUUACUUUCAAUGAAUAAUCUAAUCAUAAACCCACAAUUCAUCGAAUCCCAACAAACACACCGCAAAAGAAGAUUACAUCGGAUAGAACUCCAAGAAGAUCGAGGAGAACGUUGUAUUGAAGAUCAAAGAGAGAGAAUAAGCCAUCUAGCUACUAGAUAUAGACCCAUAGAUCUGUGGUGAACUACUCACACAUCAUUAGAAGGCAUCAAGGAUGAUGUAAAAGCCCUCCGUGAUCGAUUCCCCCUCCAACAAAGUACCAAAAAAGGCCUCCAAAUGGGAUGAUGGAAGAACAUAAGGUUGAGGCAGCGGAAAAAGUGUUUGGGGUGGCUCUCUGUUGGUUUGGGAAUAUUUAUGAAUUCAUAGAGGUGGAGUUAGGCCAAAUGGAGCUUUGUGGGCCCCACGAGCUCAGGGGGCGUGCCUUGUGAGCUUGUGACUCUCCCGUAGGUCUUCUGGCCUCCUCCCAAACCUUGUAGAGUCCUUUCUAGUCCAGAAAAAAUCACCAUAAAGUUUCAUCGUGUUUGUACUUCAUUUGGUACAGAUUUUCUGAAAAGCCCAAAAUAAGCAAAAAAAAAAAAUAACUCGCUCCAUGCACUGUGUUAACAGGUUAGUCCCAAAAAUGAUAUAAAAUAGCAUAAAAAUGCAUAUCAAGCAUCGAAGAUUGAUAAUGUAAUAGCAUGAAACAAUCAAAACUUAUAGAUAUGUUGGAGACGUAUCAGCAUCCCCAAGCUUAAUUCCCGCUCGUCCUCGAGUAGGUAAAUGAUAAAAACAGAAUUUUUUAUGUUGAAUGCUACCUAACAUGUGUAUCAUGUAACCUCUUUGCGGUGUAAAUAUUGAGAAACGAUGAAGUAACAAUAUCAACAUAAUAAUAUCCAUGAAUAUAAGAAGCAUAAUCAUUACUUUUCAAAAUAUAUGAUCCUUAAGGAUUGUUAUCCCUACUGAUUUUAUCAUGUUAACAUGGCAUGACUCCGCCUUCACCACAUAAAUAUAAAUCAUGAGCACCCCAGUGUCAAACUAGGUAAUUGGAUUGUACUUCUAACGCGCUUCAGCAUUUUUAACCCCACGAAAUACAUGAGCGUGAGCCAUGGAUAUAGCACUAUAGGUGUAAUAGAAUGCGGUGAUAGAGAUCAAUAAGGGAAGUCGAAAAGUAAGAAAGUCUCGCAUCAACAUGGUUGAUCAACGGGCAAUGGACAGACCCUCAAUCGAUGUCAAUGCGUGGAGUUGGGAUUGCCAUCCAACAGAUGCACGAGCUAUAAGUGUAUGAAAUUUCGACGGAAACUCAGUGGGUGUGCAUCCACCUUGCUUGCUCAUGAAGACCUCAGGCAUUUUAGGAAGCCCAUCAUCGGAAUAUGAAAGCCAAGUUCUAUAAUGAAACAUUCCCACUGGUACAUGAAAGUGAUAAAUCAGGAAACUCUCUUUAUGAAAACAGGGUGCUACUCUGAAGCACAAAUGUGGAAAAAGGAUAAUAGCAUUGCCCCUUCUCUCUUUUCUCUCAUUUAUUAUUUUUCUUUCUUUUAUCUCUCUCUUUUUUAUUUUUUUAUUUUUCAUCCGGAGUCUCAUCCCGACUUGUGGGGGAAUCAUAGUCUCCAUCAUCCUUUCCUCACUAGGACAAUGCUCUAAUAAUGAUGAUAAUGACACUUUUAUUUUGUAGCGACCACAAUCCUAAUGGACCGAAGUCUCUGUGCUUAAGUGUCAUCCCUGGAUCGGUAUGCUGACACACACACAAUACUCGAGGAAUUAUAACAGAGUUCAGUCACACACUUAUUACAUCGAGGUCCUCAUAAAGACUAUCUAUUGCAGAAAUAAAAUGGCUGAAGGCCAUCUAACUAAAUAACCGCGGAAGCUUCAAAGAUAAAUGAGUCCAUUAACUCCAACGGCAUAGCUGAGUGCACGACAACAACCUAUCGCACCUUAUUCUUCAUCGGUAAAGUCUGCAACAUGAGACGUUACAACCGUGUAGGUUAGCACAUGGAAUAUGCUGGCAGAGUUACACUGUAUAACAAGGUGAAUGCAGGAAACUAUAUCUACAUGCAUCUUUGGCUGGUGGAGGCUCUAAGUUUAAUGUUUUGCAUAAAGCUAAUUUUUCCCUACAACAAAGGAAUAAAUUUUAUUUACUAUAAAACUAAACCAAUAUUUGAGAAGGUUCCUCCAACUCAAAUCCCAAAUUUAAUCAAGUAUCAUCAUUAAACCCAAUUCAUUAAUUAAAGAGUGAUGAGAUCAACAAUAAUAUCCACUUCUAGAUACUCAAUAUGUCCAUAACAGGGGACACGGCUAACCAUGAUUAGUUUAUACACUCUGCAUAGGUUGCGCACUUUUCCCCACAAGACUCAACCGCAUCCAUGAUCGGAAGAUCGAGACAUAGUCUUCCUGAAGCAUUAACUCUCUACUCUGGGUACACCGGUACACCUACUUUCCCCUACAUAUGCUAGUCAACCGCUUCAAGAGCUCAUACAACUUAAUCAACUAUGCCAGAGCCCAUAAUGGCUUGUGGCUGCACGCGGAAGUUUCUAGGCAUGAAGUAUCAUAUGAUUCCUUUGAUCCUGGGUGAUGAACCAAGGAAAAAUCACAUGGGUACUCCGGGAUUUCCCAAAUGGGCAAGCACCGGUUUCUCCAGGUGCCGCAACUAGUCCACCCAGAUGUGUAUUAAAGUUGCCACCUUAAUGUUAUCCAAAUAUUAAUAUCUCUCACAACUUCCAUGUACAUCAUGAUCCAAUCCCCAUCUACGUGCAUGGCUAAGCAAUAAUUGAGCAUAACAUAUAUUCCCGGGGUGAUCAAAGGUAAUAGGUUCCUACCUCAUGAACUACAACCAAACCACAUGUUCCCAAUCCUACUCAUGCAAAUCUUUGAGGGGCAAUACUAAUGCGUAGUAAAAGCUGGGUAUAGAAAAGUAUGAUCAAGUGUAACUUGCCUUGCUAACGAUCGAAAACUCUAGAGAUUCAUAGUAACAAGCUUCGCACUCCGGAAAAUCUAGCAUAGACAAACAAUAGCAUACAUAAGCAAUCAAGCAGAUGACGCAGAGAGAAAGCGAGAAAAGAUCCAAAUAAAACUUGAAACAAACAAAUUAACAAAAAUAAACAGAAAACAAAACUUAACAGCAUCCUUAUUAUGUGGAUUAGAUCUUAACAGUAGGUACUUGUGAUUAGCUAUGAUUUGCAAAAAGAAACAACAAACGGAGCUACAAAACUCAAGAUACAAACAAAACAAGAUCAAAUACUAAUAUGAACUAAACUCAAAUUUUAAAUUUUCAAAACCAUGUUAAAGUUGGUUUACUGGAUAGAGGGAAUCGUUCUGAAGAUUUAGGCGUUGGUUUCAUCUAAUUUGACCAAACGAGCUAAACGUUACGCUAGCUUGAAGAUUAGGGGCUAAUCUGCGAUAAAACUAUUCACGGAUAGGUCCCUGGCCGAAAAAACAGAAAAGAAAAAUCUAUCGGACGAACGUCCGCUAACAGAGACUAACGGAUGAAUUCGUUCGUUAAAAGAUCUAAAUGGGUGAAUGUUUGUUAACUAACGAACUAAAAUAAAUAAAUAAAAAACUGAUCUAAUCUAAACCGAAAAAACUGGGAAAAGACCGGCGAACCGGAUCGGGUUUUUACCGGCUAACGGCGGCGAGCUAAAACUGAUGGCUGCGGUGGCGGCUCCGGCUAACGGUGGCGAGGUGAGGCACGGUCGACGGCGGCGGCUGUGGGGCUCCGGCGGGGCGGCGGAGCNNNNNNNNNNNNNNNNNNNNNNNNNNNNNNNNNNNNNNNNNNNNNNNNNNNNNNNNNNNNNNNNNNNNNNNNNNNNNNNNNNNNNNNNNNNNNNNNNNNNNNNNNNNNNNNNNNNNNNNNNNNNNNNNNNNNNNNNNNNNNNNNNNNNNNNNNNNNNNNNNNNNNNNNNNNNNNNNNNNNNNNNNNNNNNNNNNNNNNNNNNNNNNNNNNNNNNNNNNNNNNNNNNNNNNNNNNNNNNNNNNNNNNGAACGAGGAGUCCGACUCGGACUCCUCCGGCGACAGCAACGGUGCUCGGGACUUCGGUCCCGAGUCGGUUGAGCUUGCGAGGCUAGCUGGGCCGUGGCCUGGCUCAGCUGGGCUAGCUGAGUUCGGUGAACUUUUUUUAAAACAUUUUUUCCUGGAGACUAAAACACUCAAAAUAAAUAAAAAUAUAAACCUAAAAAUUCCAAAAAAAUUCACGUAGCUAAAUGGCCUUAUAUAUGACAUCGUGAUCAUUUUUCUAGACUUAUAUGCCUAAACUAAAAAUAAACAUUACAGUUCUCAUUACUCAACUAAUAAAUAAACAAACGAGCGAAUAUAAUCAAAUAAGCUCUCAAAAAUUCAAAAUUCAAUUUCCUAUAUUUUUCUACUGAUUUGAAGAAGUCAUAUUAUCUUCUCUCAUUAUUUUCAAAAAUAUUUGGAAAAAGAAUUUUGAAAACAAUUUGAUCCAAUUACCAAAUUUUGAUAAAUCAAAACUGGAUUUUUGAGAAACCUCCAACUCUCUCAAAUUGGUCCUUGAGUUGCUUAAGGCCUCUUGGAUCAAAAUGCAACCAAACUAAACAACAAAAUGCAAUAAAUCAUGUAUGCAUAUGAAUGAUCUAUGUAUAACAUCCAAAUUGAAAAUUGGGAUGUUACAAACCUACCCCCCUUAAGAUGAAUCUCGCCCUCGAGAUUCGGGUUGGUCAGCAAAAAGGUGUGGGUGGUCCUUGCGGUGGUCUUCUUUUCGCUCACAGGUGGCUUACUGCUCGGUAUGGUGGCUCCACUGAACUUUGCAAAACUUGAUGACUUUGCUAUGAGUAACUCGGCUGGAAAACUCGAGAAUCUUAACUGGCUUCUCUUCGUAGGUCAGAUCACUAUCCAUCCGUAUUGCUUCCAGCGGCACUGUAUCUCUCAGAGGAAUGUCAGCCAUCUCUGUGUGGCACUUCUUCAACUGGGAAACAUGAAACACAUCAUGAACCCCUGACAAUCCUUCGGGUAAUUCCAACUUGUAAGCAACUUCACCCAUACGUUCCAACACUCGGGCAGGGUCCCACAAAUCAUGGCGCUAGUUUUCCCUUGACUCCAAAACGCUUAACUCCUCAAAGUGGGGACACACGAAGAUAUGCUCUGUCUCUGACUUCAUAGCCUACCUCCUUGCGUUUAGUAUCUGCAUAACUCUUCUGCCUGCACUGGUCUAUCUUGAGCCUAUCACGAAUCAACUUAACCUUCUCCUCGGAAUCUCUGAUUAGAUCUGGUCCGAACGAUUGUCGAUCUCCAACUUCAUCCCAUGAUAAUGGUGUCCUGCACCUCCUUCUAUACAAAGCUUCGAAAGGGGCCAUCUUCAAACUAGCUUGAUAACUAUUGUUGUAGGAGAACUCUACAUAGGGCAAAUUGUCAUCCCAACUAGAUCCAUAAUCUAGCGCACAAGCUCUCAACAUGUCCUUCAGAAUCUGAUUGACUCUAUCGGUCUUACCAUCUGUUUGCAGAUGAAAACCUAUAUUGAACUCUAGCUAGUACCCAAAGUUUCGUGCAACUGAUUUCAAAAAUUUGAAGUAAACUGUGUUCCUCUAUCUGAUACGAUGGUCCUCGGAACUCCGUGCAAACAUACGAUCCUAGUCAUGUAUAUCUUGACCAACUUAGCACUGGUAUAAGUUGUCUUCGCAGGGAUGAAAUGGGUUACCUUGGUUAAGUGAUCAACUACAACCUAUAUAGAGUCAUAUCCUAAACGGGUCCUGGGUAAUCUGGUGAUAAAAUCCAUGCCAAGUUUAUCCCACUUCCAUUCAGGUAUCGGCAAAGGCUGUAGUAACCCUGCUGGUUUCUGAUGCUUUGCCUUAACUCUCUGACAUACGUCGCAUACUCCUACAUACUCCGCAAUAUCCUUCUUCAUUCCUGUCUACCAGAAACUUUCCUUCAAAUCCAGAUACAUCUUGGUAUUGCUUGGAUGAAUCGAAUAAGGCGAGUCAUGAGCCUCCUGAAUAUUUAACUUCCGGAUCUCAUGGUCAUUAGGCCUGUAGAUACGAUCCUCAAACCAUAAAGUGUCGUGCUCAUCCUCUCGAAAACCUUUAGCUUUUCCUUUACUCAUCCUUUCCUUUAUCUAUGCAAUCUCCUUGUCCAUCUUCUGGGCUUCCCGGAUAUUUCCCAGCAAAGUGGACUGAAUUUCCAAUGCUGCAACAUAACCUCUCAGAACUAUCUCCAAGCAUAGUUCUCGGAGAUCAUUGGCUAACUCCUGAGGCAAUCCUCCGGUUAUGAGCGUGUUAACAUAACUCUUGUGGCUCAACGCAUCUGCUACAACAUUGGCCUUUCCUGGAUGAUAAUGCAAUCUCAUAUCAUAAUCCUUUAUGAGCUCCAACCAUCUUCUUUGCCUGAGAUUCAACUCCUUCUGCAUGAAGAUAUACUUCAAACUCUUAUGAUCCGUGUAAACAUCACAACGGUUUUCGAUGAGAAGUGUCUCCAUGUCUUGAGCGCAUGCACUACGGCUGCUAACUCCAAAUCAUGCGUGGCAUAAUUCAACUCAUGAGGUCGAAGCUGUCGUGAGGCAUAUGAAACAACUCUUCCAUCCUGCAUAAGCACACCUCCAAGUCCUCGAUGUGAUGCGUCACAAUACACUUGGAAAUCCUUGCGUAUGUCUGGGAGAAUCAGCAUUGGGGCUGUAACCAAACGUUUCUUCAACUCCUGAAAACUGGCCUCACAAUCCUCUGUCCAUUUAAACUUGGUGUUCUUCUUCCAUAACUCCGUCAUGGGAUUCGCAAUCUUGGAAAAAUUCUCAACGAAUCUCCAAUAAUAACCUGCGAGUCCAAGGAAACUUCUGAUCUCUCCAACUGAGGUGGGUGCCAACCACUUAGUGGCAGAUGCAACCUUGGUAGGGUCCACUGCUAUUCCUUCUCCUGAUAUAACAUGUCCAAGAAAUCCAACUUCCUUCAACCAAAACUCACAUUUGCUGAACUUGGCGUACAACUGAUGUUCCCUGAGCUUCUCGAGGACCAAGUGCAAAUGUUCCUUAUGCUCUUCUUCAUUCUUCGAGUAGGCCAAUAUGUCAUCAAUGAACACCACGACGAACUUGUCCAAAAACUCCAUGAACACCUUGUUCAUCAUACUCAUGAAAUAGGCAGGGGCAUUAGUCAAACCAAAUGACAUAACUGUAUACUCAUAUAGCCCAUACCUCGUGGUAAAAGCUGUCUUAGGUAUAUCCUGCUCUCAGAUCUUCAGCUGGUGAUAACCUGAUGAAAGAUCGAUCUUGGAGAAAACCUUAGCUCCCUGUAGCUGGUCAAACAAAUCAUUGAUCAUUGGUAGAGGGUAUUUGUUCUUGAUCGUCACCUCAUUCAGCGCAUGAUAAUCAAAAACCAUCCUUGGAGAUCCAUCCUUCUUCUCAACUAGAAGCACUGGGGCUCCCCAAGGCGAUUAGCUUGGUCGAAUAUAACCUUUCUCUAGUAACUACUUAAUCUGCUUCUUAAUUUCCUCUAGAUCAUUUGCGGGCAUCCGAUACGGUCUCUUUGAUAUUGGUCCGGUGCCUGGCAAUAACUCAAUCAAAAACUCAAUAUCUCGAUCUGGUGGCAUGCUCGGUAAUUCCUCCGAAAAUACAUCGGGAUAAUCCUUCACCACUGGUACUUCCUCCUGAACAACUCCCGACAGGGAAUUCACAGAGUCCUCCUCGGCGCAUGCCUAGACACAUACUUGAUCCUCUUUCCUUCUGGGGUGGUGAGAAGAAUUGAUUUACUGGCGCAAUCAAUAUUUCCCUCAAACUUGGAUAGCCAAUCCAUGCCUAGGAUCAAGUCCAAUACUUCUGACUCCAGGAUAAUAAGGCCGGUGGGGAAAACAUGUCUACGUAUGGUUAUCGGCAACUGAUAACAUCCCCGACUAGCCAUAUACUCUGCUCCUGCGCAACUUACUAACAUAGGUGACUUAAGGGCUACUGUUGGCAGCUUAAACUUAUCCACAAAUCCCCUUGAUAUGAAUGAAUGAGAUGCACCAGUAUCGAAAAGAACAAGUGCUAUAAAUGCAUUAAUCAAAAACUUACCGACAACUGCGUCGUGCUGCUCCUCAAUCUCCUCCACACUGACAUGGUUCACCGGACCUCUGGUGAAAGGGUUGGGAUUCUUUCCAUCCAUUGCCAUUUCCAUUCUUUGCUUCAGAACAUUCAGUGGCGUAAUGUCCGGUCUUCCCCCACUUGAAACAAGUAAUGUGACUCUGAUCCUUCUUGGCGGGUGUCACGGGAUUGGAACGGUUCAGAUUGUUGCUUCCUCCAUUCCCAUUGCCAUUCUUAGGGCCACUGUGGUUGUGUGAACUUCCUCCAUUGUGUUAAUGUCCUCCAUUGUUAUGCCCUCCGUGGUUAUGAGUGUGUCCUCCCGAGUACGGGGAAUAGCGAGGCUUCUGCUGAGCUCCAGAAUUGUACCUCCCCUGUCCGUACUUCCUCUUGCGAUUGUCAAUCUGCUGUUGCUUGCCUUCUAUCAUGAGGGCCCUGUCUACCUACUCCUGGUAGUUGUUGAAGGUUGCCACCAUCAACUGCAUGCUUAGAUCAUCAUUGAGUCCCUCAAGAAACUUCUCCUGCUUCGUGGCAUCUGUGGCCACAUCAUCUGGGGCAUAGCGUGCUAACUUGCUGAACUCAUCCACAUACUGUCCCACUCUACGACUCAAUUGGCGUAAGUUGCAAAACUCAUGCUUCUUCAAAUUCAUGGCUCCAGCUGAAACAUGUGCGGUGCGGAAGGCCUGAUGAAACUGAUCCCAUGUAACUGUAGCUAUGGGGUAAGUAAUGGUGAAGUUAUCCCACAAAGAUGCUGCGGGACCAUCAAGCUGAUGUGUAGGAAAGCGCACUCUCUUCACAUCUGUGCAUCCGAUAGUGGUCAGCUCUCUUCCAAUCUUGCGGAGCCAAUCAUCUACAACAAUUGGCUCGGUGCUGCUAGAGAACACCGACAGAUUCAACCUCAAAAAGCGGGCUAGGUUGUCAACAGGGGGUGAUGGCGGUGGGUUGUUGUUGUUGCCUUGGUUCUGAUUCUGGUUCUGGACUAACAUCUGCAUGAAGGCAUUCUGCUGCUGGAUCAACUGGGUGAGCUCCAGCGGGAAAGUGAAUCCGGUGUCUUGUCUCGGAGGCAUCUGAUGGUUAGAGGGGGUGAGAAAACAGAAUAGAAUAAGGUUUAAGAGAGAUUUCACUACCCAUAUGCACAUGAGGCAAAUAAAAUCAAUUCACAUCACUCAAUAUCAAACAAGAUUCAUACAAAUGAUCUAAACUACGAUUACAAAUCGAUCGAUACUAACUACUUGGAAGAAUACUAUUAAUAACAUGGUCGUCAUCUAGAAAUUUUGAUCGGUGGAAGACUCCAUAAUAUCAGCUCCAGCUUCAUCUUCAUAGUCAUCAUCACUGUCAUCAUUUGCAUCACUAUCCGUGUCGGUGUCGUCCAGGAUGAUGUAGUCCUCUGAAUGAAUGUCCACUUCAGGUUCUUGCUUCUGGUUCACCACGGGUAUUCCUAGCUUCGUCUUUAGGUCUUCAUGCUUCUCCAGUAGCACAACAAUUUCUUCUUCAUAUCCAUCGCGGGUUGACUUGAGUUCCUCUUCUAGCUCGAUAUUUCUCUUCAUCAGCUUCUUGGUCUUCUUCAUGAUAGAGAACAUCUGGUUCUCAUAUCGACGAAUGUGCUGAUCCAUCUCCUGAAUGUAUGCUGCAAUUGAUCCAUCCUUCCCGGUAUGAAUCAUCUCCCAUUCCUUGUCUCGGCGUCCAUAUAUCUGAUAGACGGUGUCUUCAAGCUCCUUGUGGUACACCUCACAAUGCGUCCAAAAGUGAUGUGGGCUGCCAUGCUCAUUUCCAAGUUCCAACUUGGUGCAUCCAAGGUAAAAUCGAUGGGCUCAGUUGUUGGCGCAAACGUCCUCCCAGGUAUUCGAACUUCGAUCCUCCAGCGCUCCUCUUCCAAUAAAGUUAUAGUGAAGGUUCCAGUGAAGCUUGGUAGUCCAAUGUUCAGGUACUUCAUGACUUCCUUCAAGUGUCGUCCGAAAUGGGUGUCGUCAUCCGGCUGGGUGAACUUGUUCCUAGGGUCCGUCAUCUAUAGAGUAGAAAUAGAGGAGGAGUAGAAAUGAGAAGAGAAGAGUAUCUUGUGGCUUUUCCUAGUGGUCGCGUCCUACAGUCAGCGUGUUCUCUGAUACCAUCUUGUAGCAACCAUGAUACCAAUGGACCGAAGUCUCUGUGCUUAAGUGUCAUCCCUGGAUCGGUAUGCUAACACACACAAUACUCGAGGAAUUAUAACAGAGUUCAAUCACACACUUAUUACAUCGAGGUCCUCAUAAAGAGUAUCUGUUGCACAAAUAAAAUGGCUGAAGGCCAUCUAACUAAAUAAUUGCGGAAGCCUCAAAGAUAAAUGAGUCCAUCAACUCCAACGGCAUAGCUGAGUGCAUGACAACGACCUAUUGCACCUUAUUCUUCGUCGGUCAAGUCUGCAACAUGAGAUGUUGCAGCCAUGUAGGUCAGCACAUGGAAUAUGUUGGCAGAGUUACACUGUAUAACAAAAUGAAUGCAAGAAACUAUAUCUACAUGCAUCUUUGGCUGGUGGAGGCUCUAAGUUUAAUGUUUUGCAUAAAGCUAUUUUUUCCCUACAACAAAGGAAUAAAUUUUAUUUACAUAAAGUUAAACCAAUAUUUGAGAAGGUUCCUCCAACUUAAAUCCAAAAUUUAAUCAAGUAUCAUCAUUAAACCCAAUUCAUUAAUUAAAGAGUGAUGAGAUCGACAAUAAUAAUCACUUCUAGAUACUCAAGAUGUCCAUAACCAGGGACAAGGCUAACCAUGAUUAGUUUAUACACUCUGCAGAGGUUGUGCACUUUUCCCCACAAGACUCAACCGCAUCCAUGAUCGGAAGAUCGAGACAUAGUCAUUCUGAAGCAUUAAAUCUCUACUUCGGGUAGACCGGUACACCUACUUUCCCCUACAUCUUCUAGUCCACCUCUUCAAGAGCUCAUACAACUUAAUCAACUAUGCCAGAGCCCAUAAUGGCUUAUGGCUGCACACGGAAGUUUCUAGGCAUGAAGUAUAAUAUGAUCCCUUUGAGCCUGGGUGGCGAACCGAGGAAAAAUCACAUGGGUACUCCGGGAUUCCCAAAUGGGCAAGCACUGGUUUCUCCAGGUGCCGCAACCAAUCCACCCAGAUGUGUAUUAAAGUUGCCACCUUAAUGUUAUCCAAAUAUUAAUAUCUCUCACAACUUCCAUGUACAUCACGAUCCAAUCCCCGUCUACGUGCAUGGCUAGGCAAUAAUUGAGCAUAACGUAUAUUCCCGGGGUGAUCAAGGGUAAUAGGUUCCUACCUCAUGAACUACAACUAAACCACAUGUUCCCAAUCCUACUCAUGCAAAUCUUUGAGGGGCAAUACAAAUGCAUAGUAAAAACUGGGUAUAGAAAAGUAUGAUCAAAGUGUAACUUGCCUGGUUGACAAUCUAAAAACUCUAGAGAUACGUAGUAACUAGCUUCGCACUCCGGGAAAUCUAGCGUAGGCAAACAGUAGCAUACAUAAGGAAUCAAGCAAACGAUACAAAACGAGAAAAGAUCCAAAUAAAACUCGAAGGAAACAAAAAACUAAACUAAACAGAAAACAGAACUUAACAGCAUUAUUAUUAUGUGGAUUAGAUCUUAACAUUAGGUACAUGUGAUUAGCUACGAUUUGCAAAAAUAAAAAAAUCAAGCGGAGCUAUGAAACUCAAGAUACAAACAAAACAAGAUCAAAUACUAAUCUGAUCCAAACUCAAAUUUUAAAUUGUCAAAACCAUGUUCAAGUUGGUUUACUGGAUAGAGGGGAUCGUUCUAAAGAUUUAGGCGUUGGUUUCAUCUAAUUUGGACAUACGAGCUGAAAGUUACGCUAGUUUGAAGAUCAGGGGCUAAUCUGCGAUAAAACUAUUCAUCGAUAGGUCCCUGGCCAAAAAAAAAACAGAAAAGAAAAAUCCGUUGGAUGAACGUCCGCUAACAGAGACUAACAGAAGAAUUCGUUUGUUAAAAGGUCUAAACGGGCGAACGCUCGUAACUAACGAAUUAAAAUAAAUAAAAGAACCGAUCUAAUCUAAACCGAAAAAACCGAGAAAAGACCAGCGAACCGGAUCGGGUUUUUACCGGCUAACGGCGGCAAGAUAAAACCGACGGUGGCGGCGGUGGCUCCGGCUAAUGGCGGUGAGGUGAGGCAUGGUUGACGGAGGUGACUGCAGGGCUCCGGCGGGGCGUCGGCGGCGCGGUGUCGGCUGCGGUGUGGCCGGCGGCGGCGACGACUUGAUGAGGAGAGAGGGGGCCGGGGGGUCCCGUAUUUAUAUGCGGGAGGAGGUGACAGCGACUUGGGGAGGGGGUCACGCGGCGGCGGUGGCGAACGAGUAGUCCAGCUCGGACUCCUCCGGCAGCAGGAGCGGCGGCGCUCGGGACUUCGGUCCCGAGUCGGUUGAGCGCGCGAGGCGAGCUGGGCCGGCCCAGUUCGGUGAACCUUUUUUUAAACAAUUUUUCCUAGAAACUAAAACACUCAAAAUAAAUAUAAAUAUAAUCCUAAAAUUCCAGAAAAAUUACGUAGCUAAAUAGCCUUAUAUAUAUGACCUCGUGAACAUUUUUCUGGACUUAUAUGCCUAAACUAAAAAUAAACAUUACAGUUCUAAUUACUCAACUAAUAAAUAAAUAAACUAGCGAAUAAAAUCAAAUAAACCCUCAAAAAUUCAAAAUUCAAUUUCUGAUAUCUUUCUACUGAUUUGAAGAAGUCAUAUUAUCUUCUCUCAUUAUUUUUAAAAAUAUUUGGAAAAAUAAUUUUGAAAACAAUUUGAUCCAAUUACCAAAUUUUGAUAAGUCAAAACUGGAUAUUUGUGAAACCUCCAACUCUCUCAAAUUGGUCCUUGAGUUGCUUAAGGCCUCUUGGAUCAAAAUGCAACCAAACUAAACAACCAAAUGCAAUAAAUCAUGUAUGCAGAUGAAUGAUCUAUGUAUAACAUCCAAAUUGAAAAUUGGGAUGUUACAUAUUUACUUACAACUUGAUACUAUAACUCGAUAAAACUGAAAUAAUGGCUCUAUAUAAAUGCCUCUGUUAGUGUACCAUGAUGUGCAAAGGUUUAGCGUAACAUGUAUAAUAAUGAUGAAUGGUGGCUGUGGCACAAAUAUCAUGUCAGCUCUGUAUGAUCAUGCAAAGCAAUAUGAUGAUGAACACACAAGUCAUGUGUUGGAACGGUGGAAGUUGCAUGGCAAUAUAUCUCAGAAUAUUUAUGGAAAUGCCGUAAUAGGUAGGUACGGUGGCUGUUUUGAGGAGCAUAUAGGGAGCCUUAUGUGUGAUAAAGUGUAUCAUAUCACAGAGUUUGGAUGCACUGGCGAAGUUAACUCUCGAGGUGAAAGGGCAAUGCACGUUACUGAAGAGGCUAGCAAAUUGCGAAAAGUUUAUUAUCCCUCGAAGCAAGGUACUACUCGCAUGCCCCUAGGGAGGAGGUUGGUAGGAGUUAAUUAUCGCGCGCCCCCAAUUAUUACAACACUCAAGCAUUUCAUUUCAAAUAUAAAAAUGCUCAAACCUCCCCACCAUGCCAUAACCAACACUUAGAUGAGAAGUUAAUAACAAGUUUUAGUACCGAUAUUCCUACUAACCAAUGAUCAUGAACCAAUAUCCUUUCAUAUUACGACCGAUAUAUUGAUGUCGUAACAUACCGAUAUAUUGUAGACGAAAGAGGGAAUGUCAUCCGGGGCAUCCCCAAGCUUAGACACUUGGGUCUUCCUUGGAUAUUACCUAGGGGUGCCUUGUUCAUCCCUAAGGUUAGGGUCUUUCCGCUCCUUAUCCUUCAUCCAUCGUGAUCUCACCCAAAACUUGAAGACUUCAGCACACAAAAAUCAAUAGAAAGCUCGUGAGAUCCGUUAGUAUAAUAGACAAAUGAUAAACUUUAGGUACUGUUAUAACUCAUUCAUAAUUUAUUCUUUCAUAAUACCUACUUUAUUCUAACUUCUCCAUGACUUAUACCCACCGAUAUAAUCCAUAGCAUCAUUAAAACAAGUAAACUAUGUAAAAAAGAAUCUAUCCAAAACAGAACAGUCUAUAAUGAUCUGAACAAACACUAUACUUCUGUAGCUCCAAAAAUUCUGAAAAAUUAGGAAAACUUUGGAAAUUUGUAUAUCAAUAAUUUGUAAAAAAUUCAGAAUUUUAUCACGUUCGAGUGAAUUAUAGUAAUUUGAGCUCUGGGUGCAAAAGUUUCUGUUUUUUCACAGAAUCAAGUCAACUAUUAACCAAAUCAUCCCAAAUGCUUUACUUAGCACAAACACUAAUUGAAACAUAAAAACAGAAUCAUAACAGUAGCAAUAAUUUUCUGAACACACCAAAAUAGAAUGUAAAAUCAAAAAUUGAAUAUAACUAUUGGGUUGCCUCCCAACAAGUGCUAUUGUUUUACGCCCCUAGCUAGGCGUAAGGCAUUGUUUCAAGUAUUGUCAUCCUUCAAAUUAAUUCCAUAGUUGACUUUCAUAAUAGAUUCAUAUAGUUGUUUAAUCAUCUUCAUAGGUAAGUGUUUGAUCCCUUUCUUUAAAGGAAAUUGGAACCUUAUAUUUCCUUCUUUCAUAUCAAAUAGCACCUAUGGUUUGUAGGAAAGGCCUACCAAGUAUCAUAGGACAAGACAGGUUGCAUUCAAUAUCAAGCACAAUGAAAUCCACCGGCACAUAAUUUCUGUAAGCAAGUAUGAGCACAUCAUUUAUUCUACCCAAUGGUUUCUUAAUAGUUGAAUCUGCUAAGUGCAAAUUAAGGGAACAUGCAUCCAUAUUGGUGAGAACUAGAACGUAACAUAAAUAUUUUGGUAGAGUAGAGACGCUAGCACCUAGAUCACAAAAAGCAUUAGAUUCAUAAUCUUUAAUAUUUACUUCAAUAGUAGGUUCCCAUUCAUUGUGUAAUUUUCUAGGUAUAGAAACCUCCGAUUUUAGCUUUUCUUCAUGAGCUUUUAUCAUGGCUUCUACAAUAUGUUUAGUAAAAGCUUGACUUUGUUCACAAGAAUUAGGUGAAUUUAUCAUGGAUUGCAUCAAGGAAAUACAUUCAGUCACAUAACAAUUAUGAUAAUUGAAGUCCUUAUGAUACAAAGUAGUGGGUGCAUCACUAUUUGAAGUCUUUACCUCUCCAAACACACUUUUAUCAUUUUUAUCAUUAAGAUCCUCAUUAUGAUUGGGACUACUUCUAGCUAAAGUUGACUCAUCCCAGUCCCUUUUUCAUCAAGUUUUAUAUUACUAAAAAAAUAAAUGGGUGUCACGCCAAUCAUUUUAACAUCCUCAUUAUGAUUAUGAUAAAAACCGUGUGGAAUGGCCUUUUCUAGGAAUUCUCGUUUAGAUCUCAACCUAGCGGCUCUCUCUUUACAUUAAUUAAUGGACACUUGGAUAGAUUUAAUAGACUCAUUAAUAUCAUGAUUAGGUGGCAAUAUUUUAAUUUUAAGAGUAUCCACAUCAUGAGCAAUUCUAUCCAUAUCAUCAACUUUAUGUAGUUUUUCUUCUACCAUAACAUCGAAAAUCUUUUGGGAACUAAGAAAUUCUUUAAUGUGGUUCUCAAGAUCAGUAGUUAUCCUAUUACUAUUAUUGUAUGAAUUAGGAAUUAAAAUAAUUCUUAGAGGAAUUUCAGGAUACAGUAUAGGAUUGAAAUUACCUCUAUAAGCAACAUUGUUGAAAUUAUUUCUAGGAACAAAAUUCACAUCAAUAGCAUCAUUAUUUUGCUCAAUCAAAGUAGAUAGUGGAACAUCAUUAGGAUCAACAUGAGCACUUUUACUAGUAAACAUAUUCAUGAGAGCAUCAAUUUUAUCACUCAACAUAGCAAUUCCUUCGACAGAGUUUACCUUCUUACCAAUUGGAGCUCAUUCGGUGUGCCACUGAGAAUAAUUUGUCAUCAUAUUAUCAAGAAGCUUUGUAGCUUCUCCUAAUGUAAUUCCCAUAAAGUUACUACCUGCAGUAGAGUCUAGAAGAUUUCUAGAAACAAAGUUUAGUCCUGCAUAGAGAUUUUGUAUUAUCAUCCAUAAGCUUAAACCAUGAGUGGUAUAAUUUUGAACCAUUAAUUUCAUUCUCUCCCAAGAUUGUGCAACAUGUUCUUGCUCAAGUUUCUUAAAAUUCAUAAUUUGAUUUGAGAAAUAAUCUUAGCCGGAGGAAAAUACUUGGCAAUAAAAGCAUCCUUGCACGUAUCCCAUGAAUCAAUACUAUUGCGAGGCAAGGAUGAAGACUAAGUUUUAGCACGACCUCUUAGCAAGAAAGGAAAUAAUUUCAACUUAAUAAUAUCAUUAUCCACAUCUUUUUUUCUUUUGCAUAUCAGAUAAUUCAACAAAGGUAUUAAGAUGGGAUGCAUCAUCUUCAUUAGGAUUUCUAGAAAAUUGUUCUUUCAUAACAAGAUUUAGCAAUGCAUCAUAUGACUCUGCACUAGUGGCAGGAGGAGCAACAGGAGUACUAAUAAAAUCAUUAUUAUCAGUAUUUGAGAAAUCACACAACUUGGUAUUUUCUUGAGUCAUAGUGACCGAGCAAGCAAACAAGCAAACUAACAAAGCAAGACAUUUUUGUGUUUUUGUUUCUUAAGAAGUGGACGCAGAUGAAAAAGAGAGGCAAAUAGAAAGGAAAAUAAAAAGUAGAGCAAGUAGAUGAUAGUUUGAGUGAAAGUAUGAUAGAGGCAAAGGUGUACCGUCUUUCGAUGAGAUGGUGAUUAUCGUUUCGGAGGAGUAGACUUUGAAGAUCCGACUAUGUACGUGCAACGACAUCGCGCCUUAGCAAUCGAUAAACCAACUCCGAGAGGUUAUUGACCACGCCGGAGCACGAUCAACCUGACCACGAAGGUCUAUUUCCUACAAGCAAAUGAAGAACAAGCAAGAAACUAAGAUUACAAUCUGGAUACUACAAAUAUAAUAUGAAAGCUUUAUUAAUCAAGGUGGGGUUCUGUGAUGUCUUGGUCUGGUCGUUGAACACAAACGAAGUAUGCGAAGUUGUAGCUAUGGCGAACUUUUAAUCUAAACAAAACCUGAAGUCUAAACGAUGCCCUAAGGGCUGUAUAUAUGGAGGAAGAGGGGGGAAUUUCGUGGCCCUUGGGGGAGGGGUCCGAAACCAACCCUAUCUCUGUAUCCCCACACAUACGGACUCUAAAAACAACCUAUACUUAUGUAUUUCAAAAUUACAUGGGCCUGGCCCAAUAAUAAGGUGACGCAGCACCUAUAAUAGCCUCCAGACGAAAUUUGUGAAGCGACAUCUUUUAUAUUUCGUCCAAGACUUCAUGCACUCAUUACGGUGGCUUCAAAGUCCUGAAAUCAUCACUUGAAACUCUGUUCUUGUUUCCCUUGGGCAAGCCGUCAUCUUCAUGUGUGUUCUUGCUCCAAUGUUCAUCCUUCUCCAAGCUAGGCCCUUCAUUUGUAAGCAAAACAAAUGUAUCCAAUUUAGGCAGCAUCAUAUUCUCAUGAACAUUAGAAUCAUUACCAAGAAACAAAAGUACCUGGUAAUUUAAUUGGCGUGCAUGAGCUCUAGUAGUUGGUCCAGUAUGUAUAGUAGCAGGGGCUAUGGGUGUAACAAUGGUAUUGAUGUUCUCAUCAUCCUCCCCUUCUUGAAAUGAAGUCGUCCUCGAUGGAAUCUCAUCUUCCUCACCCAAAUAAGGCUUCAAAUCUGCAAUGUUAAAAGUGGGGCUAACCCCUCAGGUAGCUCAAGUUUAUAUGCAUUAUCAUUUAUUUUCUCUAACACCUUAAAAAACCAUCAGCACGUGGCAUUAGCUUUGAUUUGCGCAAAUCAGGAAAUCUAUCCUGACGCAAAUGUAACCAAACAAGAUCUCCAGGUGCAAACACAACAUGUUUUCUACCCUUAUCUCCAACAAGUUUAUAUUUAGCAUUCAUAUGCUCAAUGUUUUCCUUACUUAACUCAUGCAUUUUUAAAAUCAAUUCAGCAUGUUGUUUAGCAUCAAAAUUAACCUUCUCCGAAGAUGGAAGAGGCAUCAAAUCAAUAGGUGCACGAGGUAGGAAACCAUACACAAUUUCAAAAGGGCACAUCUUAGUAGUAGAAUGCAAUGAACGAUUAUAAGCAAAUUCAAUAUGAGGCAAACAUUCUUCCCACAUUUUCUUAUUAUUCUUCAAAACAGCCCUAAGCAUAGUAGACAAUGUUCUAUUGACUACUUUAGUUUGUCCAUCAGUUUGGGGGUGACAAGUAGUACUAAAAAACAGUUUAGUCCCCAACUUAGCCCAUAAACAUCUCCAAAAGUGGCUAAGAAAUUUAGUAUCAUGAUCUGAAACAAUAGUAUUUGGCACACCAUGCAAGCGAAUACUUUCACGAAAGAACAAAUCAGCAACAUUAACAGCAUCAUCGCUUUUAUGACAUCGUAUAAAGUGUGCCAUUUUCGAGAAUCUAUCCACGACAACAAUUAUGCUAUCCCUCCCCUUCUUUGUUCGAGGUAAACCUAAAACAAAGUCCAUAGAUAUAUCCUCCCAAGGAACACUAGGUAAAGGCAAAGGCAUAUAUAAACCAUGAGGACUGAAUCGUGACUUAGUGUUUUGACAUGUAGUGCAGGGAGCAACAAAACGCUCAACAUCCCGUCUCAUCUUUGGCCAAAAGAAAUGUGUAGCAAGUAUAUCCUCUGUCUUCUUCACGCCAAAGUGCCCCAUUAAUCCUCCUCCAUGCGCCUCCUACAACAACAAAAGAUGAAUGAAGCUAGCUGGAAUGCAUAGCUCAUUAGGAGGGAACACAAAUCCAUCAUUAGUGACGAACUUGUUCCCUAUUCUUCCUUCUUAGGAAUUCUGCAUUACAUCUUUAAAAUCAGCAUCAUGCACAUAUUGAUCUUUGAUGGUCUCCAAACCAAAUAUUUUGAAGUCAAGUUGUGAAAGCAUAGUAUAGUGAUGAGACAAUGCAUCAGCAAUAACAUUUUCUUUAGCGUUCUUGUGUUUAAUGACAUAAGGGAAAGUCUCAAUGAAUCCAACCCAUUUAGCAUGCCUACGAUUCAGUUUAGCUUGACUUUUAAUAUGUUUCAAAGAUUCAUGAUCAGAAUGUUAACAAAUUCUUUGGGCCAUAAAUAAUGUUGCCAUGUUUCUAAAGUCCGAACAAGAGCAUAUAAUUCUUUAUCAUAAGUAGAAUAAUUCAGAGUAGGCACACUCAAUUUUUCAGAAAAGUAUGCAACAGGUUUGCCAUCUUGUAAUAACACACCUCCUAAUCCAAUUCCACUAGCAUCACUUUCAAGCUCACAAGUCUUAUUAAAAUCAAGUUAGAGUAAAGGAGCAUGUGCCAACUUAUCUUUCAAUACCGUGAAGGCUUCUUCCUAUGCGGGACCCAAAAAAAAGGCACAUCCUUCUUUGUAAGUUCAUGUAACACCCCAAAAAUUUAACCAUGUUUUGAUUAUUAAAAUUUUGCCAGGAAAUUAAUUUUUUCUUUUUCCAGGAUUUAUUCUUGAUCCCACAGCCUCUCUUUUCUUCUAAGUUGUGGAGUUUUCACCCCAAGUGAAAACUUUCCAAUUAUUAUUGGACUUGUUUACCCUCUCAAAUAAAACAAUUCUUUUAUCAGUGGAUUAUUUAUAUAAUUAUUUUUUCCCUGAGCUUUAUUUCUCUAAAAUGGUUUUUCAUAGGUUUUAGGGUUCCAUUUGCACUGCAACCCUUUGAUAAAUUUAUUUAAAAAUCCCACCAAAAUUUGGGGAUGACAUAUGAUGUCCCUAAAUCACUUUUAUGCAAAAAUAUCCUUUGGUCAUUUGGAGAUUUUGAGCUUUACCCCAAGUUUUUAAAUCGGGUCCAGUUGCACUUUUGCACUACAACCUAUUUAAAUAUUCCUUUAAAACUUCCACCAAAUUAGGGGAUGUCACUAGGAGUAUAUUAUUCAUCUUUAUGCAAAAACCCAUUGAUGUUCUUUGAAAAAUUUGAGUGAAUCAACCUCAUUUUCAUUCUGGUCCAACUUGAUGAGUUGUACUUCAACCAUAUUUUAACUUGCUCCUUUACCCAUGAUUCUUUUCCAUGCUUAUAGACCACCCUGCAAAACCCUUGAGUCCAGGAGAGUGGACACAUUGGUGGAUUUUAAGUGCAUGCAAUCAUGCCUUCUUCUUUUUGUCCAAAACUGAAGAUUUGCAAAACUUGCACUAGCAAAUUUCUGGUUUUGCCCAAAUGACCUUGCCACCAUCACCUACACCUAAAGAGACACUAGUCUGGAGAAUUUGGCCACCCCAAGAAGUGCCUAGGUGCAUGUGGCAUUUUGUCAAACACCCUAUGAGCCAGGCCAGUUUGGGCAUGAACUUUUAGUUUGCACUGUGAGCUUGAUCCACUGAACCAGCAACCUUGUCCACUAAGCUCCCUGAUGCCUCUAGCCUGGACCUGCUAAUCCCCAGCUCCACCCAAGUCUCCUAGCUUGCCCUGGAAUUUUGCCGAACAGUGGGCCUGCACGCUCUGGGCACGACCAGAGCACACGUUUUGCACGUGCGUGCGCGGGAGUCGCCGCGACCUGCUGCCGCCUACCCGCGCCCGUCUGGCCUCUCCUCUCUCCCAGCCGUCGCGCCCGACCCCUCCCUCACCGCAGGGCCGCCCUGGCCCCCUCCUCGCACCCUACAGCGCCGCCACCACAUACCGCCACUGCCACCCCGACUGCUCUGCCAUGGACGGCACCGCCCAAGCCACACCAGCGUGCCAGCUCGCUCAUGGAACAGCCCCAGCUCAUCCACGAGCUCGUCCGCUAGCGCCCAUCGCCGCCAUGAUGCCCUGCAAGCUACAGAACAGCGGUCGCCGACGAUCCUAUCCACGGCCACCGCGAACCGACCUAGCCGCGCUAUAAGUAGGGGCCCCGGGCUCGUCCAACCACUCAGGCAGCCUCAGGCCAUCCUCUCGAAGCCCCACGGCCAGUAAUCAUCAGGGGAAAGCCUUCUCCCCCGUCUCCGGCCAGCUCGGCAGCCGCCACGUCCCAAACCCGUUCGUCGCAACUAGGGCCUCCCCUGCCCGUCCGACGCCACCACCCGACUCCCCUGGAUCGUGCGGAGCCGCCCAAACCCUCAACCAUGAUCGGAAGCCACCAUAGCCCAAAUCCCCAAUCGUGCCCGAAGCCAUCUCCGCCCCGAAGCUCGCCGCCGGCGACCCCCUCCACCCCCACCAACCGAGUGACUACCGGGAGGACCACCCUGGACUGGCGGAUCAAUCCCUACCCUCUGAUGCCCUCGAGGAGCCGUCGCUCGCCGGUGAAGAUCGCCGGAGCUCCGCCUCCAUUCGGCCAAAGGAGAGGGAAGGCGGGGGACGACUAGUCAAACCUGACCAGUGGGCCCCUGGACCCACUGUCAGUGACUCAUGCCGGUCCACACUGGAUAAGUGAAGGCGUAAACGCUAAGUACGUGUUCGACGUGUACCUAUUCGAAACGUUUUCUUUUCUUUUUUUCUAUUUUAUUUAAAAACCAGAAAUUUGACUAAACUUUGACUGGCUAUAUCUUUUUAAAUAAAACUCCAAAUGAGUUGAUUCUUUUUCCUACCUCUCUCAAAUUUAGUCUAGUUUAUUUCAAGAUUUAUUUGAAAAAUUUCAGACAACUUUUUUACACUGUUUUGAAACUAUGUUUUAAUUUGAAUAAUUUCAAAAAUAGGUUUUGAAGAAGAAGUCACCUUUCAAAAAAAGCAGACCCCACUUGCAUACUCUUGAAGGCAAGCAUUCUGAACCCUGGCAUAAUAUUGUGUGUGUUAUCUGACACAGCUACAAUACCACCUCGACAGAGAGUAUCCGUUAUUUUAUGUGAUGAUAUGUUCAAACUCAUGAGUGCAUAUUGAUGAUUUCAUGCUAUUGGAGUUUGAUAUGUUUGGGAUAGUAGUCACCAUCAUAUGCCUUUCAUGCAUAUCGAAAGGAACCUAGGAAAGCCUCUAUCUUGGGUAGACACGGGCUUGUCUCUAGUCCUUCGUCGAGACGGUUUUGUCCGGUACGGCAUGAUGGGGAAUGUCGAGUGGUGAUUCCGUCUGUUGGUUGAAUUAUAAGUUGUUAUGCUAAUCAUGCAGGGAAUACUUAAACCCCCUGAGUCGACCGUAGAUCGAGUCUUGUUCCACUAACCCCCAUACUUGUUUCGUACUACCACUUGUCCCUGCCGCAGGUAGGGUACGGUUCAGUAAGUUGUCAACCCCUCCCUAGCACACACCAUACAGAGAGGCCAUGGUGGAAGAUACCGGAUGCAUCCGGUAGGCAGGCCACCUGGUCGGGGGGUAUGGGUGUUUCCAGUUGGGACCGAGAGGGGGAACCCCUUAGAGCGCGUGAUAUAAAUUUGAUCCCAUGCUAUUCAAGGUUGUAGCCUCCCCACUUAGAGUUUUGCUUGAUAGGUGUCGUGGGUGAUUCCCGAGACCGGUAAGUUAAGCUGGUGUGUGCAAGUCAGGUGUGUUUUCAAUUAAAAGACCGUAGACGGAAUUAGUCCCGAUGGACUGAAGGAAUCCGUUACUCGUGGGUAAAGUGUACACCCUCUGCCGAGAUUAUAUCUAUUCGAAUAGCCGUGUCCAUGGUUAAGGACUACAGUCUGGGUUGGGUCAAGUGUCGGUCUUCGGAGGAGAAACUACUAAACCGGAAUAUGGAUCAUGACUUGUGACUUAUGAUGAUUAUGAUUAUUAUUAUGGUGGACUAAGCUUUUAUGUUAUUUGAAUUAUUGAGUAUCCCUGGGAUGGUACUACCUCCAGGAUAUUCACUGUGAUAUUUACUUUAUAAGCCCUUUAUGUUAUGUCACUGAGACACCCGACUGUGGCAUGCUUGUUAUUGAAUUUCUUAUAAGCCCUUCCUGCGGUGUCGCUGAGACGCUCGACUGUGGCAUGUUUGUUAUAUAUUUACUUUAUAAUCCCUUUAUGUGGUGUCGCUGAGACACCCGACUGUGGCAUGCUUGUUAUUGAAUUUCUUAUAAGCCCUUUCUGCAGUGUCGCUGAGACGCCCGACUGUGGCAUGUUUGUUAUAUAUUUACUUUAUAAGCCCUUUUUGUGGUGUCGCUCAGACGCCCGACUGAGGCAUGCUCGUUAUUUACUAUCCUUUCGAGGCGUCGCUUCAGACACCUGAUCGGUGCAUUUUAUCACUACUCUGUUAUUACAUGUUCAAGUUGCAUAUAAAUAACCUGCUUGCAUGCAUCAUGGAUUUUAUCUUAUGACUGACGUUGUGAUCAUAGAAUAUUUCAGUGCAUGAUUAUCAUUUAUAUUAUACCCGUGUUCAUAAUGUUUGCGAGUACAUUCAAAGUACUCACUAGCUUGUCCCUGGCUAUUGUCUUGGCCAGAUUCCUUGCUUGGAGAGGAGCGUUGCGAUGUCAGCCCCAGAACCCACGCAUUGGUGACAACAGCCUCACGAAGAUAGGAGUUAACCUGGUCAGCUAUUCCUGUGGGAAAUGGAGCCCCCUAAAUGCUGAUGAUCCACAAACCGCUUCCGCCAUUAACCACUAGAAACCAUUUGUUGUACCCAUAGGCCAGAAUGGUCUUGUACUACAUAUUUUGUACUUUUGCUUGGAAUAUCCGUAUCAAGUUGGUGCCUCAUCAGCUAACAGUAAUCCUGGGGCUGGUGAGCACAAGGGCCAUUUUCUGGAAAUUAAUAUCCUGAAAAACCCGGUCCUGACAAACUUGGUAUCAGAGCCAGGCUGACCAUUGGCUAAUCCUAUCUUUGCCGGGUCAAUAAACCUAGGUUAACCAAACCACCAGGCCAUAGCCUAGCCCCGGCCAAGCUUGUCGCGUAAGAUAGCCACAUAGUGACCCCGACACUUUUGGCAGUCGGUGCCCAACCUAUCAGCCUAGCCCAUCGAUCACGCGCUAGUGACCGACACCUAAAUUGCCUUAUUCGCAAGCGUGCGAAGGAAGACUCCGUCCCCUUUUUCUAUAAAAAGGGCACGCUAGCCUCAACACAGCACAUCCCAGCCUAUUCCUCAAACCGAGCUAUAAUGCCUGGCCCCUUCGUGCACAAUGAGACCACAACAACCAACCUUGGAGGUUUUGUGACCGUGCUCGCGAACCUCACCCGCCGUGCCUUUGCAUUAGAAGAGCCCCCAGAAUAUGUUGUGUACCAAGGACCCAUGAGCGGUGAAAGCCGUCAAUUCUGGGCCACCGUGCACAUCUAUGGUAGGGGUCUAUCUCUAGAACGCCCCUACAGGUUCACCGGAAGGACAACUUCCUUUGAGCCACAAGCCAUCCAACUAGCUGCUCGAGAGGCUGUAGUUCAACUCCGGCACUUGUCGCCCAGAGUUAACUGUCGCUUGUUCUACUACUACCCCAGCCGUGACGGGUAUAGUAGGCCACCCCAGGUUGCCAACAGAUAUCACGAGACGGAUCCUGCAUUGUUGCAUCUGGUGCGCUAUGUAAGUGCACUAGAGGAACUGUUCGAUCAAAUCACUCUUGAUCUGAUCGCAACUCGUGGAGAACUGAUUCGCCGAGCCCCGGUAAGAAGAGAAGAUGAGCCCGACGCCGACAAUCCAGUCGUGCUGUUCGAACAACCGAUCGAGUCCCUGAGGUCUACCUGAGUCAUUGACCAAAACACCUUGAUGACCCCAGAAGUGCUUCGUCGCCUUUUGGGAACACGCUCCAGCAGGAUUGUGGCCAACAAUCCCCGGGAUGGUCAUCAUCGCUACACCGACCCUGCAGUUCCUCAACCCCCUCCAGCUAAUCCCGACGGUGAAAACCGUGGAGAAGCCUCGACAUCCACAAGGCAAGCCCGAUUAGAUAUUAACGAGGUAGACUAAGUCACUCGAGUAGUACCGAGUCUUAGUAUGUCCACACCAUGUAACCGUGCGAUCCUGUAUCGCCAUAAUUAAAUGUUGUUUGCUUGUGCACCCCUAUUUUUAUAGUAGCCAUGCAUAGGUAUGUUGUGUACGAUUGCAUUUUUUUAUCCGGGCAUAGCUACCAAAAACCAACCUCGACGACACAAAGUUUGUGCUAUGAGUAAACUUUUGGUUUCAACUAACAGGAAAGAUAUUUUCGAAAACAACUCUUAACAAAUCUCGAGGACAAGAUUUUUCUUAAGGGGGGUAGUGUUGUAACACCCCAAAAAUUUAACCAUGUUUUGAUUAUUAAAAUUUUGCCAGGAAAUUAAAUUUUUAUUUUCCUGGAUUUAUUCUUGAUCCCAAAGCCUCUCUUUUCUUCUAAGUUGUGGAGUUUUCACCCCAAGUGAAAACUUUCCAAUUAUUAUUUGACUUGUUUACCCUCUCAAAUAAAACAAUUCUUUUAUCAGUGGGAUUAUUUAUAUAAUUAUUUUUCCCCUGAGCUUUAUUUCUCUAAAAUGGGGUUUCAUAGGUUUUCGGGUUCCAUUUGCACUGCAACCCUUUGAUUAAUUUAUUUAAAAAUCCCACCAAAAUUUGGGGAUGACAUAUGAUGUCCCUAAAUCACUUUUAUCCAAAAAUAUCCUUUGGUCAUUUGGAGAUUUUGAGCUUUACCCCAAGUUUUUAAAUCUGGUCCAGUUGCACUUUUGCACUACAACCUAUUUAAAUAUUCCUUUAAAACUUCCACCAAAAUUAGGGGAUGUGAGUAGGAGUAUAUUAUUCAUCUUUAUGCAAAAACCCGUUGAUGUUCUUUGAAAAAUUUGAGUGAAUCAACCUCAUUUUCAUUCUGGUCCAACUUGAUGAUUUGUACUGCAACCAUAUUUUAACUUGCUCCUUUACCCAUGAUUCUUUUCCCUGCUUUAGACCACCCUGCAAAACCCUUAAGUCCAGGCGAGUGGACCCAUUGGAGGAUUUUAAGUGCAUGCAAUCAUGCCUUCUUCUUUCUGUCCAAAACUGAAGAUUUGCAAAACUUGCACUAGCAAAUUUCUGGUUUUGCCCAAAUGACCUUGCCACCAUCACCUACACAUAAAGAGACACUAGUCUGGAGAGUUUGGCCACCCCAAGAAGUGCCUAGGUGCAUGUGGCAUUUUGUCAAACACCCUAUGAGCAUGGCCAGUUUGGGCAUGAACUUUUAGUUUGCACUAUGAGCUUGAUCCACUGAACCAGCAACCUUGUCCACUAAGCUCCCUGAUGCCUCUAGCCUGGACCUGCUAAUCCCCAGCUCCACCCAAGUCUCCUUGCUUGCCCUGGCAUUUUGCCGAACAGUUGGCGUGCAUGCUUUGGGCGCGGACAGAGCACACGUUUUGCACAUGCGUGCGCGCGAGUCGCUGCGUCCCGCUGCCGCCUACCCGCGCCCGUCCUGGCCUCUCCUCUCUCCCAGCCGUCGCGCCCGACCCCUCCCUCACCGCAGGGCCACCCUGGCCCCCUCCUGGCACCCUACAGCGACGCCACCGCAUGCCGCCACCGCCACCCCGACAGCUCUGCCAUGGACGGUGCCGCCCAAGCCACACCAGCGCGCUAGCUCGCUCAUGGAACAGCCCGAGCUCAUCCACGAGCUCGUCCGCUAGCGCCCGUCGCCGCCACGAUGCCCUGCAAGCUACAGAACGGCGGUCGCUGACGAUCCUAUCCACGGCUGCCGUGAACCGACCUAGCCACGCUAUAAGUAGGGGCCCCGAGCUCGUCCAGCCACUCAGGCAGCCUCAGGCCAUCCCCUCGAAGCCCCCACAGCCAGUAAUCGUCGGGGGAAAGCCUUCUCCCCCAUCUCCGGCCAGCUCGGCCGCCGCCAUGUCCCAGUCCCGUUCGUCGAAACCAGGGCCUCCCCUGCCCGUCCAACGCCACCACCCAACUCCCCUGGAUCGUGCGGAGCUGCCCAAACCCCCAGCCAUGAUCGGAAGCCACCAUAACCCAAAUCCCAAAUCGUGCCCGAAGCCAUCUCCGCCGCGAAGCUCGCCGCCGGCAACCCCCUCUAGCCCCAGCAACCGAGCGACUACCGGGAGGACCGCCCUGGACUGGCGGACCCAUCCCCGCCCUCGGAUGCCCUUGAGGAGCCGUCGCUCACCAGCGAAGAUUGCCGGAGCUCCGCCUCCGUUCGACCAAAGGAGAGGGAAGGAGGGGGACGACUAGUCAAACCUGACCAGUGGGCCCCUGGACCCACUGUCAGUGACUCACGCCGGUUCAUGCUGGAUAAGUGAAGGCGUAAAUGCUAAGUACGUGUUCGACGUGUACCUAUUCGAAACAUUUUCUUUUCUUUUUUUCUGUUUUAGUUAAAAACCAGAAAUUUGACUAAACUUUGACUGGCUAUAUCUUUUUAAAUAAAACUCCAAAUGAGUUGAUUCAUUUUCCUACCUCUCUCAAAUUUAGUCUAGUUUAUUUUAAGAUUUAUUUGAAAAAUUUCAGACAACUUUUUUACACUGUUUUGAAUCUAUGUUUUAAUUUGAAUAAUUUCAAAAAUAGGUUUUGAAGAAGAAGUCAACUUUCAAAAAAAGCACGCCCCACUUGCAUACUCUUGAAGGCAAGCAUUCUGAACCCUGGCAUAAUAUUGUGUGUGUUAUCUGACACGGUUACAAUACCACCUCGACACGGAGUAUCCGUUAUUUUAUGUGAUGAUAUGUUCAAACUCAUGAGUGCAUAUUGAUGAUUUCAUGCUAUUGGAGUUUGAUAUGUUUGGGAUAGUAGUCACCAUCAUAUGCCUUUCCUGCAUACCGGAAGGAACCCGGGAAAGCCUCUGUCUUGGGUAGACACGGGCUUGUCUCUAGUCCUCCGUCGAGACGGUUGUGUCCGGUACGGCAUGAUGGGGUAUGUCGAGUGGUGAUCCCGUCUGUUGGUUGAAGUAUAAGUUGUUAUGCUAAUCAUGCAGGGAAUACUUAAAUCUCCUGAGUCGACCGUAGAUCGAGUCUUGUUCCAGUAACCCCCAUACUUGUUUCAUACUACCACUUGUCCCUGCCGCAGGUAGGGUACGGUUCAGUAAGUUGUCAACCCCUCCCUAGCACACACCGUACAGAGAGGCCAUGGUGGAAGAUACCGGAUGCAUCUGGUAGGCAGGCCACCUGGUCCGGGGGCAUGGGUGUUUCCGGUUGGGACCGAGAGGGGGGCACCCCUUAGAGUGUGCGAUAUAAAUUUGAUCCCAUGCUAUUCGAGGUUGUAGCCUCCCCACUUAGAGUUUUGCUUUACUGGUGUCGUGGGUGAUUCCCGACACCGGUAAGUUAAGCUGGUGUGUGCAAGUCAGGUGUGUUUUCAAUUAAAAGACCGUAGAUGGAAUUAGUCCCGAUGGACUGAAGGAAUCUAUUACUUGUGGGUAAAGAGUACACCCUCUGCAGAGAUUAUAUCUAUUCGAAUAGCCGUGUCCAUGGUUAAGGACUACAGUCUAGGUUGGGUCAAGUGUCGGUCUUAGUGUCGGUCUUCGGAGGAGAAACUACUAAACCAGAAUAUGGAUCAUGACUUGUGACUUAUGAUGAUUAUGAUUAUUAUUAUUGUGGACUAACCUUUUAUGUUAUUUGAAUUAUUGAGUAUCCCUGGGACGGUUUUACCUCCUGGAUAUUCAUCGUGAUAUUUACUUUAUAAGCCCUUUAUGUGGUGUCGCCGAGACACCCGACUAUGGUGUGCUUGUUGAAUUUCUUAUAAGCCCUUCCCGCGGUGUCGCUGAGACGCCCGACUGUGGCAUGUUUGUUAUAUAUUUACUUUAUAAGCCCUUUAUGUGGUGUCGCUGAGACACCCGACCGUGGCAUGCUUGUUAUUUAAUUUCUUAUAAGCCCUUUCCGCGGUGUCGCUGAGACGCCCGACUGUGGCAUGUUUGUUAUAUAUUUACUUUAUAAGCCCUUUUUGUGGUGUCGCUCAGACGCCCGACUGAGGCAUGCUCGUUAUUUACUAUCCUUUCGAGGCGUCGCUUCAGACACCCGAUUGGUGCAUUUUAUCACUACUCUGUAAUUACAUGUUCAAGUUGCAUAUAAAUAACCUGCUUGCAUGCAUCAUGGAUUUUAUCUUAUGACUGACGUUGUGAUCAUAGAAUGUUUCAGUGCAUGAUUAUCAUUUAUAUUAUACCCAUGUUCAUAAUGUUUGCGAGUACAUUCAAAGUACUCACUGGCUUGUCCCUGGCUAUUGUCUUGGCCAGAUUUCUUGCUUGGAGAGGAGCGCUAUGAUGUCAGCCCCGGAACCCACGCAUUGGUGACAACAGCCUCACGAAGAUAGGAGUUGUCACAUCCCUAGUUGCUGGUAGUGCUCUAGGCUAGCUCAUGUGUGCAUCAUGUUUAAAUUCUGAAAAUUUGAACUGAGGAAUUCAGAAGCCUCAAAACUUAAAUAAAAGAGGGGCAGAAACCCUAAAAAUCUCAUUCAUUGUUCCAAAAUGCUCUUCUUAAAUGUUUGAUAAUUUUUGGCAAGGGUUCUGGUCCCAACCAAAAUAUUGAACAUUUUUAAGGAUUUAUUUUUGGGACUUUGAAUUUAAUUCAUUAGCUAUUUGAAUUUGAAUUAUAUUCAUAUAAUUAGAAUAUUAUUUCCAAUAUCCCUGAAUUAUUUUAUGAGCUUUUGGAAAGGUCCAUCUAGCAAAAUAAAAUAUUCAGAGGAGCUUUGGCAUUGUUUGAAUUAUUAUUUUUAAUUCAAAACAGUGGCAAAAGAAUUAAAUAAAAAGAAAACAGAACUGAAAUAGAAAUAAAAGACAGAGAAGGAAGUUACCUGGACUUACCUCAGCUUACCCGCGGCCCAACACUGUGCAGCCAGCAGCGGCCCAGCCCACCACUUCCCCCCCUGUCGCCUUCCUCCUCGCGCCAGUGGGCGCAGGCGCGUGGCCGGAGCGCGCGGGCACACGCCCAGGCCACCUCCUGCCUCUCUGCCUGUUUCCCUGUCGCCCUGAGGAUGCCACGCACCCCCUGGACCGCUCUCACUCUCCCCCAUUCCUUCUUCUCUCUUCCCUGGCUCUCUCACUCGCAUGACCGAGAGUCGCCGUCGCCGCCGCUCGCCAUAACCACGGCCACCGCCGCCCCCUCGCUUCUCUGACCAGCCCACGAGCUCCGCCUAGAACCCGAGCGCCUCUCCGCCGACCCACGCAAGGCCGGAGGACCCCAAGACGACGCCGCGACCCCUCUUCCCUGUCCACGGCCGCCGGAUGCCGCCGCCCGAUUCGUCGUCCACAGGGCCUCCCUGAGCUCGCCGUCUUCUUCAUACGACUCCCUGUGAGCCCCUCUCCCUUUCCCCUCAUACCCCAUGGUGGAUUUGGUUCGCUAGCUCGAUUCCCGCCAUCGCCGAGAGCUUCUGCCGUCGUGUCUCAUCGCCGCCGUGGCCUGAGCUCGAUCUUCUCACGUCCGAGGACGCGGUAGUGCUCCAGGAGCUCCCCUGGUGCUCUUGCGCCUCUCAACCUGCUCGCUAGCAAGCUACAACCCCGCGCCCCAACCGAGCCCGAGCAUCGCCGCCGCCGAGCUCAUCGCCGGUGCCGCUACAGCCCGCAUCAGCUCCAGCCACCACCACCAUCGUACGCGCCCUGCUGCGGGUGUUCCAACGCACCCGGCCGUGCGACCUCCCGUCGCCGGAGUUGGCCGGACGAGCGACCUCGCCGUGCCCUGUUACGCCGGCGGCUAAACGCCGAUUAGAGCUGACGUGGAGCAUUAGGUUAGGUGCUAAUCACUCAGUUAAUUAAACCCUUGUGCAUGACAUGUGGGACCGCUGUUGUCAAAAACACGGGUUAAGUUAAAUAACCCCCUGUUAGCUCUCUAUCUCACUGACAUGUGGGCCUCGAUGUCAGUUUGACUUGCUGACGUGGCUUUUGACUGGCCCCACACGUCAGUGACUCAUGCCAGCGGUGUGUCACUGACCAGUGGGCCCCACUGGUCAAGUUUGACCCGGACCAGCCCCUGUUGACUAUGCUGAGGUCAGCAUGACCUAGUGCUGACGCAAUAAUUCCUUUCUGGAAUUUAAAUAAAUCUUAAAUGAUUUAAUAAUUCCAGAAAAUGCCUAAAACUUCUAAAAUUCAUAGAAAUUCAACCGUAACUCCAAAUUAAAUAAUUUAUAUAUGAAAAAUUAUCAGAAAAAUUCAAGGAAUCCAUCUGUACCAUUUUCAUGCAUGUUAGAACAACUUAUAGCUGCUGUUUAGCACAAAUCAAUUAAAGGGCAUUUAAAUAUCCACAUAUGGAGUUUGAAUUUGAAUCUUGGAUUCAAACCAACUUCAUUUAAUCUGGUUUUAGUUGCAUUAGCUCAAAACACAUUCAUUUUGCCAUGUCAUGAUCAUGCAUCAUAUUGUGCAUUGCAUUGAUUGUGUUCCCUUCUGUGUUGCCAGUAUUUGUCCCCUCUCGAUAGACGUGAUACCGAUGAUGUGAUCGUUGACACUGAUGAAGACUCAAUGUUAUCUUCAGAAGUGCCAGGCAAGCAAAACCCCCUUGUUCAUUCCGAUACAAUCCCACUCUCUCGCUCCUGCUCUCUUUUACUGCAUUAGGACAACAACGACAUAUUUGUUACUUGCUGCGGUAGCUGAACCCCUUUAUCCUCUGCAUGACCUGUCAUUGCCACAGUAAAUAGAUGAAACCCACUAGCAUGAGUAGGAGUUGUUUGAGCCCUGUUGUGCCUACUCAUUCUUGCUUGUUUGUCAUGCCUGCUACUGCUUAGAGUUGAGUCAGGUCUGAUUCAUCGGGGAUGAAUCAGAGGCGUGUGANNNNNNNNNNUUUGGUAAAGGUAGCGGUGAGAGGCCAUGUAGGAGUACAUGGUGGGUUGUCUCAUUGCAGCCGUCCUCAGGAACUGAGUUCUGUGUUUGUGAUCCAUGAUUCAGCUACUACCAUACAUUGGGCCCUGAAAUAUGACCCCGCUCGACUUCUUAUUCACCCUAGUCCUCUAUCCAGGAGUUGCAAGUAGUUUCUGGUGUUUGUAGUAUGCUGGAGGCCGUGGACAGCGCUGACCGUAGGGGUGGGCUGUGAUGCGGUAGGCACGUGGCCGGGUAAACCGGGCGCCCGUUUGGUGUCACGGAACCCUGUUCACAUCGUUUGGGGCUGUGAGCGAAACUCCGGCCGGAUCUCCUCAUGGAUGGAACCCGAAUAGGCGAUAAACCUGGACUAGAGACUUGAGUGUUUAGGUAGGUCGUGGUCUACACCCACGUCGGCUUUCGCUUGAAGUCUGCCGAGCACAUGUCGUGUGCAGACGCUAAGUGGUGGAAACAUGUAUGAAGAAGUACACCCCUGCAGGGUUAACAUCAUCUAUUCGAAUAGCCGUGUCCGCGGAAAAGGACUUCUGGGUUGCUUAUAUCAGUUCAUAGACAAGUGAAAGUGGAUACUCUAAAAUACGCAAGAUAAGCGUGAGUGCUAUGGAUGGCGUUCUCGUAGGGAGACGGGAGCGGAUCCAUAGUGGUGUAUUGAUAUGGUGAAUAUGUGGACUCGUGUGCGCCACCUCAAGGAGUUAGUUGCAGUCGUAGUUCAGGAUAGCCACCGAGUCAAAGCUGGCUUGCUGCAGUUAAACCCCACCAUCGCCUUUGUUGAUAAUGAUGCAUAUGUAGCUAGUUCUGAUGUAAGUCUUGCUGGGUACAUUUGUACUCACGUUUGCCUAUUUUAUGUUUUUGCAGAGAGACUUCGGUCUCACUAGUAGUUUCGCGUGGACUUCGACGUUUAGCUUGUUACCUCAGCUACGAUCUUGUGCCCCCGGCAGAAUCUGGUAGAUAGUCAGGCUUUCAAGCCUUUUCCAUUUAUAGAUGUCUGUACUCAGACAUGAUAGCUUCCGCUUGUGCUUUGACUUGUAUGCUCUGAUUGUUGGGUCAUGAGACCCCUGUUUGAAUUAUCUCACUCCUUGGAGCCUAUUGAAUAAAUUACUUGAGUCGUAGAGUCAUGUUGUGAUGCCAUGUUGUAUUUGCACAUAUCGAGCAUAUUGUGUGUAUGUUAUUGAAAUGCUUGGUAUGUGUGGGAUCUGACCAUCUAGUUGUUUAUCUUUAGUAGCCUCUCUUACGAGGAAAUGUCUCCUAGUGUUUCCACCGAGCCAUGGUAGCUUGCUACUGCUCCGGAACACUUAGGCUGGCCGGCAUGUGUCCUUCUUCGUUCCUGUGUCUGUCCCUUCGGGGAAAUGUCACGCGAUGAAUACCGGAGUCCUGUUAGCCCGCUACAGCCCGGUUCACCGGAGUCCUGCUAGCCCAGUGCUACAGCCUGGAUUCACUUGCUGAUGACCGACACGUUCGAUGCUGGGUCAUGGAUGCCUAUCCCUGUAAGUCUGUGCCACUUUGGGUUUACGACUAGCCAUGUCAGCCCGGGCUCCUUAUCAUAUGGAUGCUAGCGACACUAUCAUAUACGUGUGCCAAAAGGCGCAAACGGUCCCGGGCAAAGGUAAGGCGACACCCGCGGGAAUACCGUGCGUGAGGCCGCAAAGUGAUAUGAGGUGUUACAUGCUAGAUCGAUGUGGCAUUGAGUCGGGGUCCUGACAGUGUUGGUAUCAGAGCUUGACUGCCUGUAGGAUUACCAAGCCAAACUGGUCGAAGUUGAGUCUAGAAAUUCUUUAGUUAUAUAGGGGAAUUGAUUGUGGGAUGGAACGUAAGGCUCUUUUUACUCCUUAUACCUCAUGGCCUUCUGAUCUGAGUCAUCAUCUUCUCUUCUACGGGGAUUAAGAACUAGGCUUUCUCUUCUUUCCAUCAGGAUCACGUGUUAUUAAUCCGUAGACUUAUAGAAUUGUUGGACUUAAGCCUCGUUUCAGUUCCUAUUACUUCUGUAUGUUAAUUGUUGAUCUCGGAACCUUGAUAUUGUGCUUCUGAGUGGUUAUGCCAUCAUUUUGUGAAUGUCUCAAAUCUUUUCUAAGCAUUUACAGCCGUUAUGCUGUCCGAGUCAUCCCAGGUUUCUAAGUAGUCUGAUGCAUUUGCAAAAUCCCUUCCUCCCGUUCCGAUGUUCCUUUGGGCCAGAUUAACCACACUAAUUGGUGAGUUGAGGUAAAUUAUUGCCUUGACAUAUAUGUUGGAGCUAUUAUUAUGACCCUAGGUGUCUCAGGGGAUCAUCUAGUAGUCUAGCUAUGUUUUGUGUUCCCAGUGUGAUGAUUCUGGCCGUCAUUAUCGAAAGCAUCCCGUGAUGCUACUUAGUAUUAGGUAUUCUGUUCCUGGGUUCUUGAACCCGAGAUUCACUCUACUUACUUCAUGUUGAUAGUAAUUGCUAGCGCCUUUAGGAUAUUAGUAACCUUUGCAGUAGUUCUCGAGGUCCGUGGUAUAUCCUUCUUCCAAAUACCAUGAACCACUUACGGCAAAAGUUUGUUGGAUCAAAAGAUCACAACAGGAGUGCUCUCUAUGGGUUCUCCAUUCAUAAUUGUGACUCUGCCAGUUCUACCUUUCUGCAUGGGUUAUCCGGAAGAAAUAUGUUGAACUUCGUUCGACAUGUUAAACCAUGCAUCCACAACUCAGAAAAUCGUAUGUUCUUUUGAGUUGUCCCAUCUUAGUUGUUUCCGACCCUCGCCUAUCAAUUGAUAGUCAAGAGUAUGCGUGCAUUCGUUCGUCGAUGCCUAUUACCCUUGUGGUCCGCCAAGCCAUUCUAUUUCAGAAUGAAUAGGAGAAACAAACUCCAGUACCUCUUCCAUAUCCAGGAUUGGGUCAAAGAAGUUGUGCUCCACAGAACAAAUUGCUAACCCAGCUUUUGUUCUGCUCUACCUUGGAGUAUUACCAUCUUUUAUAUCGGGAUUAUUGUAGGAAUUGCACACCAUCCUAUGAACUCUUGGUACAGUGAUACUUCUUGCCAUCAUUGUUCAUUCCUCGGUUCCUGUGUUAUUGUGACCGGAAUGCCGACAAGUGAAUCGUGGUGUGUGAAAUCAAUACUCCUAGCAACUCUGUUGUCUGGUAGUUAAAGGACAAAAUUUUUAAUUCUUAGCGUGUUGGUUAUUAAAUCACCAUUCUAAGAUAGAUUGUGCUACCUAGUCCUUAUUUCCUGAUGCACUCCUUGAUUAAUGAGUUAGGAUUUUGUCAAGUCCUCGCUCAUUUGAUCAUAUCAUCUUGCCCUGAAAAGCAAGAUUGUUCUCGAGCUUAGUAACAUAUCGGUGGUUCGUGAUUUUCCGUAUAUCUUCUCGGAAAUAUUACCAGGUUGUCACCUGACCGCUAUGUUGAGUUCGUGAUCAAGUUGGUUUAUUCCUGUAAACCACCCCUUCUCCAAGAAUCUGUGUGGGAUACCCCUGAGCUAGUUGGUCAAGCUAAACAACAACUUGGAUAGUUGGGAGAUAAAAGCUUGCCUGACUUAGUUCGUUCCAAAGGGAUAUUCUUGUGUAGUGUGUGUUGAAGAAAUAUGAUAUCUUCAUCGAUUGGUCCCUGUGAUCAGUUGCUGGACCUAUUGUCUUAUCAAUCCUUUGAUUUGAGUGUGGGCUAUCGUCAAAUCAAAUCAGAACCAACGAUGUUUGUAAUGUUGUCUUACUCGUGGUUGACUCCUCGAGCAUACGCCAUUAUAUCUUAUGGGUCUGACCAAUGCUAUCACCGUGUUCACUUAACUAUGGAAUUCCUUUUAAAAGGGAACCCAGAUGAAUUGUUGUUGAGCCCAUUGACAACAUCCUUAUCUCCUCCAUGAUUUUGUUGAACAUUAAGCUAGUGUUGGAAACUUUGUAAGAAAUGCCUUCGUGUUCCGUUCAUGAAGCCUACGCUUGGAUGAAAGCAGUGACUUCCUCUAAUUCACGUGCAUUUGAUGUAAGUUGCCGCCAUGAAUUCGAGAAAGUUUGUUUCUGCUCCUCUGGAAUCAUCCCAAGUCAGUCAUGCAUGUGCGAAGUAUUCUAUGGUCUGAUAGACUGAUCAUCUUCAUUCCAUAUGUAUCCCUAGCACACCAAGCCACUGAUUGAGUUGUUCAAGGAAAAGGAGUUGAUGUGCUAAUCCUAGGUCAUACACAAGAUUCCUAUAUCCUCAAUGAUGGUUCCCAACCAGAACUCGGUAGUGUUUUAUUAUAAGACUACCACGUGGUCAUGCUUGUCUUGGACAAUGUGUUCACAUGUUUGUAGCAGAACCAGCUCAUGUUUUGGAGCUUGCUAUCAUAGUUCAUCUCCCGAGAAUCCCGCAACGUCAUCUCGUCGAUUUGUGUUGCAAACUUCCGUUUUUCUUCCUAGACUCGAUGAGUCUGGAAUAUCCUGACACCAACCAGAUCUGAAUCUCAGGCAUAUAUGAUGGUUGGAACAUUUCCCAAGAAUUAUAAUAUUGGUCGCGCGAUAACCGGUAAAGUGGAUGUCGUGGCCAACACACCCAGCCGGAAGACCUGUUAUUAUAAUAUCUUGAUUGAGGAAGUUGGCCACCUCCCCAUAAGGAUUUCGUAGGAUUUACUCCCUAGUUGACCCUAUGGAUUUCUGUGUUCCGAAGUCCGACCUUUUUACUUGAUGUUCUAGAUAUCAAACCAUAUCUAUGAAUGGGUUACGCUAGCACAUCAAGGAGAACAUUAGAAGCAGAGUGCUAAAUGUCUCUCGGUCGAUCGUCCAGAUUUUGUUUCCUUGGCCUCGCUAGGGUGAAAUCUGAGAAGGUAUUAUCUUCCUUUGCAUCUGCAUCCUCCAUCACCAUUCAUCAUGGUAGCAAGUUGUGUUGCCAGGAUCCUUGACACGGAUGUUGGUAAAACCCUGAUGAUUAUGGAAAUGCUCAAGUUCUUGAGAGCACGCACAAGCGCUACGUGUUAUCAUCGGCUCUAACUGGGAUUCCUCUCAGUUUCCUCGGAAAUGCUAUGACCUUUCAAACCGUGAAUUCACUCUCUAUUGUUGGGUUCUUCCCCAGUUAUCAGAAUCAUUCCCAGCAUUUGCAUUCUGUUCCUAGCCUGCACCGCCAAUGUGCCAUUCUACCAUGGGUCUCUUCCAUUUCCGGUGAUAAGCAAAUUCAUCCAUUGCGUUGUCUUCAACAAGGUAAUCCACAUCAUCCAAGUCCGAGUAUGCCAUUCUACCGACCCCCUCCAAACGAUCGUUGUGAAUUGCCUUAGGCUGGUAUGAAGAGUUUCAAUGAUCUUUGAAUCAAAAGUAAUUCUUUUUGCCACUUAAGAUAAUAAUCUACGAAUCACCCUCCUCCAGGAUGUUUCGUCGUGGUAUCAUGGCAACUCAACUCCUCGCUACGUUGACAAUCGUUUACCACCCUCUUAAGCGUGAAAUUGUUGUCUACCUAGUGAACCCUCGUCAUCUGUUCCACUCCAUCCCUCUAGAGGUGUGCUUCGUCUCUCAGCUCGAGAGAUGUUGUUAUGUCUCAUUCCGUGAGUUGUUCGAUCUUCGAGAAGAUCGACCCUUCUAGAGUCUCCCUCUUCCCUCCAUGUCAUGUUGACAGGAUUUCUUAGAGCAAGACGACAAGACAAAGAUGGUGUUCAAAUCAACGUUCAUUUGAAGUGCACCCUGGAUCGUGAAGUUUGUGCUAGGUCGCGUUCCCCCUCCACCUUACCCUACGCUUGAAUCUCGAGACGAGAUUCUUGUUUAGUGGGGGUGAGUUGUCACAUCCCUAGUUGCUGGUAGUGCUCUAGGCUAGCUCAUGUGUGCAUCAUGUUUAAAUUCUGAAAAUUUGAACUGAGGAAUUCAGAAGCCUCAAAACUUAAAUAAAAGAGGGGCAGAAACCCUAAAAAUCUCAUUCAUUGUUCCAAAAUGCUCUUCUUAAAUGUUUGAUAAUUUUUGGCAAGGGUUCUGGUCCCAACCAAAAUAUUGAACAUUUUUAAGGAUUUAUUUUUGGGACUUUGAAUUUAAUUCAUUAGCUAUUUGAAUUUGAAUUAUAUUCAUAUAAUUAGAAUAUAAUUUCCAAUAUCCCUGAAUUAUUUUAUGAGCUUUUGGAAAGGUCCAUCUAGCAAAAUAAAAUAUUCAGAGGAGCUUUGGCAUUGUUUGAAUUAUUAUUUUUAAUUCAAAACAGUGGCAAAAGAAUUAAAUAAAAAGAAAACAGAACUGAAAUAGAAAUAAAAGACAGAGAAGGAAGUUACCUGGACUUACCUCAGCUUACCCGCGGCCCAACACUGUGCAGCCAGCAGCGGCCCAGCCCACCACUUCCCCCCCCCCUGUCGCCUUCCUCCUCGCGCCAGUGGGCGCAGGCGCGUGGCCGGAGCGCGCGGGCACACGCCCAGGCCACCUCCUGCCUCUCUGCCUGUUUCCCCGUCGCCCUGAGGAUGCCACGCACCCCCUGGACCGCUCUCACUCUCCCCCAUUCCUUCUUCUCUCUUCCCUGGCUCUCUCACUCGCAUGACCGAGAGUCGCCGUCGCCGCCGCUCGCCAUAACCACGGCCACCGCCGCCCCCUCACUUCUCUGACCAGCCCACGAGCUCCGCCUAGAACCCGAGCGCCUCUCCGCCGACCCACGCAAGGCCGGAGGACCCCAAGACGACGCCGCGACCCCUCUUCCCUGUCCACGGCCGCCGGAUGCCGCCGCCCGAUUCGUCGUCCACAGGGCCUCCCUGAGCUCGCCGUCUUCUUCACACGACUCCCUGUGAGCCCCUCUCCCUUUCCCCUCAUACCCCGUGGUGGAUUUGGUUCGCUAGCUCGAUUCCCGCCAUCGCCGAGAGCUUCUGCCGUCGUGUCUCAUCGCCGCCGUGGCCUGAGCUCGAUCUGCUCACGUCCGAGCACGCGAUAGUGCUCCAGGAGCUCCCCUGGUGCUCUUGCGCCUCUCAACCUGCUCGCUAGCAAGCUACAGCCCCGCGCCCCGACCGAGCCCGAGCAUCGCCGCCGCCGAGCUCAUCGCCGGUGCCGCUACAGCCCGCAUCAGCUCCAGCCACCACCACCAUCGUACGCGCCCUGCUGCGGGUGUUCCAACGCACCCGGCCGUGCGACCUCCCGUCGCCGGAGUUGGCCGGACGAGCGACCUCGCCGUGCCCUGUUAUGCCGGCGGCUAAACGCCGAUUAGAGCUGACGUGGAGCAUUAGGUUAGGUGCUAAUCACUCAGUUAAUUAAACCCUUGUGCAUGACAUGUGGGACCGCUGCUGUUAAAAACACGGGUUAAGUUAAAUAACCCCCUGUUAGCUCUUUAUCUCACUGACAUGUGGGCCUCGAUGUCAGUUUGACUUGCUGACGUGGCUUUUGACUGGCCCCACACGUCAGUGACUCAUGCCAGCGGUGUGUCACUGACCAGUGGGCCCCACUGGUCAGGUUUGACCCGGACCAGCCCCUGUUGACUAUGCUGAGGUCAGCAUGACCUAGUGCUGACGCAAUAAUUCCUUUCUGGAAUUUAAAUAAAUCUUAAAUGAUUUAAUAAUUCCAGAAAAUGCCUAAAACUUCUAAAAUUAAUAGAAAUUCAACCGUAACUCCAAAUUAAAUAAUUUAUAUAUGAAAAAUUAUCAGAAAAAUUCAAGGAAUCCAUCUGUACCAUUUUCAUGCAUGUUAGAACAACUUAUAGCUGCUGUUUAGCACAAAUCAAUUAAAGGGCAUUUAAAUAUCCACAUAUGGAGUUUGAAUUUGAAUCUUGGAUUCAAACCAACUUCAUUUAAUCUGGUUUUAGUUGCAUUAGCUCAAAACACAUUCAUUUUGCCAUGUCAUGAUCAUGCAUCAUAUUGUGCAUUGCAUUGAUUGUGUUCCCUUCUGUGUUGCCAGUAUUUGUCCCCUCUCGAUAGACGUGAUACCGAUGAUGUGAUCGUUGACACUGAUGAAGACUCAAUGUUAUCUUCAGAAGUGCCAGGCAAGCAAAACCCCCUUGUUCAUUCCGAUACAAUCCCACUCUCUCGCUCCUGCUCUCUUUUACUGCAUUAGGACAACAACGACAUAUUUGUUACUUGCUGCGGUAGCUGAACCCCUUUAUCCUCUGCAUGACCUGUCAUUGCCACAGUAAAUAGAUGAAACCCACUAGCAUGAGUAGGAGUUGUUUGAGCCCUGUUGUGCCUACUCAUUCUUGCUUGUUUGUCAUGCCUGCUACUGCUUAGAGUUGAGUCAGGUCUGAUUCAUCGGGGAUGAAUCAGAGGCGUGUGAGCAUGUCCUACCGUGUGUGAGCUAAGUGUGUGAACACGUUUUGGUAAAGGUAGCGGUGAGAGGCCAUGUAGGAGUACAUGGUGGGUUGUCUCAUUGCAGCCGUCCUCAGGAACUGAGUUCUGUGUUUGUGAUCCAUGAUUCAGCUACUACCAUACAUUGGGCCCUGAAAUAUGACCCCGCUCGACUUCUUAUUCACCCUAGUCCUCUAUCCAGGAGUUGCAAGUAGUUUCUGGUGUUUGUAGUAUGCUGGAGGCCGUGGACAGCGCUGACCGUAGGGGUGGGCUGUGAUGCGGUAGGCACGUGGCCGGGUAAACCGGGCGCCCGUUUGGUGUCACGGAACCCUGUUCACAUCGUUUGGGGCUGUGAGCGAAACUCCGGCCGGAUCUCCUCAUGGAUGGAACCCGAAUAGGCGAUAAACCUGGACUAGAGACUUGAGUGUUUAGGUAGGUCGUGGUCUACACCCACGUCGGCUUUCGCUUGAAGUCUGCCGAGCACAUGUCGUGUGCAGACGCUAAGUGGUGGAAACAUGUAUGAAGAAGUACACCCCUGCAGGGUUAACAUCAUCUAUUCGAAUAGCCGUGUCCGCGGAAAAGGACUUCUGGGUUGCUUAUAUCAGUUCAUAGACAAGUGAAAGUGGAUACUCUAAAAUACGCAAGAUAAGCGUGAGUGCUAUGGAUGGCGUUCUCGUAGGGAGACGGGAGCGGAUCCAUAGUGGUGUAUUGAUAUGGUGAAUAUGUGGACUCGUGUGCGCCACCUCAAGGAGUUACUUGCAGUCGUAGUUCAGGAUAGCCACCGAGUCAAAGCUGGCUUGCUGCAGUUAAACCCCACCAUCCCCUUUGUUGAUAAUGAUGCAUAUGUAGCUAGUUCUGAUGUAAGUCUUGCUGGGUACAUUUGUACUCACGUUUGCCUAUUUUAUGUUUUUGCAGAGAGACUUCGGUCUCACUAGUAGUUUCGCGUGGACUUCGAUGUUUAGCUUGUUACCUCAGCUACGAUCUUGUGCCCCCGGCAGAAUCUGGUAGAUAGUCAGGCUUUCAAGCCUUUUCCAUUUAUAGAUGUCUGUACUCAGACAUGAUAGCUUCCGCUUGUGCUUUGACUUGUAUGCUCUGAUUGUUGGGUCAUGAGACCCCUGUUUGAAUUAUCUCGCUCCUCGGAGCCUAUUGAAUAAAUUACUUGAGUCGUAGAGUCAUGUUGUGAUGCCAUGUUGUAUUUGCACAUAUCGAGCAUAUUGUGUGUAUGUUAUUGAAAUGCUUGGUAUGUGUGGGAUCUGACCAUCUAGUUGUUUAUCUUUAGUAGCCUCUCUUACGAGGAAAUGUCUCCUAGUGUUUCCACCGAGCCAUGGUAGCUUGCUACUGCUCCGGAACACUUAGGCUGGCCGGCAUGUGUCCUUCUUCGUUCCUGUGUCUGUCCCUUCGGGGAAAUGUCACGCGAUGAAUACCGGAGUCCUGUUAGCCCGCUACAGCCCGGUUCACCGGAGUCCUGCUAGCCCAGUGCUACAGCCUGGAUUCACUUGCUGAUGACCGACACGUUCGAUGCUGGGUCAUGGAUGCCUGUCCCUGUAAGUCUGUGCCACUUUGGGUUUACGACUAGCCAUGUCAGCCCGGGCUCCUUAUCAUAUGGAUGCUAGCGACACUAUCAUAUACGUUUGCCAAAAGGCGCAAACGGUCCCGGGCAAAGGUAAGGCGACACCCGUGGGAAUACCGUGCGUGAGGCCGCAAAGUGAUAUGAGGUGUUACAUGCUAGAUCGAUGUGGCAUUGAGUCGGGGUCCUGACAGGAGUUAACCUGGUCAGCUGUUCCUGUGGGAAAUGGAGUCCCCUAAACGCUGAUGAUCCACAAACCGCUUCCGCCAUCAACCACUAGAAACCAUUUGUUGUACUCAUAGGCCAGAAUGGUCUUGUACUACAUAUUUUGUACUUUUGCUUGGAAUUUCCAUAUCAAGUUGGUGCCUCAUCAGCUAAUAGUAAUCCUGGGGCUGGUGAGCACAAGGGCCAUUUUCUGGAAAUUAAUAUCCUGAAAAAACCGGUCCUAACAGUUCAUUGAGAGGGGUAGCAAUGGUGCUGAAAUCUCUCACAAAAUGCCUAUAGAAUCCAGUGAGGCCAAGAAAACUCCUCACUUGUGUGACCGUUUUGGGCUACGGCCAACUCCCAAUAGCUUCAAUCUUGGCUUUAUCAACUUCAAUUCCCCGUGGAGUAACAACACAACCAAGAAAAGAUACUCGAUCGGUGCAAAAGGUGCACUUCCCAAGGUUACCAAACAAACGUGCAUCACGUAGAACAAGAAAAAUAACACAUAAAUGUUCCAAAUGUUCCUCCAAAGAUCUAUUGUAAAUCAGUAUAUCAUCAAAAUAGACUACCACAAAUCGUCCAAUGAAAGCACGUAAAACUUCAUUCAUUAAUCUCAUGAAAGUAAUAGGUGCAUUAGUUAACCCCAAAGGCAUGACUAACCACUCAUAUAAUCCAAACUUAGUUUUAAAUGCUGUUUUCCAUUCAUCUCCCAAUUUCAUACGAAUUUGAUGGUAUCCACUAUGCAAAUCAACUUUGGAGAAUAUUGAAGAGCCACUCAUAUCAUGAAGCAUGUCAUCUAGCCUAGGAAUAGGAUGACGAUAACGAAUAGUAAUAUUAUUAAUGCCUCUACAAUCAACACACAUAUGCGACAUACCAUCCUUUUUUCGCACUAGUAUAAUAGGAACAACACAAGGAUAAGAGAUUUGCGUAUAUAACCUUUGUCGAGCAGCUCUUGUAUGUGACACAUAAUCUCCUUCAUCUCCUCUGGAUUAGUACGGUAUGGAGCAUGGUUUGGCGACGAAGCACCGGGAAUUAAGUCAAUCUGAUGCUCAAUCCCUCGAAUGAGUGGUAAUCCCGGUGGCACGUCUUAUGGAAAGACGCCAGCAAACUCCCGCAAAAUGUUAGUGACAGCAGGAGGCAAAGAGGAAGGUACAUCGUCGAAAGAAAAUAAUGCCCCUCUGCACACAAAAGCAUAGCAAACAGAUUUGCUGAAAUCUAGAUCAUUAAUAUCAGAUUUGGUGGCAAGUAAACAUGCACUUUUCAAUUUAAUUUCAGAAGCAACACUAGAUGGUUUAUUAUUAGGCUUCAUUUGUUGCUCAGAUUCUUUUGCCACAAUCUGAUUUUCACUCUUAUUAUUCUCCUAAUUUGCUUUAUUAGCUCUAUUAAUAUCAUCUUUCGAAAUGGAAUCAGGAGUCGUAGGAAGCAAAGCAAUAUUUCUACCCAUACGAACAAGAGUAUACUGAUUGUUUCUACCAUGGUGUAGAGAAUUUUUAUCAAAUUGCCAUGGUCUAUCAAGUAAUAAGGAACAUGAUUGCAUAGGUACCACAUCACAAUCAAUAUAAUCAGCAUAUGUAGAGAUACUAAAAUGCACACGAACAGUACGUGUUACCUUAACCUUGCCGCUAUUGUUGAACCAUUGGAUGUAGUAAGGAUGUGGAUGUGGUCUUGUGGUGAGAGAUAGCCUCUACACCAUCUUCAUGCUAGCCAAGUCGUUGCAGCUCCCUCCAUCUAUGAUGAUGCGAACAGAACAUUCCUUCACAACUCCCUUUGUAUGGAACAAAUUAUGCCUCUGAUUUUUCUCAGCUUGUGUGACCUGCACACUCAAAACACGUUGAGCAACUAAACAUUCAUACCUGUCAACGUCUUCAGGAUCCAUGUAUUGUGUCUCAUGAUCAGAAUCAUCUCCACCGUGUUCUUCACUUGUAAUAAGAGCCAAAGUCUCCUCAUCAUAGUCACUGAGGGAGUCCUGGAUUAGGGGGUCCUCGGAUAAUAUGUUUAUGCCGGACUAUUGGACUAUGAAGAUACAAGAUUGAAGACUUCGUCCCGUGUCUGGGUGGGACUCUCCUUUGUGUGGAAGGCAAGCUUGGCGAUUCGGAUAUGUAGAUUCCCUUCUCUGUAACCGACUCCUUGUAACCCUAGCCCCCUCCGGUGUCUCUAUAAACCGGAGGGUUUAGUCCGUAGGACAACAACAAUCAUAAUCAUAGGCUAGCUUCUAGGGUUUAGCCUCUACAAUCUCGUGGUAGAUCAACUCUUGUAAUACUCAUAUCAUCAAGAUCAAUCAAGCAGGAAGUAGGGUAUUACCUCCAUAGAGAGGGCCUGAACCUGGGUAAACAACGUGUCCCCCCUCCUGUUACCAUUAGCCUUAGACACACAGUUCGGGACCCCUACCCGAGAUCCGCCGGUUUUGACACCGACAUUGGUGCUUUCACUGAGAGUUCCACUGUGUCGUCACCGUAAGGCUUGAUGGCUCCUCCAAUCAUCUACAACGACGCGAUCCUGGGUGAGGUUUUCCUCCCCGGACAGAUCUUCAUAUUCGGCGGCUUCGCACUGCGGGCCAACUCGCUUGGCCAUCUGGAGCACAUCGAUAGCUACGCCCCUGGCCAUCAGGUUAGGUUUGGAAGCCUGAACUACACUGCCGACAUCCGCAGAGACUUGAUCUUCGACGAAUUCGAGCCCAAGACAGGCACACCCAACAGUCGCGGUGAGCAUGACCUAGAUCUGCCGUCGGACGGUGUUCAAGAGAUCACACCUGCAGCUGCCCUGGCUUUAAAUCCAGUGCAGAUCGUGCCAUCCGAGGACGGGAGGAUGGACCCCACCACGGAAGCCGCACACUCAACGGUGAUAGCGCCAAACACAGAUUUCACUUCCAAGGAGGUCUGCGUCAUCAGACCCUCGGACUCGUUUUCGGCCAUAGGCUCCGAACCGCGUGCAUCCGUGCCCAUCGGAUCUAACCGGGCACCGAUCAUGGAGUUCGGCUCCGCGGAUAUCUUCCAGCACUCGCCCCUGGGCAACAUGCUAAACUCAUUAAAAUCUCUCUCCUUGUCAGGAAACUCUUGGCCGAACUAUGUCCGACUUGAGUGGGAAGCUGACGACGAAGGAAUUUGUUACCCACCCACCACCCACUUAAUAGCCACUGUCGACGACUUAACUGACAUGCUUGAUUUUGACUCCGAAGACAUCAACGGUAUGGACGACGAUGCCGGAGAAGAACGGGAACCACCGCCCCCAGGGCGAUGGACAACCACCUCAUCAUAUGACAUAUAUAUGGUGGACACACCCAAAGAAAGCAAUGGCGAGGAUCAAAAGGAUGGAAUGGAGGAUAAUCCUCUUGAAAAGCAAACAAAGCGCCGACGUUAGUGGCGCCGCUCUAAACCCCUCCAUAGCAAAAACAGCGAUACCGUCACAAGAAAGAAUAACACCUCGGACGAUGCUAAAGAUAACGACGUCCUCGUAGACCCAGCGAUGGGGCAGGCCGAGCAAGGGGACGGCGAACAUAGUCCGGGGCCGCUGUCCGAACGCAGCGACACCGAAGACAAAACUUAUAAACCUGUCUCCGGAGAGGAGAACAGUCCGGAUGAUGAUCCAGGCAUCAUCCCGGAAAAACACUUGGAACAAGAGCACCUCCACAAGAGACUUAUUGCCACCGCGAGGAGCUUGAAGAAGCAGAAGCAACGGCUUAAAGCCGCGCAAGAGACGCUCAACCACAGAUGGAACGAAGUGCUCGACACUGAUGAAAGAUACGAUGGUGAUCGCCAGACAAAGAGCUACCCAAAACGUAAGCUGCUUCCCGAAUUCGAUGACGAGGCUAUCGCGCCCAUUCCGCCGAAAAACAUACGGUGGAUCUGCCGGACCAACCACCCCGUGACCGAGACAGAGCGGCUAAUGACGCCGCACACAAGUCAGCACUCGAUCUAUGUGAGCACUUGGACAAAAGAGCUGGUAUGACCAGGUCCAUCUAUGGAUCUAGGAAACGUGUUCCUAUGAAGGAUCACGGCCACCAGACCAAUUAUACUGAUCGACUACCAGCUCGGAAUCAACACCGAACACUACAGCCGUCGGACCCACGCCAUGACACAUCCAAGUACAGGGGCGCCGCACACCCCCUGUGCUUCAUCGAUGAGGUGCUGGAUCAUGAAUUUCCAGGGGGGUUUAAACUCGUAAACAUCGAGGCGUACGACGGAAUGACAGACCCUACAGUAUGGAUUGAGGACUUUAUUCUUCACAUCCAUAUGGCUCGCGGAGAUGAUCUCCAUGCCAUCAAAUACCUGCCUCUCAAGUUAAAAGGACCAUCUUGGCACUGGUUGAAAGGCCUCCCCGAAAAUUCCAUUGGAAGCUGGGAGGCACUCGAGGACGCUUUCAGGGCUAAUUUUCAAGGGACAUAUGCCCGACCUCCGGAUGCGGACGAUUUAAGUCACAUAAUUCAACAACCCGGAGAGUCAGCCCGUAAGCUUUGGAACAGAUUUCUCACCAAGAAGAACCAAAUCGUCGACUGUCCGGAUGCCGAAGCCCUAGCAGCUUUCAAACACAGUGUCCGGGACAAAUGGCUUGCCAGACACCUCGGCCAGGAAAAGCCAAGGACAAUGGCAGCCCUAACAACUCUUAUGACCCACUUUUGCAUGGGUGAGGACAAUUGGUUGGCCCGAAGCGGCACCAUCGAUCCAGGCACAUCCGAAAUAAGGGAUGGGAAUGGAAAACCGUGACGCAAUAAAAACAAGCGUUGAAAUAAUGAAGACAACCCAGACAAUACAACGGUAGAUGCCGGAUUCAGGGGCUCUAGACCCGGUCAACAAAAAAAGCCAUUUAAAGGCAGCAGAGAUGGUCCGUCCAGCCUAAAUAAAAUUCUAGAGAGGUCCUGUGAGAUUCACGGCACCCCCGCAAAACCUGCGAAUCACACCAACAGAGAAUGCUGGGUUUUCAAGCAGGCCGGCAAGCUAAACGCUGAACACAAAGGAAGGGAGCCGCCAAGUGAAGAUGAGGACGAACCUUGCCAACCGAACACUGGGGGAUAGAAAAAAUUUCCACCGGAGGUCAAAACAGUGAACAUGAUUUACGUCACCCACAUGUCAAAGAGGAAGCACAAAUGCGCACUCCGAGACGUAUAUGUUGUAGAGCCCGUCGUCCCCAAAUUCAACCCAUGGUCGGCCUGCCCGAUCACUUUCGAUCGCAGGGACCAUCCGACUAGUAUCCGGCAUGGAGGUUCGGCUGCCUUGGUGCUCGACCCAAUAAUUGACGGAUACCACCUCACCCGAGUUCUCAUGGAUGGCGGCAGUAGUCUUAAUCUGAUAUAUCAGGACACUAUCCGCACCUGUCAAGAAUCAACCAAAGUAGUACUACCUUUAAAGGAGUAAUACCAGGCGUAGAGGCCCGAUGCACGGUCUCUCUAACAUUAGAGGUUGUAUUCGGUUCUCCCGACAACUUUUGAAGCGAAUAACUAAUCUUCAACAUCGCUCUGUUCCGAAGCGUUUAUCAUGCACUACUCGGAAGAACGGCCUUCGCUCGUUUCAAUGCAGUACCGCAUUAGGCUUAUCUCAAACUUAAGAUUCCCGGUCCACGUGGCGUCAUCACAAUCAGCGGAAACACAGAGCGUUCUCUUCGUACGGAAGAAUAUAUGGGAGCUCUAGCAGCCGAACCACUGAAUGGCCUCUCCAACCCAAGUAACCCAUUGGUCUUCGAGACCACGGACGCGGAUAGACGUGUUCGGCGCACACCUAGUUGUAGCAGCCUAGAUAAACCUGACCUUGAUUAACAACUAUGCCCCCAUAUGUGGUGCGAGGGCUGCCCGCAUGUAAAAGGUCCAUAGUUCGGCUUGACCCUAUUUACACUCAAGAAAUUGAAUUUUCACGGUUCAUUAAGAUUAACCAACUUUACGCAUGGUCACACCAGAUUCUUUCACCUGGGUUUUUCUUUUUUUUAUAGAUGACCAUUGUGCUACACCCUUCAAAGAUACGGCGCAAUGGAGACAAAGGCGCAGCCGUGCAGCAGGGCCCCGUCCAAAGGUUUCUUUUUAGAUUAAGACCCUAUGUAAACCUUUUUUAUUGUCUCUUGUUGUCUCACACCCUCCAGGCACUUAAAAUGACCAAGAGGGAAAUCGGUGUUACCCGUGAGCUGAUGAUUCGCUGUUCUAAAAUAGACAUUACAGAGACCACAACCAGUGUUUUUUUGAGAUCUACGCUCUCACCACAGGCGCUCUUUCGUCACGCCGGAUUGAUGCACGUACCUUGAAAUUCAGGGCUCAUUACUAAGGGCGGCACUCAGCCCAGUAUAUAUUGUAAAGUCCGAAUACCUUCGGGAGUGUUCGGCAUCGCGAGUCUGGCCUUAUAUGCAUAAGCUCCAAAUCAUGUCUUUGGUCAAUAGUUGGGUUUGCCCGGCUCCCAUGUUUUGCUACCUUAUGUUCCACUCUAUCGGAUAAGGUGGCACAGGGAGAACUACUGCGAUUGUGCCCUGGUUCAUCCGGAUGAGCACCUCAGUAGAGAAAGCCGAAAACUGACUCUCAUGAUAAAGCGAGAGACUGGUCAACCACUCGAUGACUCAGCGGAAUUUUCGCGAUUCCUCCGCAUUAACAAAGGACCGGUUUCCCGGUCACGUAUGUAAAUGCACCGUAUUCGGAUGUACGCGAACAUACCAGGGGCUAUAUAGUAGUCCCACCGUCAAACUCCUAUGGCUAAGUGAAAGUGUUAAAGCUAUAUAGUCCGAUUGCCUCGUUUGCCGCGCUACCACCUCCUUAAGGGACCAAUACGUUGGAUCAAGUGUGGUUACAUGCUUUGCCGAACACCCCCGCAUUAUAUGCGAGGGUGCUGAAGCCGACGACUUCAAACUUUCAGGUUAUAUACAUAAGCGGCCGCACAGGAGGCACUACAUUACUUUACGGGCAAAAGUAUAAAUAUAGCCUUUAUUACCAAAAGCAUUGUUUCUACAAUCAAGAUACAUGUCACUCGAACAUGGUAUUCUUUAAGCACUGAGCCUCUAUUAAAUGGCCACCUUCUAAGACUUCUUAAAAAUAGUGCUCGGGCGAGUCCUGGCCCCCAGGUGGACCCCUGGUUGCAAUGUUGGUGGCCUCCAUCUUCGCUCAGUAUGUCUUAACACGGGCAAGGGCCAUCCGCGCACCUUCUAUGCACGCCGACCGCUUAAUAGUGUCGAUAUGCGGCACAACACGAACAAAUCGUUGCACCAAAUUAAAAUAACUAUCCGGACUUGGUUCCAUCGGCCAUAGGCGAUCCACAACAGCCUUCAUAGCAAGCCAGGAUAACCUAUGGAGCUCGGCCCAUUAGGCCAUUUGCUUGUUCAACAACAGCGGACGCCUUGGAGUACUAAACUGCGACCAGAACAAUCUUUCCGUUUCAUGAUCUUCUCAAUCUUUGAAAUACUGCGUCGCAUCAGUAGCACUCUUUGACAAAUCCAAGUAUGCAUCUGAAGAACUCCACAACUGAUCAAGAGGGGCAUACUUCAGAUCGCCGAAUUUGGUUCGCAAUAAAAAGGGCUUCCCAGCCACGAUCUCACCGGCUUGCCGGAGCUCCUCUCGAGCCGCUCUGAUCUCAGAGAGAGUUUCCUUUGCUGCUUGUAAAGUCUUUUUUAGGUAAGCCGUUUUCGCUUGCUUUUCCCUUUCAAGAAGCUCAUAUCGGCUAGUGGCAUUUUGUAGGUCAAGAGCAAUGUUGGCUAUUUUAUCCUCACUUUGGCGAUGAGCAGCCUGUUCGGCUUUUAAUUCAUCAGCUGCCUUCACGGCAGCCGCAUUGCUUCUCCUGGCUUGCUCCUUGGCUCGGGCAAGCUCUGCCCGAAGGGUCUCCACGGCGGCAGCACCAUCUGCAGUCAAAGCAUAUCAUAAAUCCUAGCAUUGUGCUCGCUGACCACCCAAAUAUACAUACCCUAUGCCUCGUCAAGCCGCUUGUUCACAAGCAUGAUGUCUACAUCUGCCACAUCAAGUUGCCGCUUCGGUUCGGCAAAUUCAGCAGUCCGGUCAGCCGCCGGAGCUGCAGCCGCCUGCGUAGAAAAUCGGCACCAUCAUUACCUGAGACUAUGUUCCUCUGCUCGCCUCGUCCGGAUGGCAACCAGAGUCUCAGGUGCUACUAUCUAUACAAAGUACACCUUGCGUGUAUGGUACAAUCAAAAAAAUAUAUAUCACUUUGCGUACCUCAAAGCCUCUUAGCAGGCUCGUAAAAGCUUCAUUCAACCCGCCUUUUGCGGAUGAAAUCCUCUCCACCACCAUACCCAUUAAGGUACGAUGUGCCUCUGAGAUAGCCGCUUGCCGCAGAAGACACAUCAAUGUGUCCGGUUGUAUAUCGGACAGUCCAGGGCUUUUUCUGUUGGUCUCUCUAGGAGCUGAAAACCCUGGACUUCGGGCGGCCAAAGAGUUACCUUCUGGUCUUUGCGGAUCGGCAGAGAUCCUCCGGGACGACACCUCAGGGUCGUAUGCCUCAUGAGGCGGAGAAGUAGGAGGAGGCGUUUGAUACGUCUCUGAAAGGACAAGUGCUCCCUAGGUGGUUUUGGUAAUUAAUGUCAACAUAUCUCUUGUUGGACUAACACUUUUAUCUAGUAUGUUUUAGAUAAGUUCAACAAUGGAGUGGCAUGGAUUAAAGGACGUGGGAACUCCUUCAAGAUGCUAAGGACAAAGGAUUGGAUCAAGCUUCAAGCUCAAGACUCUUCAUUUUACAUUUUAGUGAUCCAAGAUCACAUUGAGUCUAUAGGAAAAACCAAUACUAUCAGGAAGGGAUGAGGUGUUGCUUAAUGAGUUUCUUGCUCCACAGUGCUUAGUGGUAUGCUCCAACACCCUCAACUACUUUCCCACUUCCACACAUAUGACCUAAACCUAAAGUCAAACUCGGCCUCACCGAUUCUUUCUAUCCGGCACCACUGAGUUCAGAUGUCAUAGCCACUGCCACAAACCCUAGACAAAUCGGCCCUACCGAUAGGGAUUUCAGUCUCACCGAGACGGGAUUGUAAUCUCUCUGUGUGUAUGUCCAUUAACAAAAUCGGUCUCACCGAGUUUGAGCAAUCGGUACUAUCGAGAUUACAAUGCAAACUUCCUGGUUGACUCAUUACCAAAAUCGGUCCCACCGAGUUUGUGUAAUCGGUCCGAGUUUGCCUGACCAACUCUCUGGAAAGCUUAUUACCAAAAUCGGUCUCACCGAGUUUGUGUAAUCGGUCUUACCGAGAUUAAGUUAUGCCCUAACCCUAACCAUAUCGGUCCUACCGAGUUGCAUUUCGGUCCCACCGAAAAUCCUAAUGGUCACUAGGUUUACUAAAUCGGUCCGACCGAGUUUGUUGAUUCGGUCCCACCGAAUUGGUAAAUUGUGUGUAACGGUUAGAUUUUGUGUGGAGGCUAUGUAUUCCCCUCCACCUCCUCUUCAUUCGUGGAGAGAGCCAUCAGACUAAACCUACACUUCCAGCAUACAUUUUCUGAGAGAGAACUACCUACUCAUGUGUUGAGGCCAAGAUAUUCCAUUCCUACCAUAUGAACCUUGAUCUCUAGCCUUCCCCAAGUUGCUUUCCACUCAAAUCUUCUUUCCACCAGAUCCAAAACCUAUGAGAGAGAGUUGAGUGUUGGGGAGACUAUCAUUUGAAGCACAAGAGCAAGGAGUUCAUCAUCAAUGCACCAUUUGUAACUUUUUGGAGAGUGGUGUCUCCUAGAUUGGCUAGGUGUCACUUGGGAGCCUCCAACAAGAUUGUGGAGUUGAACCAAGGAGUUUGUAAGGGCAAGGAGAUCGCCUACUUCGUGAAGAUCUACCGCUAGUGAGGCAAGUCCUUCGUGGGCGACGGCCAUGGUGGGAUAUACAAGGUUGCUUCUUCGUGGACCCUUCGUGGGUGGAGCCCUCCGUGGACUCGCGCAACCGUUACCCAUCGUGGGUUGAAGUCUUCAUCAAUGUGGAUGUACGAUAGCACCACCUAUCGGAACCAUGCCAAAAACACCCGUGUCUCCAAUUGCAUUUGAAUCCUCCAAAACCCUUCCCUUUACAUUCUUGCAAGUUGCAUGCUUUACUUUCCGCUGCCCAUAUACUCUUUGCAUGCUUGCUUGCUAUGUAUUGUGAAUAUUAAACUUGUGCCUAAACUCCACUUACUCUUAAAGAUCUUAAAAACUGCAACUUUGGUACUUAGUGUCUAAUCACCCCCCCUCUAGACACCUCUUCUCAAGGUCCUACAAGUGGUAUCAGAGCAUUGGUCUCCAUUGCCUUGGUUUAAUCACCAUUGGAGGAAGGUGGAUGAGUCUACUUUGGGGAGUCUUAGACAUAGAGUGCCUAUACUUGAUGGAGAGUAUUUUCAUGAGUGAAAAAAUGAGAUGCUUGUAAUUUUCAAUCAAUAUCAUUUGAACAAGUACAUUGCUAGCCCUUGUGCACCUCAUGUUGAUCCUAUGCAUCCUACCCAUGAUGAGUCAAUUGACAUGAUUAGGAAUCUUAGAAUUGCCGAACUUAUCAUUAGAAGAUUGCCUAGAAACUUGAUUGGAUGUUUGCCUACUCUUAAGUGUGCCUACACUAUAUGGAAAUUUCUUGAGGAACGCUUUCCAAAUUAUUCCUUGAAAAAUCUAGAUGAAAUUCUCCAUAAGUCUAUUGCUUUGAGUAAGAUGAAUGCUAGUGAUCCUAUUUUUGGUGAUCGUCUAUUUGAGCUUACAAACCUUAUGCGUGCCAAAGGAGAUGUUGGAAUUAUUAGUGAUAUUAUUUCCGAAGCUAUAAAAAUUCAUAAGCAAGAUCAUUGUCAAACUCACUCUAACGAAUUACCCUCUCUAGGAUUUGAUCCACCACAUGACGAUGUUGAACAUGGAUACUAUGAUGAGGAUGGUGAUAGUGACUUCGAUCUUGAUGAUGCAAUGAGACAUUUUGGUCUUAUGGCAAAUCUACGGGGAUAUAUGUCAGGAGGAAAGGAAUGGGUUCUUGAUAGUGGAUGUACCGAUCACAUGACCGGAGAUAAAGACAUGUUUCAUGAGCUUGCUGAAAAUGAUAGUCCUCGUAAGUAUGUCACUUUCGGUGACAACUCAAAGGGUAAGGUGGUUGGCCUCGGUAAGGUGGCCAUAUCACAUGAUAGCUCCAUACAAAAUGUCAUGCUCAUUGAAUCUCUUGGAUACAACUUACUUUCAGUAUCUAGAUUUGCUGAUUUCGGUUUCAAUGUCCUAUUUACUGAAGUAGAUUGCCAAGUGUUUCGUCGAGAUAUCAUAAAAUGGUCUUUAUCGGUGUGCGUAGAGGUGAUCUAUACAUUGUUGAUUUCACUAAAAAGGCUCAACCUAAAACUUGCUUCAUUGCUAAAUCCUCGAAAGGUUGGUUAUGGCAUAGAUGACUAGGUCAUGUUGGUAUGCGAAACCUUGACAAGCUUAUUAAAGGAAAUCAUAUCCUUGGAGUUAACGAUGUCAUAUUUGAUAAGUAUAGACUUUGCAGUGCUUGUCAAGCAGGUAAACAGGUUGGAGGAAGGCAUCCGGUGAAGAACAUCAUGACCACAAGGAGGCCACUCGAGCUGCUUCACAUGGAUCUCUUUGGUCCCAACUCCUACAAGAGUCUCGGUCGAAAUUCUAUUGGUCUAGUUAUAGUUGAUGAUUUUUCAAGAUUUACGUGGGUGUUCUUUCUCGAUGAUAAAUCGCAGGUCCAAAAGAUCUUCAAAAACUUCGCUAGGAAGGCCCAAAAUCAAUUUGAAGUGAAGAUCAAGAAGGUUCACAGCGACAACGAAACGGAGUUCAAGAAUGCAAAUGUGGACACCUUUCUUGACGAAGAAGGGAUUUCACACGAGUUCUCGGCUACGUACACACCUCAACAAAACAGAGUUGUUGAGAGGAAGAACCGGACGCUCAUCGAAAUGGCGAGAACGAUGCUUGAUGAGUACAAGACACCGAAGCACUUUUGGGAAGAAGCGGUUGAGACAGCUUGUCAUGCAACAAAUCGCUUGUAUCUUCACAAGCUACUCGGCAAGACGACAUACGAGCUCCUCACCAGUAACAAACGCCAAGUUGGGUACUUUCAAGUAUUCGGCUCAAAGUGCUACAUUCUUGAUAAGCAUCGUCGUUCUAAAUUUGCUCCUAAGUCUCAUGAAGGUUUCCUACUAGGUUAUGGCUCGAACUCUCACACUUACCAUGUCUACAACAAUUUCACACGAAAGGUUGAAGAGACGGUAGAUGUGAAGUUUGAUGAAUCUAACGGCUCGCAAGUAGAGCAAUUGCCAAUUGAUGUAGGAGAUAAAGAUCCUUCAGAAGCAAUCCAAGACUUGUCUAUUGGCAAGGUCCGUCCAACGGAGGUGAAGGAGAGUACCUCAUCCAUCCAAGUGGAAGCUUCUACUUCACGACAAGGUGAACCAAGAGUUGAUACGGAAGCAUCCACAAGUGGGACACACCAAGAUGAAGAAAACGAGGAAGUGCAUCAAGAUGAACGUCAAGAACCUCCUUCUCCACCACGACAAGAGAACGACAACACCAACAAUGAAGAAGGCCAAGAAGAAGAACAAGAUGAAGAAGAAGAUCAACCAAGAAGCAAGCAAAAGCUUUCACGAGUUCGAGUAAGAAUUGCUAAAGAUCAUCCCGUCGAGCAAAUCUACAAUGAUAUUCAAACCAGGAGAAUCACUCGCUCUAAAACUCGUUUAGCUAACUUUUGUGAAAACUAUUCUUUCAUCUCUAGCAUUGAACCUAUCAAGGUUGAAGAAGCAUUGGAAGAUCCGGAUUGGUUAAAUGCUAUGCAUGAAGAGCUACACAACUUUUAGAGGAACCAAGUUUGGACAUUGGUUGAGAAGCCCGACAACAACCACAACAUCAUCGGUACCAAAUGGGUGUUUCGCAACAAGCAAGAUGAAGAUGGACAAGUAGUACGCAACAAAGCACGUCUCGUCGCCCAAGGCUACACACAAGUCGAAGGUAUGGACUAUGGUGAGACUUAUGCUCCCGUUGCUAGACUUGAGUCCAUUCACAUCUUACUUGCCUAUGCUAAUCAUCAUGAUAUCACCUUGUACCAAAUGGACAUUAAAAGUGCUUUUCUAAAUGGUGAAAUAGAGGAGGAAGUUUAUGUUAAGCAACCUCCCGACUUUGUCAAUCCUAAGAAACCCAAUCAUGUUUACAAACUUCACAAAGCUCUUUAUGGUCUUAAACAAGCUCCUAGAGCAUGGUAUAAAUGCUUGACCAAGUUCCUUAUUGAAAAAGCUUUGAAAUUGGGAAAACUGAUUCCACACCUUUUAUUAAAGGGUUAAUGGAGAACUAUUUGUGUGCCAAGUAUAUGUUGAUAAUAUUAUAUUUGGUUCAACUAACCCUCAUUUUAGUGAAAAGUUUGGGAAGCUAAUGUCGGAGAAGUUUGAGAUGUCUAUGAUGAGUGAACUCAAAUUCUUUCUUGGGUUGCAAAUCAAGCAAACUAAGGAAGGUACCUUUGUUUCUCAAACAAAGUACACCAAGGACUUAUUCAAGAAGUUCAAUAUGCAAGAAUGCAAAGGUAUGUCUACACCCAUGCCUACUAGUGGACAUCUUGACUUGACCAAAGAUAGUGAACCGGUUGACCAAAUGGUUUAUCGCUCUAUGAUUAGUUCAUUGUUAUAUCUAUGUGCUUCACGUCCCGAUAUCAUGCUAAGUGUGUGCAUGUGUGCAGGAUAUCAAGCUGCUCCUAAAGAAUGUCAUCUUAAGGCCGUGAAAAGGAUAGUGAGAUACCUAAUCCAUACACCAAACUUUGGCAUUUGGUAUCCUAAGAGGGCCUCUUUCGAUCUUGUUGGCUACUCCGACUCGGACUAUGCCGGAGACAAGGUUGAUAGAAAGUCCACUUCAGGUACUUGUCAAUUUCUUGGUAGAUCUCUUGUGUCUUGGUCCUCUAAGAAACAAAACUCAGUAUCCUUAUCCACCACCGAAGCGGAAUACAUUGCCGCUGGUUCAUGUUGUGCUCAAUUACUUUGGAUGACCCAAACUCUUAAAGAUUAUGGGAUAUAUGUGAGACAUGUUCCAUUGCUUUGUGACAAUGAAAGUGCUAUCAAAAUUGGUCAUAAUCCCGUGCAACAUUCUCGAACUAAGCAUAUUGAAGUUCGUCAUCAUUUCAUUCGAGAUCAUGUUGCUAAAGGUGACAUUGAUCUUAAGCAUGUUCGCACCGAAAAGCAAUUAGCGGAUAUAUUCACUAAACCUCUUGAUGAGAAAGUGUUUUGCAGGUUAAGAGGAGAAUUGAACAUCAUUGAUGCUUCAAACUUGGAGUAGAAACUCCAUUGGAUACAUGCAAGACAUAAGCUUAUGACUAAUCCUUGAUAUUUCUCUUAUGAUGAAAAUCUUGUGUCUUGGAUAUGUUUGCAACUUGCAUGUUAUCUAACCCUUGUAGGUACUUGGUGGAAUAAAAUUCCAUGAGAUUGUAAUCUAAUCACAUCUUGAGCAAUCUCUACAUCACCGAGUCUCUACACUAUGGUGGUUGAAGACAAGGAAGCACGGAACCAUUCAAACAUAUCCUUUGACAAAUUCUAUAUUGAGCUUCAUGAUUGUCAUUUUUGGAUACACAAGUGCUCUUCCUUGCAAGAACUAACCCAUGUAGGAAGAUGAACUCAAAUUCCAAGUGGUGCUCCCAACUCUUGAUGAACUACAUCAACCUUGAGCAACCCACACAAGUUCAACUACAUGGACAACACCACCAACCAAGGUAUGUUAUUCCAUCUUAGAGAAGCUUUACUCCAAGUUAUGAGCUAAAGCAACUCGACAAGAUGUGAAUACAUCAAGAUGCUUAAACAAAAAAUGGCAACCCCAUUUUGAGCUUAAACGAUGAGUAUGACCUAUGAUCAAGUGAUCUCACUUGACUCCUAAGUCAAUAUACUCUAACAUAGGUGACUUUGUCGCGGACCAUCUCUAGAUGAAGUUCUAUUGUGUUCUUUUCUGUGUUUUUGCAUUUGUCUCAUGCAUAUUUGUUUCCCCUUUCAAAAAAAACUUCAUCUAGAUUUCUUUCUAUUUGCUCUGCAUUUUCUGCAUCCAAUUCAUUGCAUAUCAUUCAGUAAAUUCCUUGCAAAUCUUUGUGAGAUCUUACUAGUCUAGCGAGCUGAGGUGACAAGUGUUUUCUCUGCGAUGAACUCCGUUUCACCGAUUUGUUGUUUUCUGUCCAACCGAAUCCUUUCGGUACAACCGAAGCAUUCCACUCGGUGCCACCGACUUCACAAUAGGAAAAAAUAGUUUGCCACUUAUUCUGUGUUUCUUCUGAUCCAGCUCCACUCAAUGAAUCUUGUCCUCUACAAGCAUCACAUUUUUAUCAUUGCUUUCUGCUGUGACUCAAGGACCAAACCCAUUUGGCAGAUUCCAGAAAACCCUUCUUGGAAAUUGAUGUCAAAGGGGGAGAGAUAGAUCACAUCAAAGCUUAUCAUUUAGAGAGAGAUCACAUCAGAGAAAGAGAUAUCACCUCCUUAGGGGGAGAGAGAUCCUCAGGGGGAGAGAGAGAUCUCCAGGGGGAGAGAAUACUUAAUUAGAAAGUAUUUCUCAAGGAUCCCAGAUGCUUGGUGUUCAAGAGGAGAGAUGCCGCAUGUCUUCUUAAGGGGAGAGACAUGUUCAUAUGAUCUUAUGUGCUUAUUUGCAUCAACUUGCAUUAGCUCUGUUCAUCAUUCAUAUCUUUCAGCUCUGAUUUUCUAUUCCCUAUCUUCUCCCAGUAUCCCAUGCUAGAUUCAGGGGGAGCAAGACAUCUAAGGGAAAGAAAUCAGUUAAAUUCAUUGCAUAUCUUUACUCUUGGGGACAUGUCUAAUCCAAUGUGGUACUUAGUACUCACUCUCUACAUGUCAUCCCAGUCUUGGUAUUCUUGCAGUUUCUUUUGUUUGCUCUGGCUAGUAGGUGCAUCUGUGUUAUCUAACCUUGUUUACGCAGGUUCAUUCUAUCCUAAGCCAACUCAAGACUACAAGGUAAGUAUAUGCAUCACAAUCAUGUGUAUGAGGAAUUCUUGCUGAUGUACAUACUGUUUGCAAGAAGGACUCAUGGGCAUGAAGGUAUUCUCUUUAAUAUUCUUUGCUUGAUGCAUAUGGCCAAGAUACAUGUAACACAUUGCCUACUCUAUCAUGGUUAUGCUCUCACAUGCUUCUACAUUCCAUAUUCACAUCAUUGCAUACAUGUAGGGGGAGCCUAUGCUUGUUACAUCUCUUUCCAAAGCUUUACUUGCUAUUCUUUAUAUCUUUAUCUAAAGCUUUGUUGUAUGUUGUCAUCAAUUACCAAAAAGGGGGAGAUUGAAAGCACAAGUGCUCCCUAGGUGGUUUUGGUAAUUAAUGUCAACAUAUCUCUUGUUGGACUAACACUUUUAUCUAGUAUGUUUCAGAUAAGUUCAACAAUGGAGUGGCAUGGAGUAAAGGACGUGGGAACUCCUUCAAGAUGCUAAGGACAAAGGAUUGGCUCAAGCUUCAAGCUCAAGACUCUUCAUUUUACAUUUUAGUGAUCCAAGAUCACAUUGAGUCUAUAGGAAAAGCCAAUACUAUCAAGAAGGGAUGAGGUGUUGCUUAAUGAGUUUCUUGCUCCACAGUGCUUAGUGAUAUGCUCCAACACCCUCAACUACUUUCCCACUUCCACACAUAUGACCUAAAUCUAAAGUCAAACUCGUCCUCAUAGAUUCUUUCUAUCCGGCGCCACCGAGUUUAGAUGUCAUAGCCACUGCCACAAACCCUAGACAAAUCGGCCCUACCGAUAGGGAUCUCGGUCUCACCAACAUGGGAUUGUAAUCUCUCUGUGUGUAUGUCCAUAACCAAAAUCGGUCUCACCGAAUUUGAGCAAUCGGUACUACCGAGAUUACAAUGCAAACUUCCUGGUUGACUCAUUACCAAAAUUGGUCCCACCGAGUUUGUGUAAUCGGUCCGACCGAGUUUGCCUGACCAACUCUCUGGAAAGCUUAUUACCAAAAUCGGUCUCACUGAGUUUGUGUAAUCGGUCUUACCGAGAUUAAGUUAUGCCCUAACCCUAACCAUAUAGGUCCUACCGAGUUGCAUUUCGGUCCCACCGAAAAUCCUAACGGUCACUAGGUUUACUACGGUCCAACCGAGUUUGUUGAUUCGGUCCCACCAAGUUUGGUAAAUUGUGUGUAAUGGUUAGAUUUUGUGUGGAGGCUAUAUAUUCACCUCCACCUCCUCUUCAUUCGUGGAGAGAGCCAUCAGACUGAACCUACACUUCCAGCAUACAUUUUCUGAGAGAGAACUACCUACUCAUGUGUUGAGGCCAAGAUAUUCCAUUCCUACCAUAUGAAUCUUGAUCUCUAGCCUUCCCCAAGUUGCUUUCCACUCAAAUCUUAUUUCCACCAGAUCCAAAACCUACGAGAGAGAGUUGAGUGUUGGGGAGACUAUCAUUUGAAGCACAAGAGCAAGGAGUUCAUCAUCAAUGCACCAUUUGUUACUUCUUGGAGAGUGGUGUCUCCUAGAUUGGCUAGGUUUCACUUGGGAACCUCCGACAAGAUUGUGGAGUUGAACAAAGGAGUUUGUAAGGGCAAGGAGAUCGCCUACUUCGUGAAGAUCUACCGCUAGUGAGGCAAGUCCUUCAUGGGCAACGGCCAUGGUGGGAUAGACAAGGUUGCUUCUUCGUGGACCCUUCGUGGGUGGAGCUCUUCGUGGACUCGCGCAACUGUUACCCUUCGUGGGUUGAAGUCUCCGUCAACGUGGAUGUACGAUAGCACCACCUAUCGGAACCACGCCAAAAACAUCUGUGUCUCCAAUUGCGUUUGAAUCCUCCAAAACCCUUCCCUUUACAUUCUUGCAAGUUGCAUGCUUUACUUUCCGCUGCCCAUAUACUCUUUGCAUGCUUGCUUGCUAUGUAUUGUGAAUAUUAAACUUGUGCCUAAACUCCACUUAAACUUAAAGAUCUUAAAAACUGCAACUUUGGUACUUAGUGUCCAAUCCCCCCCCUCUAGACACCUCUUCUCAAGGUCCUACAGUCUCCAACGUAUCUAUAAUUUUUGAUUGUUCCAUGCUAUUAUAUUACCCGUUUGGAUGUUUAUGGGAUUUACUUUACACUUUUAUAUCAUUUUCGGGACUAACCUACUAACCGGAGGCCCAGCCCAUAUUACUGUCUUUUUUGCCUAUUUCAGUGUUUUGGAGAAAAGGAAUACCAAACGGAGUCCAAACGGAAUGAAACCUUUGGGAGCGAUCUUUUUGGAACAAACGUGAUCCAGAGGACUUGGAGUGCAAGUCAAGAAGCAAUCGAGGAAGCCACGAGGGUGGAGGGCGCCCCCCUCCCUACUGGGCACGUCCCCCUAUCUCGUGGGCCCCUCAGGCGUCCACCGACCUACUUCUUCCUCCUAUAUAUACCCACGUACCCCGAGAACAUCAGAGGCGACAAUGAAAAACUAUUUCCACCACCGUAACCUUCUGUAUCCGCGAGAUCCCAUCUUGGAGCCUUCGCCGGCGCUCCGCCGGAGGGGGAAUCAACCACGGAGGGCUUCUACAUCAGCACCAUAGCUCUUCCGAUGAGUUGUGAGUAGUUUACCAUAGACCUUCGGGUCCAUAGUUAUUAGCUAGGUGGCUUCUUCUCUCUCUUUGAAUCUCAAUUCCAUGUUCUCCUUGAUCUUCUUGGAGAUCUAUUCGAUGUAACUCUUUUUGAGGUGUGUUUGUCGAGAUCCGAUGAAUUGUGGGUUUAUGAUCAAGUUUAUCUAUGAGAAAUAUUUGAAUCUCCUCUAAAUUCUUUUAUGUGUGAUUAAGUUAUCUUUGCAAGUCUCUUCGAAUUAUAAGUUUGGUUUGGCCUAGUAGAUUGAUCUUUCUUGCAAUGGGAGAAGUGCUUAGCUUUGGGUUCAAUCUUGCAGUGUCCUUUCCCAGUGACAGCAAGGGCAGCAAGGCACGUAUUGUAUCAUUGCCAUCGAGGAUAAAAAGAUAGGGUUUAUAUCAUAUUGCAUGAGUUUAUCCCUCUACAUCAUGUCAUCUUUCUUAAUGCGUUACUCUGUUCUUUACGAACUUAAUACUCUAGAUGCAUGCUGGAUAGCAGCCGAUGUGUGGAGUAAUAGUAGUGGAUGCAGGCAGGAGUCGGUCUACUUGUCACGGACGUGAUGCCUAUAUACAUGAUCAUGCCUAGAUAAUCUCAUAAUUAUUCGCUUUUCUAUCAAUUGCUCGACAGUAAUUUGUUCACUCAUCGUAAUACUUAUGCUAUCUCGAGAGAAGCCACUAGUGAAACCUUUGGCCCCCGGGUCUAUCUUUUAUCAAAUAAGCUUUCAAUCUACUUCUAUUUGCAUCUUUACUUUUCCAAUCUAUAUUAUAAAAUACCAAAAAUAUAUCUAUCUUAUCAUAUUAUCUCUAUCAGAUCUCACUUUCGCAAGUGGCCGUGAAGGGAUUGACAACCCCUUUAUUGCGUUGGUUGCGAGUUCUUGUUUGUUUGUGUAGGUGCGUGGGACUUUUGAGGAGCCUCCUACUGGAUAGAUACCUUGGUUCUCAAAAACUGAGGGAAACACUUACGCUACUAUUUGCUGCAUCACCCUUUCCUCUUAAACGAAAACCAACACAAGCUCAAGAGGUAGCAGCGUUUCGCUCUCCAUCAUCUCCAGAAGAAGAUCCCUUGAGGACGAACAUUGUUGAGGGAGGCUAUAAGGCGAACUACAAAACAUAUGUCUCGGUCGUUAUUCUCAGGAAAAGAAUAGGGUAUGCUUACUAAGCACCUUUGUUCAUGUACGGCCCGGUUAACGGCUGGCCCCCUGUGGGCGCUGUGCGGCAAUGUUGCCCUCCGGGGCAGGGCCCCCUGGUGAAGGUUUCUUCCCUUGUUUGGAGACCUCUGCUUCCAAGUCUUCGGGGGCGGUCCUUUUCUUCCCGUGGGGAGAGGGGAUGCUGGAUUCUCCUCCCUAUUCAUCCUCCGACACGGGGGUACUAAUUUCCCUAGUUAGGAUGCGUAACGUACCUCUAGCAUGAAGUCCGCUUUUGGCUUUCCCAUUCCUCUCCUUGUCCUCCCCUGAUGGCACUUGAUAAGGUGCGCGAGCCAGCAUCCUGGUUAGUACAGGAUCCGACAAAUCUUCGGGAAGAGGGGCCAAACACCUGAUCCUCCCCGACUUUCUUAUCCAGUCCUGGCCGUGGGUGGUUUUUUAGAAUAAUGUUGUGACAAAUAUAAUGACAGCAUGUUCGGUCGCGGAAUUACUUACCUGGGUAUCUUGAUGGUAGCAGUUGAGGCCUGCAUCCUCUGUUGUGUCCGGACACUUUAUUCGUGAUCUGUAAAAUAAUUGAUACAUCCCUUCAAGUGUAUUCCUUGAGUCCUUCGAAGUUGCCCUUUAAGAAGUCGAUCUCGGUCUCACCGACAUGGGAUUGUAAUCUCUCUGUGUGUAUGUCCAUCACCAAAAUCGGUCUCACCGAGUUUGAGCAAUCGGUACUACCGAGAUUACAAUGCAAACUUCCUGGUUGACUCAUUACCAAAAUUGGUCCCACCGAGUUUGUGUAAUCGGUCCGACCGAGUUUGCCUGACCAACUCUCUGGAAAGCUUAUUACCAAAAUCGGUCUCACUGAGUUUGUGUAAUCGGUCUUACCGAGAUUAAGUUAUGCCCUAACCCUAACCAUAUAGGUCCUACCGAGUUGCAUUUCGGUCCCACCGAAAAUCCUAACGGUCACUAGGUUUACUACGGUCCGACCGAGUUUGUUGAUUCGGUCCCACCAAGUUUGGUAAAUUGUGUGUAAUGGUUAGAUUUUGUGUGGAAGCUAUAUAUUCACCUCCACCUCCUCUUCAUUCGUGGAGAGAGCCAUCAGACUGAACCUACACUUCCAGCAUACAUUUUCUGAGAGAGAACUACCUACUCAUGUGUUGAGGCCAAGAUAUUCCAUUCCUACCAUAUGAAUCUUGAUCUCUAGCCUUCCCCAAGUUGCUUUCCACUCAAAUCUUAUUUCCACCAGAUCCAAAACCUAUGAGAGAGAGUUGAGUGUUGGGGAGACUAUCAUUUGAAGCACAAGAGCAAGGAGUUCAUCAUCAAUGCACCAUUUGUUACUUCUUGGAGAGUGGUGUCUCCUAGAUUGGCUAGUUGUCACUUGGGAACCUCCGACAAGAUUGUGGAGUUGAACAAAGGAGUUUGUAAGGGCAAGGAGAUUGCCUACUUCGUGAAGAUCUACCGCUAGUGAGGCAAGUCCUUCAUGGGCAACGGCCAUGGUGGGAUAGACAAGGUUGCUUCUUCGUGGACCCUUCGUGGGUGGAGCCCUUCGUGGACUCGCGCAACCGUUACCCUUCGUGGGUUGAAGUCUCCGUCAACGUGGAUGUACGAUAGCACCACCUAUCGGAACCACGCCAAAAACAUCUGUGUCUCCAAUUGCGUUUGAAUCCUCCAAAACCCUUCCCUUUACAUUCUUGCAAGUUGCAUGCUUUACUUUCCGCUGCCCAUAUACUCUUUGCAUGCUUGCUUGCUAUGUAUUGUGAAUAUUAAACUUGUGCCUAAACUCCACUUAAACUUAAAGAUCUUAAAAACUGCAACUUUGGUACUUAGUGUCCAAUCCCCCCCCUCUAGACACCUCUUCUCAAGGUCCUACAGUCUCCAACGUAUCUAUAAUUUUUGAUUGUUCCAUGCUAUUAUAUUACCCGUUUGGAUGUUUAUGGGAUUUACUUUACACUUUUAUAUCAUUUUCGGGACUAACCUACUAACCGGAGGCCCAGCCCAUAUUACUGUCUUUUUUGCCUAUUUCAGUGUUUUGGAGAAAAGGAAUACCAAACGGAGUCCAAAUGGAAUGAAACCUUUGGGAGCGAUCUUUUUGGAACAAACGUGAUCCAGAGGACUUGGAGUGCAAGUCAAGAAGCAAUCGAGGAAGCCACGAGGGUGGAGGGCCCCCCCUCCCUACUGGGCACGUCCCCCUAUCUCGUGGGCCCCUCAGGCGUCCACCGACCUACUUCUUCCUCCUAUAUAUACCCACGUACCCCGAGAACAUUAGAGGCGACAACGAAAAACUAUUUCCACCACCGUAACCUUCUGUAUCCGCGAGAUCCCAUCUUGGAGCCUUCGCCGGCGCUCCGCCGGAGGGGGAAUCAACCACGGAGGGCUUCUACAUCAACACCAUAGCUCUUCCGAUGAGUUGUGAGUAGUUUACCAUAGACCUUCGGGUCCAUAGUUAUUAGCUAGGUGGCUUCUUCUCUCUCUUUGAAUCUCAAUUCCAUGUUCUCCUUGAUCUUCUUGGAGAUCUAUUCGAUGUAACUCUUUUUGAGGUGUGUUUGUCGAGAUCCGAUGAAUUGUGGGUUUAUGAUCAAGUUUAUCUAUGAGAAAUAUUUGAAUCUCCUCUAAAUUCUUUUAUGUGUGAUUAAGUUAUCUUUGAAAGUCUCUUCGAAUUAUAAGUUUGGUUUGGCCUAGUAGAUUGAUCUUUCUUGCAAUGGGAGAAGUGCUUAGCUUUGGGUUCAAUCUUGCAGUGUCCUUUCCCAGUGACAGCAAGGGCAGCAAGGCACGUAUUGUAUCAUUGCCAUCGAGGAUAAAAAGAUAGGGUUUAUAUCAUAUUGCAUGAGUUUAUCCCUCUACAUCAUGUCAUCUUUCUUAAUGCGUUACUCUGUUCUUUACGAACUUAAUACUCUAGAUGCAUGCUGGAUAGCAGCCGAUGUGUGGAGUAAUAGUAGUGGAUGCAGGCAGGAGUCGGUCUACUUGUCACGGACGUGAUGCCUAUAUACAUGAUCAUGCCUAGAUAAUCUCAUAAUUAUUCGCUUUUCUAUCAAUUGCUCGACAGUAAUUUGUUCACCCAUCGUAAUACUUAUGCUAUCUCGAGAGAAGCCACUAGUGAAACCUUUGGCCCCCGGGUCUAUCUUUUAUCAUAUAAGCUUUCAAUCUACUUUUAUUUGCAUCUUUACUUUUCCAAUCUAUAUUAUAAAAUACCAAAAAUAUAUCUAUCUUAUCAUAUUAUCUCUAUCAGAUCUCACUUUCGCAAGUGGCCGUGAAGGGAUUGACAACCCCUUUAUUGCGUUGGUUGCGAGUUCUUGUUUGUUUGUGUAGGUGCGUGGGACUUUUGAGGAGCCUCCUACUGGAUAGAUACCUUGGUUCUCAAAAACUGAGGGAAAUACUUACGCUACUAUUUGCUGCAUCACCCUUUCCUCUUAAACGAAAACCAACACAAGCUCAAGAGGUAGCAGCGUUUCGCUCUCCAUCAUCUCCAGAAGAAGAUCCCUUGAGGAGGAACAUUGUUGAGGGAGGCUAUAAGGAGAACUACAGAACAUAUGUCUCGGUCAUUAUUCUCAGGAAAAGAAUAGGGUAUGCUUACUAAGCACCUUUGUUCAUGUACGGCCCGGUUAACGGCUGGCUCCCUGUGGGCGCUGUGCGGCAAUGUUGCCCUCCGGGGCAGGGCCCCCUGGUGAAGGUUUCUUCCCUCGUUUGGAGACCUCUGCUUCCAAGUCUUCGGGGGCGGUCCUUUUCUUCCCGUGGGGAGAGGGGAUGAUGGAUUGUCCUCCCUAUUCAUCCUCCGACACGGGGGUACUAAUUUCCCCAGUUAGGAUGCGUAACGUACCUCCAGCAUGAAGUCCGCUUUUGGCUUUCCCAUUCCUCUCCUUGUCCUCCCCUGAUGGCACUUGAUAAGGUGCGCGAGCCAGCAUCUUGGUUAGUACAGGAUCCGACAAAUCUUCGGGAAGAGGGGCCAAACACCUGAUCCUCCCCGACUUUCUUAUCCAGUCCUGGCCGUGGGUGGUUUUUUAGAAUAAUGUUGUGACAAAUAUAAUGACAGCAUGUUCGGUCGCGGAAUUACUUACCUGGGUAUCUUGAUGGUAGCAGUUGAGGCCUGCAUCCUCUGUUGUGUCCGGACACUUUAUUCGUGAUCUGUAAAAUAAUUGAUACAUCCCUUCAAGCGUCAUGCCGAAGAAGUGCUGAACAGUUCGCGGUCCUUCCGGGUUGAACUCCCACAUACGGAGAGGUCGAUGUUGGCAUGGCAGGACCCGACGAACUAACAUUACUUGGAUUACCUUGACAAGAUUGGUGUCCUUUUUGAUGAGAUCCAGAAUGCGGCUUUGCAAUAUCCGCACGUCAUCAACCGAUCCCCAGUCCAGCCCCUUGUUGACCCAUGAUGCAAGCUAUGGCGGAGGAGCGGAGCAGAAGGCUUGGGCGGCCGCCCACUUUCUACCUCGGGGUGCUGUAAUAUAAAACCACUCCCGUUGCCAUAGGUCGGAAACUUCCGGGAAGGAACCCUUUGGCCAUAAAGCAUCGACACCUUUGCUUAUUAUAGCACCUCCGCACUCCGUGUGUUGCCUGUUGAUCAUCUUCGGCUUCACAUUGAAGGUGUUGAGCCAUAAGCCUAAGUGUGGGGUAAUGCGGAGGAAGGCCUCACAAACGAUGAACUCGAGAUGUGAAGGAAGGAAUCUGGAGCUAGAUUGUGAAAAUCUAUCCCGUAAUAGAACAUGAGCCCUCUAACAAAGGGAUGAAGACCGAAGCCUAGCCCUCGGAGGAAGUGGGAGAUGAAUACGACACUUUCAUUGGGUUUGGGAGUGGGAAUAACCUGCCCUUGAGCAGGAAGCCUGUGAAGGAUUUCGGUGGUCAAAUACCUAGCCUCCCUAAGCUUCUUGAUGUCCUCCUCUGUGACGGAAGAGGCCAUCCACCGGCCUUGAAGGUUGGGUCCGGACAUGGUUGAAGGUCCGGAGCGCUUGGACUGAACCUUGGGUGUUGGAACUCGAGGUGGGAGAAGGGAAGGAUUAGGCGUGGAAAGAAAAGGACAGGUCUUGACCUCUUUAUAAAGAGGAUGAAUGUCAAGCGUCCUCCGCGCGGCCGUUUGGAACUUGCCUAAACCAAGGAGUCAUACUAAUGGCACGGUUGGGUUACCCACGCCCGUAUUGAUGAGAAUCCCGUGAUAAGGAGGACACGAUCUCUGCUUCGACAAGACGUGCCAAUAAAACCGCCUCGCAAGACGUGUAGUGGCAGGUUGGAAAAACGGUUUGAAUAAUAACCGGGCCGCGGCGUGAUGUCAUGCUAGGGGAAAGUUGUCGGCAGAUUAGACUCGUGGAAUAUUGUGCUCUCUAUGGUGGUAUGUGGAAUUUGUUUUGCAGAGCCGGACACGAUUUUUGUGUUCAAGAUGUACUUUGGAGUAUUCGGAGAAUGAACCCGCCUUGCAAUGCCGAAGACAAUCAGCGUGCCGGACUCAUCGUCAUUGAAGCCUGGUUCAGGGGCUACUGAGGGAGUCCUGGAUUAGGGGGUCCUCGCAUAGCCGAACUAUAUGCUUAUGCCGGACUGUUGGACUAUGAAGAUACAAGAUUGAAGACUUCGUCCCGUGUCUGGUUGGGACUCUCCUUUGCAUGGAAGGCAAGCUUGGCGAUUCAGAUAUGUAGAUUCCCUUCCCAGUAACCGACUCUGUGUAACCCUUGCCCCCUCCGGUGUCUAUAUAAACCGGAGGGUUUAGUCUGUAGGAUAACAACAAUCAUAAUCAUAGGCUAGCUUCUAGUGUUUAGCCUCUACGAUCUCGUGGUAGAUCAACUCUUGUAAUACUCAUAUCAUCAAGAUCAAUCAAGCAGGAAGUAGGGCAUUACCUCCAUAGAGAGGGCCCGAACCUGGGUAAACAUCGUGUCCCCCGCCUCCUAUUACCAUUAGCAUUAGACGCACAGUUCGGGAACCCCUACCCGAGAUCCGCCGGUUUUGACAAUGACAGAGGGGGCGCGGGCUUGUGUACAGCAUAGGAAGCAAAGUAAUAUUUCUAUCCUUAUGAACAAGAGUAUACUAAUUGUUUCUACCAUGGUGUACAGAAUUUUUAUCAAAUUGCCAUGGUCUAUCAAGUAAUAAGGAACAUGCUUGCAUAGAUACCACAUCACAAUCAACAUAAUCAACAUAUGUAGAGAUACUAAAAUGCACACAAACAAUACAUGUUACCUUAACCUUGCCGCUGUUGUUGAACCAUUGGAUGUAGUAAGGAUGUGGAUGUGGUCUUGUGAUGAGAGAUAGCCUCUGCACCAUCUUCAUGCUAGCCAAGUCGUUGCAGCUCCCUCCAUCUAUGAUGAUGCGAACAGAAUGUUCCUUCACAACUCCCUUUGUAUGGAACAAAUUAUGCCUCUGGUUUUGCUCAGCUUGUGUGACCUGCACACUCAAAAUACAUUGAGCAACUAAACAUUCAUACCUGUCAACAUCUUCAUUAGCCAUGUAUUGUGUCUCAUGAUCAGAAUCAUCUCCACCGUGUUCUUCACUUGUAAUAAGAGCCAAAGUCUCCUCUUCAUAGUCACUAGCAGACUCAUACCCACCAUCCUAAGUAGCAAUCAUCACAUGCUUAGAUGGGCAUUCUCUCGCAUAGUGACCUCCACCCUUGCAAUGACGACAAAUAAUAUCAUGUGUUUGCCCUAUUGAUGCCAUGGAUGAAGAAGAGCUCUGUGCAGGCCCAGAAGGUGUGCUCUUGGCGGACGGCGGUGGUGCCUGUUUUCUUGUAUCUCAAAUGGAGUUGGAGGUGGAAGUAGGCAGUGUUGCAACAUGACAGGUGGAAGGAGAAGAUGUACGUGGCGUCCAUGAUGAAGAUCGUCCUGCAGAAAAAUUAGUUCGUGCCAAUGCCUGUCGUUCCCGCACUUCACGUUCAGCUUUGCAAACAAGAUGAAAUAAACGAGUGAUAUUAUUAUACUUCUUAUACUCGAGAAUAGUCUGAGUCUCUUUAUUUAAUCCACCCAUAAAACGUGCAAGCAUAGCCUCAUUAUCCUCAACAAUACCACAUCUAAUAAUGCCGGUUUGUAAUUCCUGAUAAUACACCUCUAUGGAAUUUUUUCCUUGUCUCAAACGCUACAGUUUUUGAAGUAAUUCAUGUUGAUAAUAAUGUGGAACCCAACAAGUACGCAUAGCAGUUUUCAAAGAAGCCCAAUUAGCUGGAAUAGGAUAUCAGAUUGGCGUGAUGGUGACCUGAUGGAUGUAUAUGACUCAGAUUGGUAGCAGAUAUGCGGUGGAUGUAUAUGGACUCGGAUUGGCAGCGGAUAUUUGGUGAUGGUAUAUGGCGGUGGCGAUGAUGAUGGUGUGGCGGCGACAUGAAAACCUGUGACCAGAACUCGAAACUCUAAGGUAACUAGACGCUCAGACCAGCAACUCGACAUGAUGAUGCAACCGCAAAUUCAACAAAGCAAAACACUAAAAAGAUUAUGCAAAGUCUCAGAUUGGUUCAGAUAUGAUGAACUAACCCUAAUUUUUUUGGCUUUUUCGUGGACUGUAGGUAUGAAGAACAGACUCUAUCUAAACUAUGAAAAACUAGAAAAUCUCAUCGACCAACCUGGAAAUCGAAUACCACUUGAUAGAGGCAAAGGUGUCCCGUCUUUCGAUGAGAUGGUGAUUGUCGUUUCGGAGGAGUAGACUUUGACGAUCCGACUACGUACGUGCGAGGACGUUGCACCUUAGCAAUCGCUAAACCAACUCCGAGAGGUUAUUGACCAUGUCGGAGUACGAUCAACCUGACCACGAAGGUCUAUUUCCUACAAGCAAACAAAGAACAAGCAAGAAACUAAGACUGCAAUCUGGAUAGUGCGAAUAUAAGAUGAAAGCUUUAUUAAUCAAGGUGGGGUUCUAUGACCUCUUUGUCUGGUCCUUGAACACAAGCGAAGUAUGCGAAGUUGCAGCUAUGACGAACUUUCAAUCUAAAAAAACCCCAAAGUCUAAACGAUGCCCUAAGGGUUGUAUAUAUGUAGGAAGAGGGGGGAAUUUUGUGUCCCUUGGUGGAGGGGCCGAAACCAACCCUGUCGUGGAAUUGUCAUGGCAGAUGACCUAGUGUGAGGACUUAGUCGUGAGGCCAACGCAUCUAUGUGGUAGCUUGAGAGGGGUUGAGCAGAAUCGAGAGACGCAACAUGCAAGACAAAGAUUUAGACAGCUUCGGGCCCCGGGAAUCAUCAUCCGGUAACAACCCUACAUGCUGUUUGUGGCUAGGUCUUGUUAUCAUCACGAGGGAGUCGCCGUAAACCGGCUCUCCCAGUUAUGUCUAACCCUUAAGAUUAUCUCCCCCCCUUGGGGUGCCCUGCCCCUCCUUAUAUAAGUUGAAGGGGCGGGUUACAUGUAGAGUCCAUCUCGGACUAAGACUUAAACUAUUCUAAUUUCUCUUCAUGGGCUUCUUAACAUCUUGGGCUUCUUAAUGUCUCGGGCUUGUUAACCCCAAGCGACUCUGUCUGCCGGGUUAUGACUGUCUGCCGGGUUAUGAUUGUCUGUCGGUUUAUGAUUGUCUGCUGGUUUAUGAUUGUCUGCCAGUUUAUGAUUGUCUGUCGAGUUAUCAUCUGACUUAACACCUGCCUGGUUAUCAUCUGACUUAACACUGCCGUGUUAUCAUCUGAAUUAACACCUGUUGGGUUAUCAUCUGACUUAACACCUGCCAGGUUAUCAUCGGACUUAUCACCUGUCUUAACUGUCAGCCGGUUUAUCACCUGCCAGUUUACCAAGUCCCAGCCGGGUUAUAACUCCAGCCGGGUCAUACCGCGGGGUAUAUCCCCGACAUUAGCCCCCAGUUUAAUUUGGAUUUAUCCAUGUUAAACUGAUACUGAUUAUCCUUAAGUCCUUGUCAUUACCUUCUUCUAGAAAAUCCGGGUCAAUAGACCAGCUUCAUAAUCAAUUUACUGACAUUGGUUUAUCAUAGAGAAAAAUUAAGAAGAAUAAUUUAUUUGACUCAGCUCCCAAUGCUUAACAAAAAUAUUGGUCCUUGCAAUACUCAUUUGAUCUUCAGCCAGCUUAAGGAUGUAGAACUUGCCGGUUUAUCAGUUGCCAAAAUUGUCGGUUUAUAAAUAUUGAUGGCACCGGGUCAUAAUUGUAGUUAACAUCAAGCUGGAAAAUAUACCUCUUAUAUGCCUAUCACUUGUAGCCCCCAAGUCUUAAGAAGGUAGCGUAGCAACAGCUUAAGACUUGCUUCAAUAUAAAUGUCACAACCUUGAAAACAUAUGAUUUGUUCAUCUCAGUCACGAGUCAUAAACUGAGUAUUCCACAUAUGUAGCCCCCAAGUGUCAGGUUGUCAUGCUUGCAGCGACUUGGGACUUGAAAUUGCCUUAUGCUCAUAAAAACUUCAACCAGUGUAGCCCCCAAGGGCUGGGUCACUAUGCAAUAAUGAGGAGGGACUUCAUAAAUAUAAUCAUGUAGAUUUGAGCAGUGAUGUGUAGCCCCCAAGGGCCGGCUCAGUAAGAUAAUAUUGAGCUGGGACUUUAUAUAUACUUCUUUGAAAAGAACAUCAUAUGAUGUAACCCCCAUCAUGGGGCUUGAACCCACAUCCACAAGGUUAAGAGCUUUUGUGCUUUACCAACUAAGCAGUGGACCCUUAAAUAUAAUGGAAUAAAACUUGUGUACCUUGAAUUGUUGAUAGGAGCAAUUGGUAGCCCCCAAGGGCCAGCUCAUUAUGAUGUGAUGAGUCGGGUCUUCAAUAAGGCCAGUAAAAUGACUUUGCAUUAGCCCCCAAGUGUCAUGGUGCAUGCUUGCAGCGACAUGAGACUUGCAUAUUUGAUGUAAUCUCAACUUGAAUAAUGUAGCCCCCAAGUGCCGGGUCGUAAGCCUACAGCGACUCGGGACUAUUCCUUCC
This 97040-nucleotide long non-coding RNA is filed under the name Triticum aestivum (bread wheat). RNAcentral's name for it is "long non-coding RNA (TAES_LNC006901)". The record is from RNAcentral. Lineage: Eukaryota; Viridiplantae; Streptophyta; Magnoliopsida; Poales; Poaceae.